This 131729-nucleotide long non-coding RNA is filed under the name Citrus maxima (pomelo). RNAcentral's name for it is "long non-coding RNA (CMAX_LNC003384)". The record is from RNAcentral. Lineage: Eukaryota; Viridiplantae; Streptophyta; Magnoliopsida; Sapindales; Rutaceae.
UCAUGCAUUUUCACAGAUCUGUCAUUACCAGUGUCUAACAGCAGUGACGCAGCUUUGAGCGCGUUAAUCGUUCCAUGCAGUCGGCUUCUGGCGUUUUCUAUUGACGGAGCACAUUGAUACCAAAUAACCCCCACUGCGUAUCCAACCAAAUCCUCCAAAUAAAUCUCAUAAUCUUCUGGAAACAGAGAACACAACAAGAAGCAUAACUUGGACUCCUCACUAUUUAAAUUGUCGUAACUGAAUUUAAGACAACCGUAAACGUCUUGGUCAUCCUUGUCAAUACCUUCUAUUGCAUAGAGUUUUGCUUCCUUUAGGUUAUUUAGUGCUAGUUUCCAUUCAUCAGAUCCUUUUUCUCUUAGUGCACUUCCAACAGCUUCAAUAGCUAAAGGCAGCCCCUUAAUUACAUUCGUCGGCAACUUGUUUUGAAACACCAUCCAAGGAGGAGUCGUUUACAUUAAUACCGGCAUUCAUUUUUAGUAGAGUCAAUCCUUCUUCUGGUGUUAUUGUACCAAGUUCAAUCUGUGGGUAACAACCGAAAGAACCACAAAUUGACUUUUUGCGAGUGGUUAGAAGGAUUUUGCAACAAUUGUCUCUAUCACCAAUGGGAAUACCUAAUUUUUUCUCCAAGUCGAGUUGUUUCCAAACAUCACCAAGGAUUAUGAGGAUUUUGCUGCUUUUACUCUCAGAAAACAUCAACCGCAAUCGAUCUGCUCUCUCUUUUUCAUCUGUCUCAUUUAACGCCCAGCCUAACGACUUUACCAGCUCACUUUGAACCUUUAUUAUAUCUGGAUCCUGAGACACAGUGACUAUCCCAACUUCAUCGAAAAUCUUUUGUUGCCGAAGUUGAUUGCCCACAAAAUUUGCCAAGGUCGUCUUCCCUACACCACCGAGACCGUGCAAUCCCACCAUCUUUGUGCUCUCUUUUUUCAGUGCUUCAGUGAUUUGAAUGCAAGCCAAAUCUGUAGCCUUGAAAGGAGAAAAAGAUCUCGGUAUAGGCAAUUCUUUGUCUGAUGGUAGAGGUUUAGGACGGGCAACUGUGCUGAAUUUGCUGCGGUCUUGUAGCAGAUCGGACAACUUGCUAGUCUUCUUUGAUGCUUUUGUACCCAGCCAGUAUCGGCAACCCCAAUUAGGACACCAUCCAUUAAGACAACUCUUCUUUUCAUCUAUCUUUGCUUUUAAAUUUCGAACGUCGGCCAUUUCUUUAUCUACAUCCUCAAGCCAUGUCUCGACAUCUUUCUCGACUACUAUAGCACGGUGUAUUUGUCGUUCUUGUUCUACUCUUUCAUUGAUGCCAUCUUUUUCCUUCUUCAAAUUGGUUUCUUUAACCUUAAGUUCUUUAUCUAUGCUGUUGAAACACAGCAGAUAACGAGCUUGGUUUAUGGUUGCAUCCACCAACAAUUCUCCAAGCCUUGAUGCAACACCUGACAAAAGUUCCAUGCUAUUUAUCUGCAAUUAAUAAAGUUGAUCUCAGUAAGCUAUAAGCAAAACAAUGAGGCUUGAUCACAAGAUCGAACGAGAAAGUUUAAUUACCUUUUUCUAUUCUGUGAAUGCACGUUUAUUGACACUAGCUUUGACCAGUAAGAGCAAAAUGCAAACGCCGAGCUUUAAGUGGCCUUUAGCUGCAAAACAAAAGAGAGGAAAUAAGGUAAUUUAUUAUUAUUAUUAUUUUUAAGGACGGAUAAAGGUUAGCUAGCUUGCAGACAAAUUUACUAAAAUCAAGACAAACCUAAGAGUUUUCCUAAUUUGUUCAAACAUGGAAUAAGCGUUUCACAACAGUAUAUCCAUAAAGGCCCCAGCGAACGUAAUAUGUGCUGGACUAUAUUGAAAUUAGAUUAUUUUAGAAAAUUUUAAAUAAAAAAUAUCAAACAACAAAGAAAUCUAAUAGAAUCUGGAUAAACAGCAUGGGAGAAUAUGGUAAAAUUGAUAAACUUGGUUCAAAAAUUACAAUUCUUUUUGAGAUUUGAACCAACGAUUUUGACUAAGGUCUCCUAAGCCACAAAGCAUAACUCUUACUACUAAAUUACGCGCAUUUUGUUACAUUUAAAUGUGGUCAUAUUCUUUUUAUUAUCUUUUUUUAGAAGGGACUCAUGGUAUACUUAAAAGAAAUAAUAAUGAUUUAGAUAGGGCUGAAGCCCACUCAUGAAAAAAUUCAAAGGUUUUCAAGAUAAUUACCGAUUUUUUUCCACCCAAUAUUCUAAUAGAAUGGUGCCAGAAUUCUCAAAUAAUAUCUUAAUAUUAUUUAACUGGUUGGCACCCACCUAUUGGAUGAUUAAUUUAAUAAUUUGUUACAUUAUUUAAUACUCCAUCUCACUAUCUAGUGAUGUAAAUGGUGGAGAAGGAUCGUCUCCUAGACUUUUUUCUCUCACUAAUCUCUUAGUGAAAUAAGUGGCCGAAAUUGAAUUUUAAUUUUUGAUAUUGACAAUUAAAUUGGCUUGUUUCACAUUAUUAACAAUUAAGCCAAUUUUUUUUUUCUCCUUUUUUCAAUUAGAUUUGGAAGGCUAUAAGAGAGUAGGAGAGAAAAAACACUAGAAGGAGAUCUUAAUCCAUAAAUAGUACCUUAUUUGGGAUGGUAAAGAUUGAGAUAAAUUUCCUCUUAGUCUCUAAAAUUUUGGCCUAUGCGCAGCCAUAAUUUUAGUAUUUUUAAAAAGAAUGGGAUUAUUUACAUUCUAAAAUCUAUUUUGAAUACUCUUUUACUCAACACACUCAUUCAAUAAAUAAAUUUUAAAAAAUAAUUUUUACUUUACACACUAUUUCGAGAGUCAAAACUAUCCUUCAUUAGGACCAUUUCAUUAACUAAUUAUUUUCUAUUGACACCCAUAAAAUAUUCAUCAUUCUUGAACCAUGUGGCGUUAAUUAAUGAUUCCGAAGCAUUAUCAAGAUUCAAGAUUUAUGUUGAAAUUCUUUCAUCUGACAUUUGAACCCAGCCACUAGCUAUAUACAUAUAUACUUUCAAAUGCAGCUCCGGGAAUAUUUUGUGACUGAUUUUAUAAAGUGUUUUAGUUACAUUAAUGCAGUGAAACAAUAAAGAGUACGUGGCUUGCUGAUUUCCAAAUCAAGUUGGGGGAAAAAACAGAGCAUUUUUCUUUUAUAAUGGAUUAGAUUAGACGAUGAAGGAAAAAUUAUUAGCGAUUAUUAGUACUUUUGUGUGUGUUAAGAGUAAUAAUAUUAUUUUAAAUUAUAUUAAUGCCUUUGGUACUGAAUUCAAUUAGGGUUAUUUUAGUAAUAUAAAUUUUCAUUAAAAUUAAAGUGUCCAAAUUAUAAUUUAGAUUUUUCAAAUGUAAAAUAAUAUUUAUUUAUUUGAUAUAAAUUAAAAUUCAAACAAAUGUAUCAUGCAACAAAUGAAAAGUAAAGAAUAUUAAUUAGGUUUUAAUAGAAACAAAUAUAAAUAGAUGUUUUGAGUAGUUAAUUUUUGUUAUUUUAUGCUAUUGGUAGUUUGUGGAUUAAAUAAUUUGUAUAAGGAUAAAUGGGGGUUUGUAUAAUUUAUACGAAGAUAAUCUCCAAAAUAAGCUUAUAUGUCGAAUUUAAAAGUGUUAUAUAAGUAGUAAUCGUAUAUGCAUCAAAAUUUUUAAUAAAAUUUAUUUAGAAAUUGGCCAAUUGAGUUUUAUGAAGAAAAUAGACGGGCAAGUAAUUUGUAGGUUGUGGUACUUCUCCAUACUUCAAAUCACUUUUAUCUAAUCAAUUGAUAAAUAUUUUUGGGCUCCAACAAAAUGAAAAGAAAAAGUUAAAAAUAAUUCUGAAAUUAAAAACGUUAGGUACUGCCUAUAAGCUAUACAAUUUUACCUUUCCUUCUAUCACAAUUAGUAUUAGAAAUAAAAAUAGUUUCGAAAUAAAUGUAAUUAGGAGGUAAUAUUAUCUCAACAAUACCUUAUAGGGAAAAAAACAUCUAUAUCCUAAAGUUUGGAGAAAUGGUCGUAAAGACCCCAGGUUUUCAGAAAGGGAUAUCAAGACCCUUUUUUGACCGUAAUACCCUUUAAAUCUAGUAAUUAAAAAAUUGACUUUAAGAUUUUUUAAUUGACAAAUUUAAUAUAAAUAAUAUAAUCUAUCUAGUAGAUUAAUAAUAUUAACAAUAAAAAUAAUAUUAAAAUUUAAAUUCUUAUAUUUAUUCUAAUAAUAUUUUUUUAUUUAUUAUAAAGAUUUUAAAUAAAUCCUUGGGUUAAAUAGGUUUUCCAGUUAACAAAAUAUACCCCUAUUAAAAAUAUUGAAAUUACUUUCUACAUAAUAUUUAAAAUAAUUACAAUUUAUUUAUUUUAAUAUUAUGUUUCUAUUUAUUAUUAAAAAUUACUUUAUUAGAGCAAAUUUUUAUUAAUUAAAGCUUUAAAAUUAAUUUUCUAAUUACUAAAUUAAAAGGGUAUUAUGGUCAAAAUGGGUCUUUCAUUUUUGAAAACUUAGGGUUUUUGCGACCAUCUCCCCAAACUUUGGAGUAUAGGUGUCCUUUUCCCGACUUCAUAUAAAGAUAUUCCAGAAGGUCUUAUAAUAACUUAUGUUAUAUGAAUUUAAUUAAAAUAUCAUUAAUACUUAAAUAAUAAUAAUUAUAGAAGACAUUGUAAUAAAUUAUUUGAUAUAUAUUAUUAAUGAUACUAUAUAUAUGUGUAUAUAACUACAUGAUGGCUUGGAUAUAUAUUGUUUAGUGGUAAUAAAUUUUUUUAAAAAAAUUUAAACUAAUGAUUUCAUGCGAUUCAAUGUUGGAUGAUUUAAAAUCAUAAAAUAUUGUUUUGACUUUCAAUAUCAACCGUUAGACUGUGAGAAAUUAAUUGCUCAAUAUUUUGUGUUAAAAUUUUAAAUUAAAAUAUCCCAAACCAUUUGUUUUACUUAAAAUACAAAAAAUAUAUAAAGAAAUUUUCUCAUUAAUUUUCAUAUUUUUAUUAGAGGUAAUAUUUUAUGUAUCGUCACCAUUAAUUGCCGUCAUUAAAGUAGUGACUCUUACUAAUAUAAAAUUUUAUAAUUAGUUAAUUGCAAUCAAAUGAUAUCAAUAAAAUAAUAUUUCAUGAUUCAUAAAUUAAAUCUAAUUAAGAAUAUAUGUUAGUUUUAACUUUUAUGAAAUCAACUAAGUGAUAUUACAAAAUAAAAUGAAAAUAAACUAGUGAAAUGAUGUGCUCAUAAUUUAUCUAUUAUUUUAAUGCUUCCAUAACUUAAUUUUAUGUUAAAUUAUAUUUUAUUAUAUUAAUUUUUAUCUUAAUUUUUAUAUUUUGUCAUUGUAGGAAUAAUGGGAAUAUUCAUGAGAAAAGAAGCUUAAAGAGGAAACAAAUUAGAGUAUAAUGAAAAUAAUGUGGAAGCAAAAGGGAAAGAAAUAAAAAGCCAAAUCAAGGCUGAUUGAAUUUAAUCAUCAUGCAUGCAACACGUGGGGGGAGCAUUAAAGAAUUAAUUUGCAAAUUGGCCAAUUAAACUUUACAAGUCACGUGGAUGGGCUUAAAAGGUGGCUAGAAUUGUUUUGUUUUAAAAAUCCCUUUCAUUUAAGGAUUCGUGGGCUGGAUUUGCAAUCCUUUUCCUUUAAGGAUUUGGAAGAAACCACAACAUUAUAAAAGAGAAGAAAGGCAGCCGCACAAGAGGGAUGGAAGCCAAGAGAAAAGAAAUAAUUGAGCAGCAACCGGAAGUCUUGAACGAAAACCGAAGAGCAGCAGCAAUAAUUUAGAGCAGAAGGAAGACACGUUAAUUCUUGAGUUUUUCUCUCUCUCUUCUCUAUUAUCUUGCUUGAAUGUUUCCAAUUAAAUUAAUGAAUUCUCUUUAUAUUCCCAUGAACUAAUUUAUUUACUAGGGCUACGAUGUAGCCUAAUUAUGAAGAUUUAAUUCCAUAAAUCUAUGUUAUUUUUUAAUUAAUUAUUCCAUGAUUGAGUGUUCAUUAUUGUGCUUAAUGCUUUUAAAUAUCUGGCCAAUAUUUGAAUGAUUCGAGGAUACAUAAUGAGACCGAGAUGAGAUUUAUGUAUUUUUGCUCUGUGUAAUGGAUGCCAUGAAUUGAACGAAAGACAUAGAUGUGCCAACGUGAUUCAUGCAGUUUUAUCUAAGAAUUUCCAUAGAACUUAAUGAAUCUUUGCAUAUUUAAAUUCACAUAGAGAUAUAGUGGGUUGAUAUGUGGAGAUAUUUUUGAUAUUACUCGAGAGAGGAUAUUGAAUAAAUUAGGGAAAUUCACUGUCAACAUGGGUAAUAAACUUUAAUAGCAUAGAUAGAGGAUUAAAUUGGAUUGGUUAUGGUGAAAUCGGAUGUCCUAGUGUUUUAAUCUCUUGGUGAUUUCUAUUACUGCCUGCGUCUUCAUUUAAUUUUUAAUUAUUUUAUUUUAUUUAACUUUAAUCUAAAUUCGCCUAAUCGAUUGUUCAAAUAAAGCAGGGUUAGAAUAAUUUCGGUAACUAAUAGGAUAUACAAUCUCUGUGGGACGAUACUCUACUCUUCAUUAUAUUACUUGUGCCGACUAGUACACUUGCUAAUUUACGCAACAAGUUUUUGAUAUAAAAUUUACACUUGCUAAAGUAGUGACUCUUACUGAUAUAAAAUUUUAUAAUUAGUUAAUUGCAAUCAAAUGAUAUCAAUAAAAUAAUAUUUCAUGAUUCAUAAAUUAAAUCUAAUUAAGAAUAUAUGUUAGUUUUAACUUUUAUGAAAUCAACUAAGUGAUAUUAGAAAAUAAAAUGAAAAUAAACUAGUGAAACUUAAAUUUUAUAAGGUUUGAAUAAUUUUCUACCACGUAAGAAUAUUAAUUGUGACAUAAACCAUAGUUUCAUGGUAUAUGUAUGCCAAAUGGGGUAACAAAUAAUAUAUACUUCAUGAUCAUGAUAGUAUAUAAAGUAGUGGAUAUUUUAAUAAAUAACAUAAAAUUCUUUAAGACAUAGGUGGUCAAUUAUAUAUUUUUUAGGAUAUAGACAAUCUCAAUCAAGAGUUUAUUGAUGUGAAUAGAUGGCAUUCACUUAAAUGUAUAUACUUAAUUGUGUUGUUUAUUGGUAUUACAUGUAACAAAAUUUUAUAUUAAAUUUUGAAGUUUUAUACUGUUGUUUCUAUUGAAUUUAUAAAUACAAUAAAAUUAUGGCCAUCAACAAUCACAACCAACUGCCACCAACAAUUACAUUCUCAUAUCUGUUGACGACAAUUUUUUAUACUAUUGGAACUCCAAUCUUUGAUGCUACACAAUAGUUAAAGUACCGACAUCAAUAGAACUUCCGUUCAUUGUAGAUCUAUAGUCAAAGUUUCGAAUCUUAAAAAAUUGACAGCAGAUUUAUGUCAAAUGAAAGCUUGUUACCAGUGAUUCUUAUACAAUUAUGUUGUUAUAGUAAUAAAGAUUCUAAUGGUACUAAAAUGCACUCCAUUAGACAUAAAGAUCCGACGACUAGUGGCGACAAUAACUAUCAUUAGUGACUUGGAGGUAAUUGCCGUUAAUAAAUUAUUUUUAACUUAAUAAUUAAUACAAACAAAUAAAAAAGUAAUUUAAGGAAAAUUAAUGUAAUAAAUAAUUGAAUUAAAAAAAUUAAAACCUAAAUUCUCGACCAUUUAUCCGUAUCUUUGGAAUCCAACGUUCAAAAUUGGAAUAAAACAUAGUAUAGCCAUUGGAAGUAAAACAAACAUUAAAGAGACUAGGAAAAAAUAUCUCAUACCUUCUAUAAUGAUACAUCCUCAAUCACUGCAGAAAGCUCCAAUUAAAAAGUCGCACAAGUUCGGAGAAAAUUACCAACUGUACCUAACAACACAAAUAAACAUCAAAUCAAAGCAACAUAGGAUCCAGCUAAUUAACAUCAUAAGUAAGUCCUUGUUCUCAGUCAAAUCUUUCGUUCUUAGGAAAAAAAAAAAAAUUGAAAGAAUAACGGUAACUGGAAAGUUUGACGACAUAAAGAUCUAGCUAAAUUUUAAGAAGCAAAAGUAAAUAAUGAAAGCUCAAUAAAAGAUCAUCAGCAUUAACAUACCGAAAUGAGAGCAGCUCACAGAACUGGUAAUUUCCAAGAACAGGAAAAAUAAGUGAGCUGAUAUUGAGGACAACUAAAGUAGUCAUGGAGUAAUUUGCUAUUGAGGACACCUAAAAUAAGAAAAUUAAUUAACAUUGCUCUAUACACCAUUUCAAUAAUUUGACUAUUAAAAAAAAAAUCUAUCUAGAUCACGAUUUCUCAAAAUGAUACUUUUUCUAAUUAAAUAAAUCAAAAUGCUUGCUUCUUUCUUUUUCAGAAAAGAAAAAGUGGCAAUGGCAUCAAUUUUUUUGCUAGAUUAUUAUCACCAAAAGCACAAGCAAGGAAUAAGAAUACUCUCUGAAACCAACCAUGUAAAGAGUAGAAGUAAGUGGUCAAUUGUAAAUUAGUCUUUCUUUUUUCUUUGUUAUUUUUUUCAUUUUUUGAAUGUGAACUAAAUAAAUUUAAGGGUGAAGCUAUUACACCUUGAAAACUAUAACUGAACACCCAUUUUUUUAAUUAAAUUUUUAUUACUAAAAUAACCAUGGAGUAAUUUGCUACUAAGGAAAACUAGAAUAAUAAAAUGAAUAAUGAUUGCUCUAUACACCCUUUUCUAAGUCUAUCUUCUUCUUAAUUUCAUAAUUUGGCUGUCAAAAAGUAAUCUAUCUAGAUCACGAUUUCUCAAAUGAUGCUUUUUCUAUCUAAAUAAAUGAAAAUGCUUGUUUCUUUCUUUCUCGAAAAGAAAAAGUGGCAAUGGCAUCAAUUUUUGCUUGCAAGCACAGCGAGGAAUCAGUAUACUCUCGGAAACUAACCAUAUUAAGAGUAGAAAUAUUUAUUUGGUUAUCACGAAGUAAGUUAGAAAUCAAUUAUAAAUGGUCUUUUUUUAUUUUUUAAUGUGAACUAUAUAAAUUUAAGGUGAGGUUAUUUACACUUUGAAAAACAUUCUGAAAACCAUUAUUUCAUUAAAUUUUUUAUUAUUAAAGGUCCGUUUGGGGCAGCUACGUUGAAGCAGCGCAGCUGCCCCAAACGCUCUCUAAAAUAGCCAUGGAGUAAUUUCUUACUGAGGAAAACUAGAAUAAUAAAAUCAAUUAUCAUUCUUCCAUGAACCCGUUUCUAGAUGUAUCUUCUUCUUGAUUUGGUAACUUGGCUGUCAAAAAGAAAUCUAUCUAGAUCACGAUUCCUCAAAAUGAUGCUUUUUCGGAUGAAAUAAAUGAAAUUGAACCUACAAUCUGUCACAAACACGUUAUAAUGAGCCUAAUGAAAAGCAGUAUGAGAAAUUUUGCUUCCAUGUUGUUUCUUCCAUAUGUAAAGGUAGUAAAAAGAAAUUUAAGUCCUAGAAACAAAUGGAUGAAGAAUUAUCAAUAAUUAAAAUUAAAAAAAGAAACAGAGUUAUAAAAGAAUCACAGUUCCACCAAAAAUUAAGAGUUAUUUUAUUUGGUGGUUUCCUAUCCCGAAAGCAUUACUUGUAAAUAUGUGCUAACAAGUAAUAAUUAAGAAAGUUAAGGCCAAUCAUUUAGAAGGGAGAAAAAUGGAAACAUCCGGAAUAUUGUUAUGUGUUUUCAGUGCGUAUCUACCAAUCAAUAAUGAAAAAUUAAAUACGCAUGUGACGAAAAUUUAAUAAAGAGAACUGGAGGUGACAAAAUUUUUAUUAUUCUAUCUUUCUCUCCUCUGAAACUUCCUUAAUUUGGUUGGGAAGUGCUUUGUCUUAGGCAGUGGAUCUGUUAUAAAUACCCUAUGCUAAAGUUAAUAUUUUGAUUGAAGAAAAAAAUAGAGGAGAAAAAUUUUAUUAAAGUAUAACAUAAUUUGAUAAAUUUAGAAUUGAGGAGAGAAAAUGAGUCUAAAUUCGAAAAUUUUGGCACUAUUUACAUAUAAUUAUUUGGGCAAAAAUUCAUUUCUCUGCUUUCAUAUGAUUUGGUCUUUCAUUGUUACGGUGCCAAUUUUUUAUUUAAAGAUGUAAGAUAGUGGUACUAUAGCUUAGAUUUUCCGUAAAUACUACAUGGUAAGUACAAAAUAAAAUACUAGUUUAAAAUAUAAAAAUGAAAAACUAUUUUUAUAACCAAUAUUCAAUUAAAUACACUUGAAACUCUAUUUUUUCUUAAUAAAAAAAUUCUAAUUUAUUUUCUCAAUUUAUCUAAACAACUUUACCUAAUCAAGCUAAAUCUACAUAUUACCCUAAACCUUAAUUCAUAAACACCCAAUCAAUCCAAUUGUUAAAUCCGAUUUCAUAAUUAAAAAAGCUAAAUUCUAUUUUAUUAUUUAUGGUGCAAAGUAAAAAAUGCCCUUGAAGUUAAGGGUAAAAUUGAUAUUUUAUUUAAAUUUUGUUAAUAUUCUAAUAAUGUUAAUGUCUUAGUGGUUAAUAAAAUCACAAAGUCAAACUUUUGUAGUAUUUUUUAUAAUAAGUUAAAGAUAUAUGUUUGAUAAUUUUCCUACGUCUUUUUACGUUAAAUUGAGUCUCAAGAGAAAAAUGAUUAAUUUGCUACAAUUCUGUCAGUUUUCUGAUGGAAGAUAAUGAUACAAUGAAUAAAUAAUACAAAUUAUUAAAUUAAUGUUGAUGAAUGAUACAACUUGAAAAUAUUGUAGUAUUCUUAAUAGUAGAGAAAUGUAAAGGUGGAUGGUUGAUAAUUUAAUGAAGUAACUACAGAAUUUUCCUUUCAAAUAUUUUUUUAAAAUAUAUAAUGAGUAAAAAUCAUUUUACAGAAUGAUCAUACGCAUUUUGUAUCACAAACGAAAACAUGAACCAACUAUGUAUAGAGUCAAUUAACUAAAGUUCUCAAGAGUUGACCUGUGCUCCUGAAUUCUUGGAAUCAUAUAUCUCCUUCUGAAUUUCCACGAAGCCUGGGACAAUUAUUAACAUAUACAAACUUGGCAGAUGGAAAUGGGAUCUGAUAACCCGUAGGCCAAAAGUUGGUGAGGUUUGGUAAAUCUGACAGUAUCAACUCCCCAAGUUCAUUCAUAACAAUUUCAUUGUACUCCGUGACGUCUGCUCCAUCUUUAUGCCAGAAUACUUCUUCUAAUUCAUCAUUACCUAUUAUCCAUAUGUACUUCAGUUUUUGAAGACUUGGAGCUACGCUGAUAUGAAAUAGAUGCUUUAGUUUGGGGCAAUAACCGACAGAGAUCCUUUUGAGUUUUGGGAAACAUACAGGUUGGAGAUGAUCCUCAUCCUCAUCCUCAUCAAUGAUUUGCUCUAAUUCGAAGCAAUUCCAAACAUAUAACGCCUCCAAUUGUAACAGAUUUCGAGCAAAUGUUGAUGAGAAGAGACGUCUCAGCAUAGUGCACCCGUCCACUGUUAAAUAGGUAAGACUUUGCAGGCCAAAAUUAUGCGUGGGACCUACGUGAUAUAAUACUUGCAGUUCUCGAAGGCUUUCCAACUGCACCUCCUUCAAACAUGGGAAUAGUUUGUUUUCUUGUCCCUCAGCGAUAAUAGCUUCCAAUUGAAAUACCACAUGUACUCCCAGUCGUCUAAUACCCAAUUCUUCCAAAUUUUUUAAGCCGUGCUUCAACAGUGCUGGAAUCGUGUCACUCAAAUGGGAACAAUUGUCCACAUAUAGAAUUUUUAAGUUCUGAGACAAAUAAAUAAAUAACUUGAUGCAAUUAAAAUUUAUUAGCAGCUAGGAUUAUCACAUGAUAAGUGAUGAACACCGCAAAAAACAAAAACAGAAAACAAAAUCCAUACAAAAAUAUCAUAAUACAUAUGUAAACUAAUAAAAUAAUUAAAAACUAAUGGAUUUAAAUAAAAAAUGAAAUUAGGUAAAAGAGAUCAUGUGAAUUGAUAUAAACGUGACAUUAGAUUGUUUUAGAAAAAUUAUUAUUCUAUUAAUUUAUAUGGCUUGAUCAACUAUUUAAUUGAAUUUGAAUAAUAUUAUAUACACUUCAGAAGUAUUUGCAUCAAUUCUUUCUAAACCAAAAUGAGAUGUGAUUUUCAUUUGAAGAAUGAUUUUAGGUCUUAUAAUAAAGAAAUUUCUCCAAAAUAUCUGAGCAUUAUUAUUAUCACCACCACAUCCACCACCAUCAUCAUCUCCAUAGGAUCAAAAGUUUAAUGGCUGAUCAUAAAAUUUAUUGCUAAACUAUCAUUUUGAGUAAAAUUGAAUGAAAAGAAAAAACAUGAACCCAAACAAACAUACCUCUUUGAGAUACUGCAAAUUGGCUUCAAGUUCAUUACUGUUGAUGGUCAAGUUGGGACAGUUAUGAAGGUCUAAAUUUUCCAAUGCUGUCCAAAUUGAACAAUAAUUCUCUGAACAGAACUUGGUGAGUUCUGGGAGAUCUUUAAGUUUUAAUUUUCUCAACAAAGGGAGGGCGAGCAUCGUAUUUCCAUCUCCGACACUUAUUCCCCCUUCAUUGUGAUCAAACUUUGCUUCGACAAUAUAUUCCAGUCUCUCGCAAUAAGUCACAAUGAGACUUUUAAGCUGCUCCAAACUUCUAGCUUGUGACAACGUGAAGAUGUAUGUCAACUUGUUGCACAUAUGCACAUUCAAUUCUGUAAGAGUUUGGAGACUGAUCGCAUGUUGGGCGGGCGCCUUCCAUAUCCACUUCAGUUCUGGUAAUUGCAACAUAAAUAACUCUGCUAAUCUUGCGAGACUCUUCCCAUGCGGCGACUUAGAGGCAUCCAUUAUGCAUUCUAAAUCUUUGCAAUCGCGGACAUCAAGACAAGUCAACUCAUUUAAGCCCCUUUCAUCUAUGCUUGGCACAAUAUUGUAACAACCUAUAAUCCCACUCAAAUAAAGAAUUUCCAGUUCUUGAUACAAUGCCGAAAAAAUAACGAGCGAGGUCGCUUCAGGAGGGUAAUUAUUAAUUAUUAAGCUCUUUCUCUGACUAACAUAUUUCAUUUUAUCAACAACUCCUUCAACUUUAUAGAUGAUGUACCUUUGCAAUUUCGGGAAUGUAAAGUCUUUUGGAAGACAUACAACAGAUCCGUCGGCUUGGGAGUUCAACUCAGCAAGCCUAGCAUUACUUUCUUCUGAACUCAUCCCUUCAACCUCCCAAUUUUUUAUCCAACCAUAAAAUUCUUCCAAUUGAGGAAAUUUUUUUAUCGUAAUGGGAGAAACAGAACCGGUAUCAAUAAAUAGAAGUUUCAAUCUACGAAGUUCAUCCGACAAUUCUUCAGGAAUUUCAAUGGGAGAAUCCUCGGGAUAAAGAAGUUCAAGUCUCUUCAACUUUCCAAGAAAAGAUGCGUCACUCACAUCACAUCCAAUCAGCUGCAGAACUCGGAGGCUGCUGGCGAGGAAUCGAAGCGAUUUUAGUGAAAGGACUCCAUCUUUUAUAGUAACAACUUUCAAUGCUGGCAUCCCUUCAAAAAAAUGUUCUGGAACUUGAAAUUUGUAGUCACAUAGAGUAUUGUCCAAUCGCAAAAUAUGAAGGUUAGGGCAUACCAAACCACUAGGAAGCUCUUCUUCUUUAUUUCCCAUUACAAAGAUUCCUCUGUAUUGUUCCAGGCCUUCUUCCAUUGCCCAUUCUGCCAAUCCAAUGCCAACUUUACCAAAAAAUUUCUUCUCCACUAGUACUUCUGACCCUAUCCAUAUGGCUACAUCACGAACUAUGUCAUGCAUUUUCACAGAUCUGUCACUACCAGUGUCUAACAGCAGUGAAGCAGCUUUGAGUCCUUCAAUUGUUCCACGCAGUAGGCUUCUGGCGUGCUCUAUUGAUUCAGCUUGAUACCAGGUCAACCCCACUACAUAUCGAACCAAAACCUCCAAAUUAAUCUCAUAAUCUUCUGGAAACAGUGAACACAACAAGAAGCAUAACUUGGAAUUGUCAUCAUUCAAAUUGUCGUAACUAAAUUUGAGACAACCGUAAACGUCUAGGUUCUCCUCAUCAAUACCUUCUAUUGCAUAGAGUUUUGCAGCCUUUAGGUUAUGUAGAGCCAGGUUCCAUUCAUUAAAUCUUUUUCCUCUUAGUGCACUUCCAACAGCUUCAAUAGCUAAAGGCAGCCCCUUACAUUCUCCAGCAACUUCUUUGGAAACAUCAUUCAACGUGGAGUCAUUUACAUCAAUGCCGGCAUUUUGUCGCAGUAAAGCCAAUCCUUCUUCUGGCGUUAGUGUACUAAGUGGAAUCUGUGUGUCACAACCCAAAGAAUCAAAAACUGACUUUUUGCGAGUGGUUAGAAGGAUUUUGCAACAAUUAUCUCUACCACCGACGGGAAUACCUAAUUUUUUCUCCGAGUCGAGUUGUUUCCAAAUAUCAUCAAGGAUUACGAGGAUUUUGCUGCUUUUACUCUCAGAAAACAUCAAGCGCAAUCGGUCUGCUCUCUCUUUUUCAUCUUUCUCAUUUAGUGCCCAGCCUAACGACUUUGCCAGCUCACCUUGAACCUUUAUUAUAUCUGGAUCCUGAGACACAGUGGCUAUCCCCACCUUAUCGAAAAUCUUUUGUUGCCGAAGUUGAUUGCCCACAGAUUUUGCCAAGGUCGUCUUUCCUACACCGCCGAGACCAUGCAAUCCCACCAUCUUUGUGCUGUCUUUUUUCAGUGCUUCAGUGAUCUGAUUACAAGCCGAUUCUGUAGUCUCGAAAGAAGAAAAAAAUCUUGGAAUAGGCAUUUCUGUGUCUGAUGGUAGAGGUUUAGGAAGGGCAACUGUGCUGAAUUUGCCGCGGUCUUGUAGAUCGGACGACUUGAGAGUCUCCUUUGAUGCUUUUCUACCCAUCCAAUAUCGGAAACCCCAAUUAGGACACCAUCCAUUAAAACAACUCUUCUUUUCAUCUAUCUCUGCUUUCAAAUUUCGGACAUCGGCCAUUUCUUCGACUACAUCCGCCAGCCACUUCUCUACAUCUUUCUCAACUACUACAGCGCAAUGUUUUUGUCGUUCUUCUUCUACUUUUUUGUUGAUGCCAUCUUGUGCCUCCUUCAAAUUAGUUUCUUUAUCCUCAAGUUCUUUAACAAUGCUGUUGAAACAGAACAGAUAGCGAGCUUGUUUUACGGUAGCAUCCACCAAUAAUUCUACAAGCUUUGAUCCAAUACCUGAUAAAAUUUCCAUGCUAUUUAUCUGCAAUUGACAAAGUUGAUCUCAGUACACUAUAAGCAAAACAACAAGGCUUGAUCACAAGAUCGAACGAUAAUGUUUAAUUACUUUUUUAUUGAAUGUUUAAUUACUUUCUUUUAUUCUAUGAAUGCACGUUUAUUAACGCCAGCUUUGAUCAAUAAGAGCAAAAUGCAAACGCCAGGCUUCAAGUAGCCUUUAGCUGCAAACAAAAGAGAAGAAAUAAGGCAAACGUGAUAGAUGGUGGAUUAUAUUGAAAUUAGAUUACUUUAGAAAUUUUUAAAUAAAAAUAUCAAACAACAAAUUUAAUAAUAGAAUCUAGAUAAAUCGAAGAGUUUGUUAUGCAUUGCGAGUGAAGACAGGCAGUUACAUGGGGGAAUCUUGUAAGAGUGAUGAAAAUUAAAAAGCCAUCCAUAAUUGAAGUUAAAAAGAGUAUUAGAGAUUAGAGGGGUUCAACAUCUUAUGCAAGCUCACUCAUGAUAAAAUUUGAAGAUAAUUAUCCCAUUUUUACUUCAAUCAAUAUUCUAAUACAAUAAUUCCAUAAAUCUCAAAUAGUAUCUUAAGAUUUUUUUUUUUCCUCAAAAUUACCAUUAAAAGUAAAACAAACAUGAAGCUAAGAGCCUAUGAAACAAUAAUAUCUCAUACCUUCUUUCUCAUAGAUCCUCAAUUACCCCUGAAAGCUCCGGUUAGAGAGUCGCACAAGCUCGGAGAAAAUUAAAAGCUGCAUCCAGCAAUAUAAAUAAACAUCAGAUCAAAACAACAAAGCAUAUAUCUAGCUAACUAAACAUCAUCUAUAACUCCUCGUUCUCAGUCAAAUCUUUCAUUCUUAGGAGAUAAAAAAAAGAUUGAAAUAAUAACUGUAACUGAUAUAGGAAGCAAAAGUAACAUACCAAAACGAGAGCGGCUAGCUCACAGAUCUGGUGACUUCCAAGAGCAUGAAAAAUGAUUGAGGUUUAAUAGCAAGUUCACAGAUGACAGAUGUGGUGACUUCAAGAGCAUGAAAAAUGAUAAAACUUUGGUAGAAAGGUCUGAGCCGUGUUUCACAAGUUGCUAUUGACUUCGUGGCUUCGCUUUUAUUUAUUAUUAUUAUUAUUUUUUUAAAUUCUAUAUCAGUGAGAAUUGAAAUGUGGAAAGUGAAAUGAUACACAUGCCUUAUCAUCUAUCAUGAGGGGUGAUUUGGUAAAACCGAUUUAAAAUAAAAAAAAGUUUAAAAAGAUGCUUUGUGUCUGACUGCUUGUAUUUGGGGUAUUUUUCGGGUUGUUGAGAGUGAGUUUAAUUAAAUAUAAGAUUUUCAUUUUUCUUAUUCUAUUUUUCUCUUUAGAAUGAAUUUAAAUCUCAUUCUUAUUAAAUCCAUUUUUUUAAAUGAAAGUAGAUUUCUCUCCACACAUUUGAGAUAUAUUUUAAAAUUAAUGUUCAGUAUAUCUCUAAAUUAUAUUAUAAAUAUUUUUAUUUAAAAUCUCAACAGAUUUCAUAACGUACAAAGAGAAAUACAUAUAUAUGUUGUAAUGUUUUAAUGAUGGAUCUCCAAAGUUAUCAAGUUAAAAAAUAAAUUAAAAAAUAAAAAAUACACACUUCAACUUAUUAUAUGAUAAAAUAUAAUAAAUUAAAGUGAGUAUUAUAUUUAUUUUUUAUUUUAUCUCUUAACUUAAUAACCUAAAAUAUAUUUAUUUAAUAAUGAUUAUAUAUAUAUCUAUAUAAUUUUUUUAAAAAAUAAACAAUUUAAGUGAAGCAAAGGACAUUUUAGAGGCAUUGCGAGACUACCAAUUUACCAUUUUGGGUUGCAAUAAAGUGAAAACUGUAGACUACCAAUCUACCAUUUUAUUGAAUCGGGUCCCGCUGACUUGGAGCUUAUGUAAAGUUACAUUCAUAACAAAUUGAUACUUGUCUUUAUUAUAAAUUAUUCUUUUAUUCAAAUAUACGUUCAUUUCUUCAAUCAAGUCCUCAUAUUUGUUCAAUUUAUGAUAAGAUCCUUGUAUGGGAGCAUAUCUGCAAAUGUAAUAAUUAUUCUUCUAUUUCAGAUAGUUUUUGUGAAAAAAUACUUUUAUCAAUUAUUUAUGUUUACUAAUUCUUAUGUCUUUUUUUAUUACUUUCCAUAGCUCUAUACAAAUGUUUGCUAUAGAAUUUGUGUUAUUUCGCUAUAAUAUAAUUUAUAUUGUAAACCUCUGUUCAUCUGUAAAUAAAAUGACAAUUUUUUUGUUUACUCCUAAAAAAUAUGAAAAUAUUAAUUUACUCUCAUAUUUAUUUAGAAGACAAUGGCAAAUAAGGUCGCAUUGAUAAUUUUUUUUAUUUACUUAUUAAUUAAUUAGAGUAAAUUAAUAUUUUCAUAAUGAGAGAUACAUUGAAGAUUGUCAUUCUUAGUAGAGGGUAAAUUAAAGUUUAUCUAAUUAAUUUAAAAUAUCAUUAAAAUUUAACAUUCUAAUCUGGAUUAGAUUUCUGGGGGGGAGGGAGGGGAACGUCCUUAUUCGGAUUAGACUCAGCUGGAAGAGGCACAUCCUUAGCUGGAUCAAUUUGUUCAAGAUUGGAUGCAUCCAUCGGUUUCAAAUUUGUCUCUUGUAAGCAUCAUCGGAUUUCUUUACUAAAAUUUAGAUUAUCAAUCACAUCUAAAACUUAUUGAAUGAUACAUUUCAUUUCUAUAAAAUUGAGUUACUAUUACCACCUCACAUCUUAUAAAUUCUAGAAAAUAAUCAAGGCUUGACAUACUUUUAUUUAUGCAAAAGCAUAAGAAAAUAAUUCAAAGUACUAAUUAGUGCAGUAUUACUCAAAAUUCUAGAAUAGAUUUGCUAGUUCUCUUUAGCCAUAGAUUGGUCCAUGAUUGGCACCGCAAUAGCUCAGAAUCACCUCAACGAUUGUUCCACACAGCCCAACAUGACACACUGUAAACUAGUCUAACAUGAACUUUCUGAGUGGCUUUCUAACAAUAGUCUUAGAGAAAGUGUUUAGUAGUAUGAAGUCUUCUUUUUUUAACAUAAAUGUUGGCAUGAUAUUCUUAAUAUAUUUCUAAAAUCAAAAUAAGAUGCAUAGAGGACGAUGAUAAUUUUAUUUCAUAAUUGAAUUUUUUGCAAAGAAAGUUUGAACAUGAGAGUGAUGAGAGAUGAGAAUAUUGAUGAUGGUGUGUACUUUAGAUGUAAAAAUAGAUUGGAAAUAUAUAUAGACAUAUUAAAAGAAAAAAAUUUGGUCUAUUUCAUAAGAGAAACAAAAAAUUAUAAACGCGGGUGUUAAAAUAUAUUCAGAAUUUAUAAAUUUUUAUAAAUAUGAUAAUCAUUAGACCCUUAUAAAAGUAUAGCAAAAAGUUUAAAUUUUUUUAAUAAAUAUCGAAGAGAUGGACGAAGAAACCAUCCACCAGUUCAGAAUUAAUAAUCAAAGAUAUGAUGACUUGAUUGAAGAAAUGGUGAAAAAUAAAAGGACAGUAGGACACUGGGUUGGUUGGCAGGACCCUAAUAUUAAUGGUUAAAAAUAAAAGGACACUGGGUUGGUAUCAAUUUCUACCGUGUAGGUUCAUAGCCGGGGAAGUAAUUGGGCACAAAUAUCUCGGAUGAGAAAUAACCAUUUUAUCCCGCAACCAUAUGUUUAUGGCCUCUAAAAAUUUUCACCUCUUUCACUUCUGGAACCCGUGGUUUCUGGCACAUGCACAAUACUUGGUUGCUACUUAUAGAGCGUUUUUAGAAUUGCAAUAUAAUCUACAGCUGGUUGUUGACAUUACACUGCGGGUGUGUAAUUAUUACAUAUGCAGAUAUUCUCCCAUGCGAGGAUCUUAUCAUAAAUUUAAAGGAUACGAGGACUUGAUUGAAGAAAUGAACGAAUAUUUGAAUAAAAAAAAAUUUUAAAAUAAAGACAAGUAUUAAUUUACUAUGAAUGCAACUUACAUAAGUUAGCGGGACAAUAUUGAAUCACACGCAAAAAACAAUCUGUCUUCUUCUUGAUUUCGUAAUUUAGCUGUCAAAAUAUAAUCUAUAAAGAUUACGAUACCUCGAUUCAAAAAAUGAUGUAUCUGAUGAAAUAAAUGAAAAUUGAACGUACAAUCUACCACGAACACUAUUCAAUUAACCGUUUAUUUCCCCUUAAAUUUUUAAUUUCAAUGAAACAUAGAUCUAAUGGGAACUACAUAUAUAUAAAAAUACUAUAGAUUGAAGAAGUUGAAUUUUUCUUGUGUGUUAAGUAUUUUUAGUUAAUACAAAAGGAUUCUAGCAAGUUAAUACAAAAGUAUCAUAAAUUCAUAGUAGUACAAGAGAUUUUUUUUUUUCUUUGAUGUUAAGAGUUUUGGAGAUAAAAAAAAAUAUAUAUAGGUGAAAGAAGAAGAUGAGAGAAGAGAAAAUAUUAAGAAUAGUUUUGGAAUUUUGAUGCGUUUUAUAGAGUAAAAUCUAUAUUUUAUAGUAUAAAAUGAUAUACCCAAAAUUUAAUGAUAAAAUUUUAAGAAAAAAUUGCACUCGUCAAAAAAAAAAAAAGCUCAGCUUAGCCCAAAAUUUUUUUAUUAAUCAUCUAGUCACUAAUGUAAUCUCUUUUUUAUGAGAUUCUUGAGCAUUUUAAUUUAGUCCAUUGUUAGCUAUCCUAAUAGCUUUUAUGUGCAUCUAUUUUUAUUUGAAAUAUGUUUCAAGCUUGAAUAAAAUCUGCGGGACAACUGGUAAGUAAUAAAGCUCAUUAAUUUUUUAUUUUGAAAAUAAAGGGAAUCACUUACACUUAGCAUGAUAUUAUUUUUGAUAAGUCAUUUUUUUGGUAGAUUAUUUUUUCUGACACGCUCUUAGAUUUAGUGAAAAUAAAUUGUAUACUUUAAACGAAGAAAAGUAAAGAUCAACCAAAUAUUUUGUUCUUUCCGACAACUUUUGCGUUCUCAAGUGCGCCUGAUACCCUUUUUUUUUUAACAUGAGCCCACGUGCCAUUGUUUCCAUUUCAAGUUCAUAAUUUAACAGUAGAAAUGGGUUCCACAGAUACUUUAUUUUAUAAUUUUUUAAAAAAUUACCAAAAUAUAAUAAAUAAGGUAAUAAUAAUUAAUAAAAAAGUAGAUUUUAAGAUGGAAAAAUCUUUUUGUGUGCUUAAUAAAAAGAUGAUAAGAAUGGGAUGCUUUUAGUUAAUUGGUUUACAUUCUCAUGGUUAUUUAUACUGAAAAAUUACAUCAAAAUUUAAUUAAUAAAUCAGUGAACUGCAGACUUAUUAAAUUUAAGCUAUUUUAAUAAGUCAUAAAUAUACUAAGUUAAAAUAGUAGUAAACCCAUUGUUACACAAUACUCUCCAUUGAGUGUUCACCAUUUUAAGAUAAUCAUAAAAUGACACCGGAAGUGCUAUUAUAGCUGUCUCAUGGAAAGCCUUCACCAAUAAAAAGGAGGAUAGAGCACAUACAUCCAGUUUUUAUACCCUUUGAUGCUCAGUCGACACGUGCCAAUGCUAUAGACUAUCGGAUAAUCUACUAAGGUGACGCAUGCCAAUGCUAUAGACUAGCUUUUCAAAGGUUGAACUGGGAAUACUUUUAGUAAAAAGACCUGCAAAAUCAUAGUGUACCUAUUUGACAUCAACUUUUUUUAUCUGCUGGAGCUUAUGAUUAUAGAAGAUCUUCGGUAAGAUGUGUUUGAUAUUAGAAAAUCUCCUUUUAUAUAUCCUCUUCUAACUUGUGUAAUAGUAGUAAACCCCUGCCCCUCUUUAUUUCGUUUAGUAUUUUCUAAAUGGCCGAAGGAAAAUUGGUAAAAACUCAUUUAAAAAUUAAAAAAUCAAAGAAACUCAAGAAGAAGCUUUUGUAUCUGCCAUUUGUAUUUGGGGUAUUUUUUUGGUUGUUAAGUGAAUAAGCUUAAAUCUAAAACAUUUAUUUAUAUAUUUCUUGUUGGAAAGAAUUUAAAUUUUAUUCUUAUUAGACUUAUUCUCUCUAAACAAAGGUAGAUUUUUCUCUAUGUGUUUAACGUGUAUUUUAAAAUUAAUGUUCAACAUAUCUUUAGAUUCUAUUAUAAAUAUUCAUAUCUAAAAUCUCAACAGAUUUCAUAAUAUAUAAAUAUAUAUAAAGAGAGAGAAUAACGUUUAUAAUAAGAAAUUUAUUAAGUUAAAGAAUAAUUCAAAAGAUAAAAUAACACACUCUAAUAUAUUAUAUAAUAAAAUAUACUAUAUUAAAAUAUAUAUUUUGUUUACUUUUUUUAAUAUAUCUCUUAAUAACUUAAGAAAUCCUUUGUUUAACACACACUCUCUCUCUCUAUAUAUAUAUAUAGAGAGAGAGAAAUGUUCGCGGAAAACCUUUAAAACCACAUGAUUUUAAAUAUUUAAACUUUAAGAACCGAUGAACAAUUUUUGACAAAGACGUUGCGACCUAAGUAGGGAUAGCAACUAAAUUCGGAUCCAACUCCGCAUGUAAGGAUCCGAAAGAUCCAGAUCCAGAAAAUUUUUAUCUGAAUAUUAAAAAAUGUUGAUCCGAAUAUAGAAAUUUGGGAUCUGCACGGAUUGGGAUGGAAGUACAUUCGGAAAAUUGGAUAUCGAGAUCUGGAUAAAUUUUGUUUCAAAUUAAAAAUUAAAUUAAAAAUUAAAUGAAAAAUUAAAAAAGUAAAUUUUAUUUGUGGAUUUAUGAUGUUGUUGUAUAUUAUUCAUGUUGAAUUAUUAAUUGUUGGAUUAUGAUUGAAUUUUGUUUGAAAUUAUUGGGUAAAUUUUUUAAUUUUAUUUUAAAUUAAAAAUAUUUAUUAAAAUUAAAUAAAAAUAAAACAUUAAAUUUUAUUUGUAAAUUUAUGAGAUUAUUGUAUGUUAUUCAUUUUGAAUUAUGAUUAAAUUUUAUUUGAUAUUAUUAGGUAAAUUAUUAAACUUUCAAAUUAUAUAUUAAAUUAUUUAAUUUUAAUUUUUUGCGGAUCCGAAUAUCUAGAAUAUCUGUCCGCAUCCGGAUCUACAUAUUUUUUUAUGAAUCCAGAUAUAAGAAUAUGAAUGCGGAUCCAAAUUCGGAUUUUGCCAACCCUAGACCUAAAAUGUUGUGACUUGUCUGUUCUACUUCAAUAUUAAGCACAAAUUCUCUGUCAACAUGUCUGUUCUACUUCAAUAUUAAGCACAUUCAUAGCGGUAUCAAAAUGUUGUGACUUGUGACUACCCAAAAUCCCCAGAAAGAGUGAGAGAUUUCACUGAAGCUAAGUUGUGACUUGUGACUACCCAAAUGUUCUAUAACACGAUAUGAUUAUUCUAGUAACACAAAUCCAAUAGCAUGCAACAUAAUCUACUCUCUAACAUUGUGCAUUAGUAAAAUAAAACAGAGUAAAAAGAGAAACCAUGCCUGUGAAUCUCUUCUUUUCCCCCUGCCACCCCUUUUUUCGGUGAAGUCCAUCAAAUGAAAAUGCAGCAUGACCACGUUGGCCACUGCCACUGCCAUUGCUUCUUCAACUGUGCCUUUUGUUGCAUGAAAUAUUCAAUUGAAAGAUGGUUUAUAUAAUUCAAGAUUCCAAUAGACCUGAGCUGCAAAGGUUGCCUUCCACUAGCCUAUCAGAGAAUAUGCUUUCUAUUUUCCUAGUUUUUUAAUCAAAAUUUUGCAAGAUUUAUUUAUGGAAUACUUGAACAAAAUUUUAUGUAAGAUACCAUAAAGCCAAAUGCAAUCUUUUUAAUCCUCAGCAGCAACAUUUAAAGUAAAAAAAUGGAAGCCAUAUAAAUAUAACUAUGUUUGGUACAAGCAACAAUUAUUUCAAGCUUUCAGAAAUGCUAGCAAGAGAUUGUAAGAGAACUUUACCUAGUCACAGAAUAUGUCAAACAUACUACCACCAACUGUCUUCAGCACGAUUGUUAUGAAGUCGCUUUUGAAUCGGAAGAUUCCAGCUUCCACCAGGCACCAUUAUUUUCAUUCUUGAUACUAUCUGCAUCACUGGCAUUAGUUAUAUCAUCAACUUUUGCAUCCUCACUCUCAUCAUCCCAAUCAAGGCUUCUUCUCCAGCUCUGGAUUAUAAGUCCACUCCGACAUCUUCAAACAUCUCGGUCCUUCCAUUUGCCAACAACCGAUAUGGCUUCCUUCCUUGCCUUCCCCAUUAAUAUAUCACUCGAAGGAAAAAUAGCCCCCACAAAAAGGGUCUUCAGACACCGCAACUUUGCCUUCUGCAAAACCUCCACAAAAUCUGAAUUAUCCAACACAACAGCCAGACACUCAAUCCUUCUUUUGUCCAUCUUAUCCACCGUAUGAUUCCUCAACAAAAUAUCUACAGCUUGUGGCUUAUCUAACACUGUCUUGAUCCAAAACCCCGCUCUUUUCAACUCAUCUGCCAAACCAUAACCCACUUUUGGAGUCAAAAUUGUCCUUGCAGCCCUUUUAUAUUUUUCCAUCUCCAUCGAAUACUUGCCACUCAAAUGGAAUUACCAGACAGGAAUCCCAGUAACAAGUCCACUCAACUUCUUCUCAUCUGAUCCCUCUUUCACUCUGGCGGAAACAUUAAUAACCAUUCACCAGCCACAAAUUACCCAAGUAAGUACUCGUGUCGUCAACACUUACCCUUCACUUCAUCGACGCAAACAAGAAUUCAAAUUGCUUAUUAGCUAGUGCUCGAGCGAAAGCCAAAAUAAAUUAAAUAUGUGUGUGUGUGUGUGUUAAAAGAGAAACGGUAGCGAAGUUAUUAUACAAUCAAGCAAACAAAAAUAAAUUCUACCCUCAUGUGGGUGUUUCGCUCGCAAAAUCUGGACAAGAAAAAAUAAUAUUGAUACAAUCUCCAAAUAAAGAGCAUUCCUCUUGGUAAAAUAGACAAAUCCUAUAAAUUUUGAUUAAUGGUGCCAAAUGAAAGAGUUGUAAUUUCAUGUACAUUUUGUUAACAUGAAUAAGGGUACAAAAUAGAUAACAAAGUGACAAAAACAAGGCUAAUCACAAUGGAUGAUAAGGUUUAGAGUAAACAUAAAGUUAUAAUCUUGAACAUAAGUGGCGCUCAAAGCCAUGAAUUUGAUAUCAUCAACAAGGGGAGUUCAAACAACGGCAUGUAAGAAGCAACAACUGUUGAGAAAAAAAAAAUUCAUAGUAACACGAGAAUAAAUUGUAAAGAAAUCCCAGUUUGUAUAAAAGAAAGAAAACAAAAUUAAGGAAAACAUAAACACAACAAAAUUUGACUGAUUAUUAAAAAUGAGAAAUGAGUUAUAAUGAGAAUUUUGGCUUUGUGGUGAAAUAAAUUGGGAAGUAUCCAAAAUUCGCAUGUAAAUAAUAUAAAUGAUAAGAAGACGAAGGGAACAAAAUGAUAAUAAGCAAGCCAAAUAUUAAAAUGUAUUACACCUCCUAAAGUCAUGUUAAGAUAGUUAGUGAGCUGAUAAAGUUUGUUGCACGUUUGAGUUGGUUUUUUUUCUUUUUAAAAGAAAGUAACCAACCCUUUCAUUAAUCACAAGAACUUGAGUACAUCGUAUAAUUCAGUUAGAAUAUUUUCCAGCCACAUAAAGGGAGAGUUUUUCUCCAAAACUAUCUUAUUUAAGUAAUGGGCACAUGCAUUACAAUGUCUUAGAAUGUGAUUGACAACAACUUUUUGGAAGUUUUUCAUCUGGUUUUGGAUUGCCAGAAUUGUCCAAAAAAAUUUUGAUCUGUUGCCCUUGGUGUUGUUCACUAGCUGGACCACCUCUAAGCAAUCUGACUCAAUGAUCAAAGAGGUUACAUCCGCACUUCUUGCCAGCUGAAGGCCCCAAAGCACAGCCUCUACUUCAGCCAAGCUUACUGACCCCUUUAGGAGGUUCUGAUUAAUCCCAGCUGCAACUAUCUUACCAUUAGAGUCUCUAAUCACAGCUCACACUCCUUCACUCAGAUUCUUUGAAUUAAUAGCAGCAUCCACGUUAACUUUGAAAACAUUCUCAGGGAGGAGCCACUCCUGAUGCUUCUCUUUUCUGUGGAGAGAGAUAUGAGCUUGCUCGGGCUUCUUAACUCUCUGAAAUGCUAUCAACACAGAUUCCACUUUAGCAGCUGAGAUAAUAGGAUUAAUCUCCCUGCCAUCGAAAAUACAUUUGUUCCUAGCCUACCAAGCAGACCAACACAGAGCUACCAUUAAUUCCAAAUCUGUUUUCCUCAGCUCCUUAGCCAUUCUUUGAAGAGUGCUGAAGAUGUCCUAAGAAUUAGCUUCUAAGUUAUGGGCUGUAAAAGGGGACUGGAGCCAAAUCUUUCUCGCAACCUUGCACUCCAAGAGGGCAUGGCUGAUAGUCUCUACACUUAUUUUGCAUCGCUUACAAGUUGGCUCCUCCACUAACUUCCUUUUCCACAAAUUUUCCACCGAUGGAAGCAGAUUAUUUGAGACCCUCCACAUGAAGAUUUUAAGCUUCUCAGGUAGCUCCAGUGACCAAAGGGCACUCCAGUACUGGUUGGAAGCCUCUGAGCAGCUGGUAGAAUCUGAAAAUUUCGUUCUCAAUGCUAGUUGGUACCCACUCUUGACAGAGUGGUUCCCUCUUUUGCCGUAAUGCCAAAGCACUUCAUCUUCCGUUUGCUCAGCUGGGAGGGAAAUCUUGAGGAUCUCUGCUGUGUCUGCAUCCAUGAAGUGCUGUCGUGGCUUGAUUUCAUCCUAUUGGUUGUUAGCCUUAAUUAAGUCUACAACAACUGAGUUUACAGGCAAUGAUGGAAAAUAGAUCUGAAGGUCUCUGGUCUUGGCAGCCAAUUGUACGAGAAAAUUGCUAUCUUCUUGCCAUUACCUAUAUGCCACUCAGGCCCUUCUUAAUCACUUGCCUACCUCAAAGGAUGCUUCUCCAAAUAUACGAGGCAUUGGCUCCUGCUUCUGCACAUAAAAAGCUGGAUUUCCUGUAAUAUCUUGCUUGAAGGACUCUUGAGACUAGGGAAUUUAGGUACUGCAAUAACCUCCAUGCUUGCUUAGCUACCAAUGCUUGAUUGAAACAAGUAAACUCUCGAAAUCCCAGCCCCCUCUAAUCUUUGCUUGGCUAAGCUUCUCCCAUUUCCGCCAAUGGAUUCCGCGCUUAUCCCCUUUCGAGCCCCACUAGAACUUCACUAUAGCUCAUUGAAUAUCAUCACAAAGGCCUUUUGGGAGCUUGAAAACACUCAUUGCAUACACUGGAAUUGCUUGGGCUGCCGCUUUGAUCAGAAUUUCCUUCCCCCCACUAGACAACAUUUUAUGCUGCCAUCCUGCAAUCUUGUUCAACACUUUCAGUUUGAUGUCAUUAAAGAACCCCAUCUUCUUCCUCCCAAUCAUUGAUAGAAGACCGAGGUAUUUCUUGUGCUUUGAGACCACAUUUAGAUUAAAGAUACCCCUUAUAGCAGCCCUUUGAUGCUCUAGAAUUUUGCCACUGAAGAACAAUGAGGAUUUCUGAAAAUUAAAGAUCUGUCUUGAUGUUGCAGCGUAUUUAUCAAAAAUCUCUUUUAAAUGAAUGCAUUCAGCCACUGAUGCACGAGAGAAGACCAAGCUGUCGUCCGCAAACAACAAGUGAGUAAUUGAAACUUCCCGUACAAAUUUGAGGCCUCGGAUUAGCUGGUUUUGUUAUGCCAAUAUCAACAAAUUGGAGAGAGCCUCUGCACAAAGAAUAACAAGGUACGGGGAUAGUGGGCAGGCCUAUCGCAAGCCUCUUUCCAGCUGGAUCAUUCCUUUUGGCACACCAUUAAUAAGCACCGAGAAUGAAACGGAAGUAACACAUCUCAUUAUCAAAGCUACCCAAUUACUAGGAAACCCCAACUUUAUCAUAGUUUGUUCUAAAAAGGGCCACUCAACUCUAUCAUAAGCCUUACUUAUGUCCAAUUUUAAAGCCAUAAGUUCGUUCUUCUUCCCUUUGCUAUGUCUUAUUUUAUGAAUGCAUUCAUAACCAAUAAUGACAUUAUCGGUAAUGAGCCUAUUAGGGAUGAAUGCACUUUACAUUGGGGAGAUGAUUUGGGAAAGGAUCGGCUUCAUUCUAUUUGCAAUGGCCUUAGCUACAACUAUAUAAAUAACAUUACAAAUGCUGAUAUGUCUAUAAUCACUCACUUUCCUAGGAUUUGCAAUUUUUGGAAUCAAAGCAAUAAAAGUGUGAUUGAGGAUAGAUGGGUUACCUUGCUCAUUAAGGACAUUAAGACACGUUGAGAUCACUCAUUUACGGACGGAUUUCUAAUGCUUCUGAAAGAAGACAGCUGGAAGACCAUCAGGCCUUAGGGCCUUUGUGGGGCACAUGUUGGCAAGGGCUUCCUCUACGUCUUCAGCGAUGAACGGCUUUUCCAGCUGAACAUUCAUCUCCAGAGUUACUUUUGCAGUCAUUCCUUGAAGGGUUGCUUGGAUUUGGCUUGGAGUCGGGCUGGAAGUAGUGAAUAGCUCUUGGAAAUGGCUGCAAAACUCCUCCUCUAUUUCAUCCAUGUCCUUCACCCAAGUGCCUUAGUCGUUUUCAAUCCCCCACACCUUGUUCUUCCUUUUGCAGGCAGAAGCUUUGGCGUGAAAAUACUUCGUGUUCUUAUCCCCUUCUCUAAGCCAGUUGGCCCUCGAACGCUGUUUCCAGUAAAUCUCCUCGUCAACUAGCAUAGAGUUAAUCUGACUUUCCAACCUCUUAAUUUCCUUGCCAUCAUCCAGCUUUGAAUUCCAUCUCAUAGCAUCUUGAAGGCUCUGCAUCAACUUUUCUUGCUUUCUUUGCCUACCAUUAAAUUCGGUUUUGCUCCAAAGUUUUAGCUGGGCCAAUGAAGCUUUGGCCCUUCUCUAAAAUUGUUGAACAGGGGAUUCCCAAGCUCUAGUCCCAUGUCGACUCCACUCUUCCUGGACUCUACUCUUGCAGCCUUCGUGAGAACUCCACAUAUCCUCAUAAUGAUCUCGGGGGAAUGAUUUGCCCACAUUUCUCGAAUUCUUGCUUCGCUCAUUGAAUUCUAGAAUGAUUGGGCAAUGGUCCAAAGUCCAGUUCACUAGAUUUGUGGCUAUAGAUUCUUGGAAUUUAAUCCCCCAAUCCUUACUACACAGAAAUCGGUAUAAUCUCUCCUCAAUGAAAUGAUCUCCGUAUCUUUUAUUUGACCACGUAUAGAGAUAUCCCUUACUACCCAUAUCCUGCAAAUUGCAGUUUUGCACAACUUCCCUAAACUCGGCAACCAUAUUCAGAUUUCUCUCAUUGCCCCCAUUUUUCUCAUGCAUAUGCAUUAUCUCAUUGAAAUCCCCAAAACAGCACCAAGGAUAGGAGAAUAGACUGGCAACCCUUUUCAUGAGAGUCCAAGUAUUAUGCUUCUGGCUGAACUCGGGAUGGCUGUAGAUCCCUAUGCAUCUCCACCUCAAUCCACUUUCAUUACUCACUAUUGCAUCUAUAUGAUGUGGGCUGUACGAGGUAAUGCUAACAUUAACAUCUGCACUCCAAAGCAAGGCUAGACCUCCCCCCAUGCCCGUUCUAUCUACUGCAAAACAAUUCUCGAGAUUAAAGUCUCUACAAAUAGAUUCAACUUGCCUAGCCAACAUCUUGGUUUCACAAUAGAAAAGAAUUUGAGGCUGGUGUAGGUGGAGAAUUUUUUUGAGAGCUAGGCGCGUUCGAGGUUUCCCCAGACCUCAAACGUUCCAACUUAGGAGUUUCAUGGUUGUCGACGGGCCUGAAAUUCAGCACCCGCCGAUACUUCUUCUUCCAUAGCUGCCACAUUUUCCCCUUCAUCUGAUAUCUCUUCUGUUAUCUUUAGCUGCCGAGCUGUUCUGUUGGAGCUAAUGUGGUUGCAGUAGUCUGAGUUUAUUGCUAAACUUAUGUGGUUUCCCACGUGUGGUUGUUUUGGUGGACUGAGCACUCUUUUUUUUUGUGGGCUGAGCUGAUUGUCAUCACUACUAGGUCUUUUUGCUCCUAUUAACCCAUGAUCCUUCGCUCCUUUUGCUAUGGGAAUUCUUGCCUUAAGUUUCCAUUUUCUUGCUUUGGGCUUCACGUUAGUCUUGCUUGGCCCACUAUCCAUUUCUUCCAUAUCUGAUCUGGCACUCUCUUCAGCCUGCUUCCUUUUAUCUUUUAUUAUUUUCAAUCUUGCUUUAUCCAUAGGAUUUUCGUUUUCCUUCAAAAUCUUUUCUCCCACCUUUGUACUUUCAUAGCUAUAAUGGCUAUCAUUACUUGCCACCCUAUUCUGCACCUCGUCGAUGUCACAGCCCAUACUUUGACUCCCCACUUGCUGAUUUUUCGUCUAUGAAGAGGUCAACAUUAAAUGUGCUUUGUCAUAUUUCAGCAUGUUUCUUGUAUCCUCUAGUUCUGCUCCAUCUUUUAUUUCCUGAUUCGAUUUGUUCAAUUUUGACCUGUCUCGAUCAAUCGGGUUGUUUGAGCUUGGGCUGGUUGUUGCUUGCACAUUUGCUUUGAGAUUGGAUUGCUCUCGAUUGCCUUUCUCUCUACUUCGAUUUUGCUUUAUCCUGUCAGCUUGUGUAACAGUUCUCAUCCAUCCACCAUAAGGCAAGUCCUCCUUUUGUUGCCCUUUGUAUCUCAGGCAUUCCCUGUACUGGUGACCGAUAUGCGCACAACAAAAGCAAAAAUCAAGAAGUUUUUCAUACAAAAUUGGCAUUGGAGUUUUGCCAUCCGCUUGUUGUAGGAACACAAUCUUUUUUAGAGGCUGUGAAAUGUCAAUGGAUAUCCUGACUCUCGCAAACUGCCCAAUACAUUCCCCAGCUUCGUCUGUCUCCACUUCCUUGACUGUACCAAUUUUUUCUCCCAGCUUUUGGAUGACCUCCUUGUUCAUACACAUUAUUGGUAUGUUAUGGAUCUGAACCCAGAAUGUGGUAUGUGUAAAAGAUUGAUUUUUGAUAUCUCCAGUCAAGACUAUCAAUACUUUGUCGAAAUGCCACGACCCUCCCAUGAGCACCCUUUUCUUUUCUUCUUCAUAGGCGAACUUGAACAUGAAAAUGUUAUCCCCCAUGCUUUCUAUUUUAACCUCUUUGACGGAUCUCCAAGCCAUUUGCAUUGCAGCUUUCAAGCCCUCCUUGUUUAUACUUCUUGAUGUUAGCACUUUGCCCACUAAACAAUUCGCAGCUACUUCCUCUCCCUUUAUCUUCAUCCGCCCCAUGAAUGUUACGUUUAAUAUUAUAACGCUGUCAAUGGCAAAGUACGUGAGUGAUACAAAUUAAAAACAAACAAAUCAAACCCUGUGCACUGUCAUCCCUAAUUAUAUUUACCACUUCAUACUCACAGUGAUAAUAACUGUGUAUCACAGUUGACUUUCCAGACGGCUAAAAGUUCCAAGUCCGGAUGCUUGGUUAUUGAAACUUGAUGAAAAGGGCAUGAAAGAAAAUAAGAAAUUAAAUAAUACAGGAGGUAUUAAUCAUAACAUCUCUAGUUAAUGAAAAUUGAUGAACGGUAAUCCAAUAUUUCUGCAGACAUGAGCCGUAAUUAUGAUACCAUUAAGAAUGAAGCAGAAGAGUUUCCCCAAAAAAGUUAAAACGCGGCACUUGGAUUUAAAGAAUUAUCAUAUCACAGUACCGGGACAAAAAAAGGUUAAUGCAACAACAUACAUCAAGUUAAUUCCAUAAUCUAUCGCCAAAGAAAGACAAACACAAGCUUAUAAGAUUAAAACUUUGGAAAACAUUAGAGUCGGACAAAAUUGUGCAAUCUUCAGAGUUUGGAGCCUAGUUCAUCCAGGAAAGCAAAAGAAAUAAUAAUAAUAAUAAUAAUAAUAGUGGUUUGAUCUCAAAAGGUGACAUCAAGGUGGUAACUUUGAGGUAUUGGAAGCUAAAACGUCUUCAACUUUGUCCUGAUUUUGAAGUCCCUUAACCCAUCCGCCAUCAAUGGAUUGAAUGCUUCCAUUCAACCCAUCAUCCACAAAAUCACCAACCCGUUUCACCUUCAUCUCCUUCGGCUUAACAGGGUACUUCCCAUAGAAGCAAGCAUAACAAAAAUUCUGAGAAUCAUCGCCUGACAACUUGUUCAGGCUGUCAAUUGGCAGAAAAGCAAGCGAGUCACACCCAAUAAACUCCCUGAUUUCCUCGACGCUCAUCCUGUUGGAAAUCAACUCCUCACUACUUGGGGUGUCCACUCCAUAGUAACAACUUAACAAGAAGCUAUGAUUGGUGGGCUUGCAAUUCUCAUGUGAACCUCUUUAGCUCCAGCCUCCUUAAGCAACCGAACAAUUUUCGAUGAAGUUGUUCCUCUCACUAUUGAAUCAUCCACAACCACAACUCUCUUUCCCUCCAACACUCCCCUUACAGGAGAGAGCUUAAGCUUGACACCAAAGUCCCUAAUUUUCUGGGACGGCUCAAUGAAAGUUCUCCCAACAUAGUGUGACCUUAUCAACCCUUGUUGAAAUGGUACCCCGGCUUUCGCAGCGUACCCAAGUGCAGCCACCACUCCAGAAUCUGGUACUGCAAUCACAGCAUCACACUCAACAGGAGCCUCGGUAGCAAGUACUUCCCCAAAAUGAUACCUCAACUCAUAAACAGACCUACCAAAUACAACAGAAUUGGGCAAAGCAAAAUAAAUAUGCUCAAAGAUGCACUGGUUAGGUUCAGGGUGAGGCAUCAAACAAAGUGAUUGAACCCCAUCUUUAUCCACCAUCAAAACUUGGAUAUACCUCUCUCUCGUAUGUGGCCUCAAUCAAAUAGUGCACAAGUCUCUGUCGCAAAAACCAGAGCACCAUUACUCCUCCUACCCAUCACCAACGGCACAAACCCAUACGGGUCACGAACCGCAACAAGCUUAUCCUCAGUAACAAACACCAUUGAAUAAUUAUAUUAUUAUUAUUAUUGUUUUUAAAAAUAUCAUUUAUUUAUUUUUUAAAAUUUUUUUAAAGGUAAAGAAGUGGGUAAAGAUCAAAUUCAAUUUUUAUUCCUUACCCCCUAAGAUUUGAACUUAAGUGACCAAAUGUAUAAUAUUAAGCAUCUCAAAUUUCAUUUCUAAUGAUAUACAAUUUAUUAAGUGAUUGUUAAUCUUUACAAGAUUCGAGUGAAUUAAUUAUAUUAUUUCACUAUUAAUAAUAUGAGUAUCAUAUUAUUUGGAAUAACUUUUGAAUAAAAACAUUGUGAUGGAUGAAAUAUUCUUUUGAGAAUUUAUUGACUUAUCUCAUUUAUGAUUUAUUGUUGCAUUUAAGUGAUAUUGCAAAUAAUCUCAGAUAAUUUCAAGCCAUAUGUCAUUAUUGGGAUAAAAAUAAAGUAAAAUGGUUAAAACUAUUUUUAUGUAAUUUAUAAAAAUUAAUGAAGCAACUACAAAAUUUUUUAAACGAAAAACAAUUGAAAUGUGUGUGGAAAAAGAAGAAAAAAAAUAAGGCAUUUAAAUAUCUUCUUAAAAAAUACGAUUGAGUAAAAUCAUUUUAACAGAAUGCUCUUCCAAAUACAAUUCCACAUUUUUUUUAUUGCAGUGGGAUAUUCCAAAAUUGGCACAACUCAUUAAGAAUUCGGCAACUCAAAUUUUAUUUAUCACUCUAUGCAUUUGACAAAUUAAAAAGAAAAAAAAAAUUCAUAUAUCUUCUGUUCAAAAGAAACCUUGGUAAAUAUUGUAAAACAAAUUACCAUUUUUUUUAAUUUAUGCCAUUAUAUCGUCGCUAUUUUCUCGCCCACUUUCUUAAAAUAGAAUCAAUAUUCAUUGAUGGGUUGGGUUCCAGAGUAAGCACCAAUUCUGCAAAAUGGUUUUAUAGUAGAAAAAGCACUUGUAAGACAUUCAGAACACAUUUUUCAAUUUUGUCUUUUGAAAAUGAGUCUUGAGUUCCACAAGCCAAGAAGAAUGGCUAAAAAAUGUAUGGUAUCAAAGAAAGAGAAACACCCACACACACAGAGAUUAAUGGGGAGAUAUAUGAUUGUGUAAUUUGCAUAUAUAUCCCCAUUAAUUGUUGAUAGUCCAAUGGGUCUAUGCAAAAGGAAAAAAUUGGCUGUCCUUAAAGACAAAAUUGACUGUCACAUGAAAAUAAAAAAAUUUGUUACCACGCAACGAAAAUAAAGAUUUCAAGAACAACUUUAUGGUCCCCUUUCUGUCCAAACAUAUGCGAUAGCAAUUAGUGUAAACGACACUUGAAAUAUAUAUAGUAGAUCCUCACGCAAUUGAUAAAUAUUUAUAGUAGGAUGGAGUGAUAAAUAGUUUCACAAAAUUAUUGGAAUUAACUAUUGAAUACAUGAGAUCUAUCUCAUUAAGGAUAAAAGAUUUGAGUGCUACUUCAAAAGCAUGACGUUGCUGGCAACAAAUUUAACACAAAAGUUUAAUUAAUUAUCUUAGUUGAGACGAUAAAAUCUUGGAUUAAGAACAAAAGGUUUGAGGUUCGAACCUUCUCAUUCAAGAAAAUCAAAAUAUUACAUCUUCCAGCACAUAUCAAACAUUUUUUCAAAGGCAGACUGACAAUUCAGGGUAAAAAAAACAAAAAAACAAAAGGAAUAUAUGCUAUUGAAGACAAGUAUACCUUGGACAUGAAGUCUGAGUCCAGAACAAGAAGCAAUUAGCUGAUCUUUCAAUUUCCAAAACCCAACAAAAUCUUUGUCAAAAUAUACGAUCUAGUCCCAUAUUAAGCACAUUCAUAGCCGUAUCACCAGGUUCAAAAUAUUUUCCCCAAAAAGAGAUAGAGAUUCCAUUGAAGUUGAGUUGUGACUGUCCCAACGUUUGUAAUUAUAUGUUUCAGGAUACCAUGCCUAUGAAUCAUUUUUUUUUUCCAUGUUUCGAAGUCUAUCAAAUGAAAAUGUAAUUAUAUGGUUCAGGAUACCAAUAUGCCAGAGCUGCAAAGGUUGACUUCUACUAUCCUAUCAAUGUCUAUACUUUCUAUUGAAUUUCCUUGUUUGUUUUUUUAAAUUGCGAGAUUUAUUUUUAGAAAUCUUUGACACAUUUUAUGAAAGAUACCAUAAAACCAAAUACAACCAUUUUGAUUCAGCAACAACUUUUUUUUUUCCUUUUAAAAAAAGGAAGCCAUAUAAAUGAUGCUUUAAACAUUAUUUGCAGCAAGGAACAAUUAUUUCAUGCUUUCAGGUAUUAGAAACUUCCCAAAAAUGCUAGCAAGAAAAUGAAAUGGAACUUUACCUAGUCACAGAAUAUGUAUUGCUGUUAGCCCAAUUGUUAUGAAGUGGCUUCUGCAUCAGAAGAUUCCAGCUCCCACCAAGCAUUGUUAUCUCUCUUCUGAAUACAAUCUGCAUCCCUGGGCAUGAGUUAUAUCAUUAAUGUCUGCAUCCUCACUUACAUCAUCCCAAUCAAGUGUUUUUUCUCCAUAUCUGGAUUAUAAGUCCACUCUAAUCUCUUCAAAACAUCCUAGUCCUUCCAUCAUACGACUUCCUUCCUAAUUACUUUCCCAUUAAUAAAUCGCUCCAAGAAAAAAAAAGCAUUAACAAUUCUCUUCAACGCCCCAUCACUCAUAUCCCCUACAACAAACAUCUUUAGACACCUCAAUGUUGCCUCUUGAAAGACCUCCACAAAAUCCGAAUCAUCUGACACAACCAUCAAACACCUAAACCUUCUUUAGUCCACCAUAUCCACCAUAUAAUUCCUUAACUAAACAUCGGCAUCUUGUGGCUUAUCUAACACCUUCCUGACCCAAAACCAUGCUCUUUUCAACUAAUCUGCAAAACCAUAACCCACUUUUGGAGUCAAAAUUGCGCUUGCAGCCAUUUUAUAUUUUUCCAUCUUUAUUGAAUAGUUGCCAACCAAAAGCACUCUCACCUUCCCUCUAGUUGAUUCUAUUUGAUUCGACCUUUUCUUUUGUUCACCCUCAUGAAUUUGCCUAAAAUGAUUAAUAAGUUUGUCAUUAUUAUAAAAUCUCCUUCCACAAUCACCAAUACAUACGGCUUAGCAGGCCUAAUUACACCCUUGAUUUAUAAUUGGAUAAACAAUUCUUUUUCUUUCUUUGCUCUCUUACAACUUGAGGCACAUAACUAAACGUGUGGCUAUUAGCAUUUGCCACCAUGUAUUUAACAACCCCAAAUGAAGAUAUUAAUUUUUUUAGUUUAAUUGCUGCUUCAAAAUGGGGUACUGCAUUUGGAUUUUGUUAUUCAAAUUCCAAAAUGUUCCCACAUUGUGUUGGACAGUUUUUGGUUCUAAAGUUUAUGACUGGUUUUGCCAAUCAGGCUUCAAAUGAGAACUUCUAAACAAUAAGACAAAUAGGUUUUGAGUUUCUAAUCUUAUAAACUUUGUUCUAUUGUAUAAGUUAUGAAAUCGCUGAAACAUCACUACAGCUACAGGUCUUUAUGUGUCAAUGAACUGCAGAAGCUGAUGAUCUACUUGUAGUAGACUCCUAUUGCCCCUGCCAUUCUAGGAAGACAAACAAGUUCAGGAACUACAUCUGGACCAAACUCGUAAUAUUGCCACUGCUUUGUGCCAAUCUGAGACGGAAAGAAGAUUGAAGUUCCUAAAUAAGGCACAUCAUGAUUUAAUAGAAGUACCAUUAUAAGGAAAAAAUGAUUUCAGGAAAGCACUAAAAUAUGACAUAAUCUCCCCCUAAUGGUCUAAAGUAGUCAAGAAAUUAUAUCAACCAAGCAAAAACACAUAAACUAGUUGAGAUACAAAGUUAUCAUAAAAGUCAAUUUUGAUCACAAAUCCAUUAAAAUUAAAAGACAUCAGAAAGUUAUAGAACAUUAUAAUUUAGGACUUAGCUAAGUUGCAAAUUCUGUAAUUAACAGCUGAGUCCACAUUGGCCUUGCAUCAGCUGAGUUUGGGUUGCUUUUCCUCUCUCCUGCAACGCGUGAAAGCGUCCCAUUUGCUGUGUUAUAUACAGAGUCGGUACCGUAGCAAGCUCCUAUAAUUUAAGUUUGAUUACUGUAGACAAUAGUCUGCCUCUGUUCAAAAGCUAUGCUGCAAGAUAUAACGUCUUUGCAAUGUUGUACUUUCUAAAAGUAAUAAGAAAUGAAACCAAGGGGUAAACCGAACACCAAAAGAAAUUUAGUCGGCCAACCAUAUUAUGUUCCCACACAGUCCACUAAUUAAGUUAAUAAUUAAAGGGAAUUAAAAUCUAAGAAAUCUCAUCUUCAAGCAGAAUACAAACACACCAGGAUUGAAAAUCACAAAAUCAUAAAAAGAAGCUGACUUGAAAAGCUCAAAUAUACGUUCAUCAGCCUCUCAACUUAUAUCUAAGAACAAAUGCCUGCAGCCUGUGAAGACAUAGAUAAUUGAAGCUGAUGAGGCAUAUUUAACAGAUGAUAAUCAAAACUCAUGUGAUUAAAAUUAUAAUUCAAUAAUGGAUCACAUAAAACAACAAGUAACUAGUUGUAUAUAUACCAAACAACUUUCUGAAGUUAAGGCGUAAAACAAAAACGUAGAACAAAUUAAUUAAAUAUACUAGCACCAAUACUCUUAUUAUUAUCCACGUAGAAAAUAACAAUGUAUCAAACAAGGAAAAUGAAAUAUUGUUAAUAACUCAAAAACCACUAGUGUCAAGAACUAGACUAAUAAGUGAAACCCAUAAUCAGACACAACCACAUCAAAAUCUCUGAAAAUUGAGGUCUAAACAUUGAAAACAAUUAGACAUAUAUAACAGUCAAUCGAAACAAAGCCUCAAAAUAAUAAUAAACUACAAUAAGACAGAACCUAAAUUGUAAACACACGCAUACCCAGUAACAGUAAUCAAGUAACAAGUCAAAACCAGAAUCAAACGUAGAAUUUUGAAAUCCAUACGAACUCUAACGUAUUAGAAUGAAAGAAUAAGGAUGAUCAAUAAACUAGACUCAAACAAAAACAUGCCCAGUUAAAAAAUGAAGGUAAAUAAAUAAAAAUGGUAUAAAACUGCGAAAAAAAUUAAUGAAAUGAAGAGAAAAUCACAGGAAUCCUAUGAAGAGGAAGGUAAAGAAACCUUCCAGAGCCGAGAAGAUGCCUUUUUGGUUGACGUUUGUGCCUAUACAUAUAUAUAUAUAUUUUUUAAUUUUGAAGAAAGCAUUGGUUAACAGAAAGGGAUGGCAACGUGGCAGAUAUAUAUUAGAUUUAUUCUACUCCAGAUUCGUAUCCAUAAUAAAAAUUAAAAUUCGUAUAUGCUCUAUAUUUGUCAUAAAUUUAUAUUUUUCGUUCCAUAUUCAGAUCUAAAAAAUAAAUAAAUAUCUAUAACUGCUCUAAAUCUGGAAAAAAAAAUUAAAAUCCAAAUAUACUUUAAAUUCAUCAUGAAUUCUAAAACUUAGUAAUAAAAAAGUAAUAAUUUUUUAGAAUGAAAAUUGAAGACUAAAAUGUAUUGAUAACAAUAAAUUAUAUAUUUUUUCUCAAAAAUAUAAUAAAUAUUGUAGCUUAUACUUUUACACUAAAACAACAAAUAAGAAAGAUAAUAAAAUAUUUUUCAAAAGUAAUUGCAGGAGUAAGAUCAAUAUAAUAUUAUACUGUCUCUUUUAUCAUUUUAAUAUCCAUGACACACCUACCCUUAUUUCUACAACAUUAGAUAAUGACAUAUAAAUUAAAUAUGAUUUAUAUUCAGUGCUUUUUAUUUUUAUUAUGACCAUAUUUAACUAAAUAUAUGAAUAAUUAUAUUCAUUAAAAAUUAUUUGGCCAAUAUAAUGAAAUAAAUUGUCAGGUUGUAUUACUUGGCUUGCAAUUUGAAUAUUGCAUGUACAUGCUUUGGGGCUGGCUGAUCUUUAAAUUUACAAAACUAAUCUUUAAGUUUUAAGAGUUUAAAUACAUGGUAAAUAUUACUAAUAUACUAUGAAUAAAAUUUAUUAUCAUUAUAAUUCCACAAUUUUUAAGAAACUUUUAAAAUAAAAUAAAAUUAAAAGAUUGGUGGAUAUGGAUAUGGAUUUAGAUAUUAUGAUAGAUCCAGACCUGCUCCAGAUCUGUCUUAGAUCCGCACAUCAAUAUCCAAAUAUGAUCUAAAUUCAUUUUAAGCUGACCCAAAUCCGAUCCGAUUGGAUUUAGAUCACGUGGAUCUUGAGUCAGAUCCAAUCAUUGCCAUUAGGGAUGGCAAUUUGCGGGCCUGGGCCGGGCUUUUUAAAGCUCAGGCCCAAGCCCACAUCAGUUAAACGAUGUCCAGGCCCUUCAAAAGCCCGCCCAACCGAACUCGGGUCAGGCCUAAGCGGGCCUAGGCUAGGCUCGGGCUUUUAAAAUUAAUUAUAAAAUAUUUUUUAAAUUAAGAAAAUUAUUUAAAUUAAAGAUAAUAAUAUAAUAUAUAAAUAGAAUAAUAGUCAAAUACAUUAAAUAUUAGCAAUACAACCUAAUAAAAUAACAAAUACUAAUAUAAAAAAUUAAAGUAAUUUAAUAUUUUGAUUUUUUUCUUUUUUAUUUAAAUUAAAUUUAUUUUUUAUUCAUAAAUUUAGAAAGCCCUUGCUUUUUUGCUAAGCCCUUGUCUAGGCCCAACAUAUGUGGGCUUUGUAAUUUUUAGGCUCAUAUCCAAGCCCACCCCCUUGCGGGCCGGGUGUUAGGCCCGCGGGCCUGGGCUGGGCUUGACCGGGCCUGGGCCGGCCCGGGCUUUUUUGCCAAAUAUGAUCUAAAUUCAUUUUAAGCUGACCCAAAUAUGAUCCGAUUGGAUUUAGAUCACGUGGAUCUUGAGUCAGAUCCAAUCCAUUGCCAUCCCUAUUAACAGAACGAAAUAUUAAUAAUAGAUGUUGGCAAUUUCAACAAGGACAAUCUUGGAUUCAAAUGUACCCCUAUGAUAAAGAAAAAGCCAGCUUGGCUAAAUUUUGAGCACCACAUUACAAGAUCUAGGUGUAUGCUUAACUAUGCAAAAUGAAACAUCUAUUAAUUGUAAGUCCCUUGACCUCUGUAACCAGCCAACCGGUCUCUUUCCUACUAGACAACCUUCCAUCGACCAGAUUAAUAAUAUUUACUAAAUCAUGUUCUAUAGUUAAUGAAGUUGGACCAAGGCAAUUGUUAGCUUAAUGUCACAGGCCGCUCAAAUUUGCCGUAAUUGGAGGAUAAUUAUGUGCACAUGAGUUUGCUUAGCAAAAGUCCGCCUCGACGUGGAGUGCGCUUAAAAGCGGGAUGCACUUAGAAGUGGGAUGCGCUUAGCAAAUCAUCCAAGCCCAACCCAAGAUCUAGAACUCUCUGCAAAUUAUAAAUAAGUUAAAAGUUUUUAUAUUUCUCCACGUAGGUCCCUAGGAUAUUUAUGGAAGUUGCUAGGAAGUUUCCUCCCCUAAAAUGUUAACAUUUUGGUGGACGGUUAAUAUAAGUUACAAACUUAAAAUAGAAAAUCAAAUAAAUUCAAAUUUUCAAACUAUUUAUGGCAAAUUUAGGACAUAUGGUUAAUAAUUUUCCCAUGUCUUUUUACAUUGGUUGGUAUAAGUUACAAACUUAAAAUAGAAAAUCAAAUAAAUUUAUAUUUUCAAACUAUUUAGGGCAAACUUAGGGUAUAUGGUUAAUAAUUUUCCUUUAUUUUUUUUUACGUUAAAUUGAGUUUCAAAGGUAAAAUGGUCAAUUUAUUAUAAAUCUGUUAAUUUUUUAGUGGAAGCAAAUGAUAUAAUGGACGAAUGAUAUAAAUUGUAAAAUUAAGUUGCAUGAAUGAUACAACUUUAAAGUAUUGUAGUAAUCUUAAUAAUAGAACAAUUUAAGGGUGGAUUGGCAAUAAUUUAAACUUUAAUGAAGCAACUAAAAAAAAUUUUUAACAAAAGAAAAAUAAUUGAAAUGCUUUAAGAAAAAUAAAGGAAAUUAAAUAUCUUUAUAAAAACAUAAUUGAGUAAAAUCAUUUUACAAAAUGCUCUUUCAAAUGCACAUUCCACAAGUCAGGGAGAACGGGUGGCUAACAAAAAUCUCACUUUUUAUGAGUUUAUAAAAUCUCACUUUUGCAGAAUUCAAAAAUAACAAAUACUAAUCACACAAAAAAUAAAAAUUAUUGCUGUCACGACAUUACGCACUUUCUUCGUUGUCUAGAAAGGUAGAACAUUUCGAUGUUCCUCAAUACAAAAUGCGUGCUACUACUAAAUUGGCCCAAUUAAUGCCCAUCGAAAAGGCCAUGAAUUUAGCCAACAAUUUUGUCAAAAUUUCAGCAAUUGAAGAAAUAAUGAUCACAAACAGAACAGUUGAAUUUUGAAGUUUGAAAAAAUCUCCAGAUACGUACAACAAAGUCUUGAAGCUCUGGUCUUUACAAUUUGAGCACAGAAUAAAUAUUAACUACCUGCCAUUUAUAAUUUGUAUUAACUCUGUACCAAAACGUUAAUCGUCAUUCAUAAUUAAUGACGUGACAAUGAUAAUUUAAACAUUUGAUAUGCUUAAUAAAAAAUAAAAUAAUAACUUUAAAUAUAAAAAUUAAAAGAUAUUUUUAUAAUCAAUUCAAUUAAAUACACUUAAAAACUCACAUUAAUCCACAAAAUGCAUACAAAUGUACAGUACCAGAGAAUGAGAAACACACAUUUAUAGGCAAUCCAUUUGAGUUUAUGAAAUCUCAGUUCCCAAAAUCCAAAAAUAUUCAAUACACUCACAAACUUAAAAAAUAAAAAUGAUUGCUGUCAAGACACUUUUUAGCUGUCUAAAAAGCUAAACAUUUGAAGUUGUUUGAUACAAAAUGCAUGCUAAAUUGGCACAAUAAAUCCCCAUCGAAAGGUUAACAAUUGAAGGACAAUGAACACAAACGUAAUCUUUAGAUACAUACAACCAAUCCUUCAAACUUUAGUCUUCACAAUUUGAGCACGCCAUAACCACCCGCAAACAAGUUUUGGUAGCUUCUUGCGCGAACUGAACCCGCUGAAAUGUUUCUCUUAUUUUGUUAUUUUUUUUCUUUUUUUUUCUUUUUAGUCAUUUAUGUUCGCUGGCAUCUUCGUUGGCGUCUCUAUCUUCGCUGGCAUCUGCCUCGCCUGUAGUUUCAGUGCUAAUAUCCAACCAAUAAAAUGGGCAUUAAAUAUGAAUGAUGAAUAAAAUAAAAUAAAACAGAGAAAAUAAUGACAAGAAGAAAAACAAACUUUAAAAAAAAUUAUUAAAAGGGAAAUUUUGAGUUUAGCAUAGAUCAAACAGGCAUCACAAACUAAAACAAGAACCAACUAUAAAUAGAGUCAAUUAAUUGAAGUUCUCAAGAGCUUACCUCUGCUCCGGAAUUCUCGGAAUCAUCCACAUAUCUCCUUUUGAAUUUGCACCAAGCUUGGGACAAUUAUAAACGUAUGCAGAUGGAAAUCGAUUUUGAAAAGAGCUGUGGAAAAAGGGAUGGCGAAUGUUGCGAUAUGGAAAAUUUAGCAGUUCAAACUCCCGAAGUUGCUUCAUAACAAUUUGAUUGCAAUCCACGACGUCUGCUCCAUUUUUAUGCCAGAAUAUUGCUUCUAAUUCAUCAUUUCGUUCUAUCCGUAAGAAAUAUAGUUUUUGAAGACUUGGAGCUACGCCGAUAUGAAAUAGAUGCUUUAGUUUGGGGCAACCACAGACAGUGAUGCUUGUGAGUUUUGGGAAACAUACAGGUUGGAGAUGAUCCUCAUCCUCAUCCUCAUCAAUGAUUUGCUCUAAUUCGAAGCAGUUAUCAAUAACCAGCCCCUGCAAUUGCAACAGAUUUCGAGCAAAUGUUGAUGUGAAGAGACGCCUGAGCAUAGUGCACCCGUCCACUCUUAAAUGGGUAAGAUUUUGGAGGCUAAAAUUAUGCGUGGGACCUUCAUGAUAUAAUAAUACUUGCAGUUCUCGAAGGUUUUCCAACUGCACCUCCUUCAAACAUGGGAAUAAUUUGUUUUCUUGUCCCUUAGCGAUAAUAGCUUCCAAUUGAAAUACCACAUGUACUCCAAGUUGGCUAAUACCCAAUUCUUCCAAAUUUUUUAAGCCGUGCUUCAACAGUGCUGGAAUCGUGUCACUCAAAUGGGAACAAUUGUCCACAUAUAGAAUUUUUAAGUUCUGAGACAAAUAAAUAAAUAACUUGAUGCAAUUAAAAUCUAUUAGCAAGCUAGGAUUAUCACAUGAUAAGUGAUGAACACUGCAAAAAACAAAAACAGAAAACAAAAUCCAAACAAAAAUAUCAUAAUACAUAUGUAAACUAAUAAAAUAAUUAAAAAGUAAUGGAUUUAAAAAAAAAUUAGUUAAAAGAGAUCAUGUGAAGUGAUAUAAAUGUGACAUUAGAUUGUUUUAGAAAAAAUAUUAUUCUAUUAAUUUAUAUGGUUUGAUCAACUAUUUAAUUGAAUUUGAUUAAUAUUAUAUACACUUCAGAAGUAUUUGAAGAAUGGUUUUAGCCUUAUAAUAAAGAAAAUUCCCUAAGAUAUCUGAGCAUUAUUAUUAUCAUUACCACAUUCACGACCACCAUCAUCAUCUCCAUAGGAUCAAAAAAUUAAUGGCUGAUCAUAAAAUUUAUUGUUAAAAUAUCCUUUUGAGUAAAAUUGAAUGAAAAGAAAAAAUAUGAACCCAAACAGACAUACCUCUUUGAGAUACUGCAAAUUGGCUUCAAGUUCAUUACUGUUGAUGGUCAAGUUGGGACAGCAAUCAAGCUGUAACUCUUCCAAUGCUGCCCAAAUUGAACAAUAAUUCUCUGAACAGAACUUGGUGAGUUCUGGGAGAUCUUCAAGUUCUAAUUUUCUCAACAAAGGGAGGGCGAGCAUCGUAUUUCCAUCUCCGACACUUAUUUCCCCUUCAUUAUGAUCAAACUUUGCUUCGACAAUACAUUCCAGUCUCUCGCAUUCCCUUACAUGGAGACUUUUAAGCUGCUCCAAACUUCGAGCUUGUGACAACGUGAAGAUAUAUGUCAACUUGUUGCACCUAACCACAUUCAAUUCUGUAAGAGUUUGGAGACUGAUCACAUGUUGGGCGGGCGCCUUCCAUAUCCACUUCAGUUCUGGUAAGUUCCACAUAGAUAACUCUGCUAAUCUUGAGAGACUCUUUCCAUGCGGCGACUUAGAGGCUUCCAUUAUGCAUUCUAAAUCUUCGCAAUCGCCGACAUCAAGACAAGUCAACUCAUUUAAGCCCCUUUCAUCUAUGCUUGGCACAAUAUUGUAACAACCUAUAAUCCAUCUUAUAUAAAGAAUUUCCAGUUCUUGAUACAAAGCCGAAAAAAUACCGAGCGAGGUCACUUCAGGAGGGUCAUUCUCAAUGAUUAAGCUCUUUCUCUGACUACCAUAUUCCAUUUUAUAAAAAACUUCUUCACCUUUACAGAUGACGUACCUUUGCAAUUUCGGGAAUGUAAAGUCUUUUGGAAGAUAUACAACAGAUCCGUCGGCUUGGGAGUUCAACUCAGCAAGCCUAGCAUUACUUUCUUCUGAACUCAUCCCUUCAACCUCCCAAUUUUUUAUCCGACCAUAAAAUUCUUCUAAUUUUUUUAUCGUAAUGGGAGAAACAGAACUAGUAUCAAUAUGUAGAAGUUUCAAUCUACCAAGUUCAUCCGACAAUUCUUCAGGAAUUUCAAUGGGAGACGACCGGAGAUAAAGAAGUUCAAGUCUCUUCAACUUUCCAAGAAAAAACGCGUCACUCAAAUCACACAAAAUCAACUGCAGAACUCGGAGGUUAUUGGCUAGGAAUCGAAGUGAUUUUAGUGAAAGGACUCCAUUUAUUAUAGUAACAACUUUCAAUGCUGGCAUCCCUUCAAAAAAAUUUUCUGGAACUUGCAAUUUGUAGUCACAUAGAGUGUUGUCCAGUCGCAAAAUAUGAAGGUUAGGGCAUACCAAACGACUAGGAAGCUCUUCUUCUUUAUUUCCCAUUACAGAGAUUCCUCUAUAUUGCUCCGGGCCUUCUUCCAUUACCCGUUCUGCCAAUCCAAUGCCAACUUUACUAAAAAAUUUCUUCUCCACUAGUACUUCUGAGCCUAUCCAUAUGGCUACAUCACGAACUAUGUCAUGCAUUUUCACAGAUCUGUCAUUACCAGUGUCUAACAGUAGUGAAGCAGCUUUGAGUCCGUCAAUUGUUCCAAGCAGUAGGCUUCUGGUGUUCUCUAUUGACUCAGCUUGAUACCAAGUCAACCCUACUGCAUAUCCAACCAAAUCCUCCAAAUUAAUCUCAUAAUCUUCUGGAAAUAGCGAACACAACAAGAAGCAUAACUUGGAAUUGUCAUCAUUCAAUUCGUCGUAACUAAAUUUGAGACAACCGUAAACGUCUAAGUUCUCCUCAUCAAUACCUUCUAUUGCAUAGAGUUUUGCAGCCUUUAGGUUAUGUAGAGCUAGGUUCCAUUCAUUAAAUCUUUUUCCUCUUAGUGCACUUCCAACAGCUUCAAUAGCUAAAGGCAGCCCCUUACAUUCUCCAGCAACUUCUUUGGAAACAUCAUUCAAGGUGGAGUCAUUUACAUUAAUUUUGGCAUUUUUUCGCAGUAAAGCCAAUCCUUCUUCUGGCGUUAGUGUACUAAGUGGAAUCUGUGUGUCACAACCCAAAGAAUCACAAACUGACUUUUUGCGAGUGGUUAGAAGGAUUUUGCAACAAUUAUCUCUACCACCGACGGUAAUACCUAAUUUUUUCUCCGAGUCGAGUGGUUUCCAAACAUCAUCAAGGAUUACGAGGAUUUUGCUGCUUUUACUCUCAGAAAACAUCAAGCGCAAUCGGUCUGCUCUCUCUUUUUCAUCUUUCUCAUUUAGUGCCCAGCCUAACGACUUUGCCAACUCACCUUGAACCUUUAUUAUAUCUAGAUCCUGAGACAUAGUGGCUAUCCCCACCUUAUCGAAAAGCUUUUGUUGCCGAAGUUGAUUGCCCACAUAUUUUGCCAGGGUUGUCUUUCCUACACCACCGAGACCAUGCAAUCCCACCAUCUUUGUGCUCUCUUUUUUCAGUGCGUCAAUGAUCUGAUUGCAAGCGGAUUCUGUGGUCUUGAAAAUAGAAGUAAAAUGCCUUGGCAAACUUAAUUCUCUUUCUAAUGGUAGAGGUUUAGGAGAGGCAACUGUGUUGAAUUGGCUGCAGCCUUGUAGCAGAUCGGACAACUUGCUAGUCUUCUCUGAUGCUUUUCUGCCCAGACGAUAUCGGCAACACCAAUUAGGACACAAUCCAUGAAGACUACUAUCCUUUUCAUCUAUCUCUGCUUUCAACUUCCAAACAUCGUCCAAUUCUUCGACUCCAUUAUUCAGCCACUCCAUUACAUUUUCAUCGACUACUAUGUCGGGGCAUUUUCGCAGUUCAUCGUCUAUUCUUGUUUUGAUGCCAUCUCGUGCCUUCUUCAACUUAGUUUCUUUAUCCUCAAGUUCUUUAACAAUGCUGUUGAAACAGAACAUAUAGCGAGCUUGGUCAAUGGCUGCAUUCACCAAUAAUUCUUCAACCUUUGAUUUUAAAGCUUCCAUGCUAUUUAUCUGCAAAUAACGAAGUUGAUCUCAGCACACUAUUAGCGAAACAACAAGGCUUGAUCACCAGACAAAAUGAGAACGUUUAAUUACCUCUUUCUGCACUGUGAAUGCACGUCUAUUAACACCAGCUUUGACCAAUAAGAGCAAAAUGCAGAGGUGGGGCCUUAAGAGUUUCGGUGGCCUUUAGCUGCAAAACGGCAGAUGACAAAUAAGGUGAACGUUCCUAGCAAACGUGAUUUACGGUGAAUUAUAUUCAAAUUAGAUUAUUUUAAAAGUUGGUAAAUUAUUUAUCACUCUAUCUUAAUGAUACCUUAUUUGGGAUGAUAAAGAUUGGGGUAAAUUCCCUUUUAUUCUCACAUGUUUAUAGUAUUUAUAUUUUUAUAAAUUACCUAAAACAUCCAUGUAACUUACUUUUAUAGCUAUUGAACAUAUCAUUUCAAAUAUAAAAUACUAUUUCUGUCUAAUAUAAAUUAAAAAUCAAACAAAUCUAUCAUGCAAUAAAUGAAAAGUAAAGAAUAUUAAUUAGGUUUUAAUGGAAACAAAUAUAAAACAUAGAGGUUUUGAGUAACUUUUGUAUUUUUUUUAAUGUUCAAUUUAGAAUUGAAUAAUUUGCAUAAUGAAAUUUUGAGGUUUCUAUAAUUUAUAUGAAGAUAAACUGCGAAAUAAGUUUAUAUGCCGAAAUUAAAAUAGUUAUAUAUUAGCAAUCAUAUAAUAAUAAAAAAUUUUAAUAAAAUUUAUUUAAAAAUUGGCCAAUUGUGUUUCAUGAGUAAAACAGAGAGCAUAAUGGACUUAUGUUGGGUCUUGGGAUUGAAAGACUAAGGGUAAGGGGCCGGGAGGUAGGACGGUAGGAAAAUUAAUUUUUGUUAUUUUUAAAGUAUGGUCAACAUUAGUGACUUGGAGGUGAUUGCCGUUAAUCAAUUACCUUUAACUUAAGAAUUAAUACAAAUAAAUGGCAAAAAUAAUUUAAUGAAAAUUAAUUUAAUAAAAAAUUGCACUAAAAACUUAGAACUCAAAUUCUCGAUCAUUUUAUCCGUACGUUUUAAUCCGACGCUCAGAAUUGGCAUAAAACAAACUAAUAUAGCCAUUGGAAAUAAAACAAACAUCAAAUCAAGAGCCUAUGAAACAAUAUUAUCUCGUACCUUCUUCCUUAUAGAUCCUCAAUUGCUGUUGAAAGCUGCAUAUGACAAUAUAAAUAAACAUGAGAUCAAAACAUCAUAGGAUAUAUCUAGCCAAUUAACAUCAUAUAUAACUCCUUGUUCUCAGUCAAAUCUUUCAUUCUUAGAUUAAAAAAAAAAUGAAAUAAUAACUGUUAAGUGAUAUAGGAAGCAAAAGUAACACACCGAAAUGAAAGCAGCUAGUUCACAGAUGACAGAUGCGGUGACUUCAAGAGCAUGAAAAAUGAUUAAACUUUGGUAGAAGGGUCUGAGCCGUGUUUCACAAGUUGCUAUUGACUUCGUGGCUUCGCUUUUAUUUAUUAUUAUUAUUUUUUUAAAUUCUAUAUCAGUGAGAAUUGAAAUGUGGAAAGUGAAAUGAUACACAUGCCUUAUCAUCUAUCAUGAGGGGUGAUUUGGUAAAACCGAUUUAAAAUAAAAAAAGUUUAAAAAAAUUUAAAAAGAUGCUUUGUGUCUGACUGCUUGUAUUUGGGGUAUUUUUCGGGUUGUUGAGACUUGAGAGUGAGUUUAAUUAAAUAUAAGAUUUUCAUUUUUCUUAUUAUAUUUUUCUCUUUAGAAUGAAUUUAAAUCUCAUUCUUAUUAAAUUCAUUUUUUUAAAUGAAAAUAGAUUUCUCUCCACACAUUUGAGAUAUAUUUUAAAAUUAAUGUUAAGCAUAUCUCUAAAUUAUAUUAUAAAUAUUUUUAUUUAAAAUCUCAACAGAUUUCAUAACACACAGAGAGAAAUACAUAUAUAUGUUGUAAUGUUUUAAUGAUGGAUCUCUAAAGUUAUCAAGUUAAAAAAUAAAUAAAUAAAUAAAAAAUACACACUUCAACUUAUUAUAUGAUAAAAUAUAGUAUAUUAAAGUGAGUAUUUUUUGUGUGAAAUAAAAUUAAAGUGAGUACUAUUACCACCUCACAUCUUAUAAAUUCUAGAAAAUAAUCAAGGCUUGACAUACUUUUAUUUAUGCAAAAGCAUAAGAAAAUAAUUCAAAGUACUAAUUAGUGUACUAUUCCUCAAAAUUCUAGAAUAGAUUUGUUAGUUCUCUUUAGCCAUAGAUUGGUCCGUGAUUGGCACCGCAAUAGCUCAUAAUCACCUCAACAAUUGUUCCACACGGCCCAACAUGACACAUUGUAAACUAGUCUACAAGAAUUUUUUGAGUGGCUUUCUAGCAAUAUUCUUAGAGAAAGUGUUUAGUAGUUUCAAAUCUUCUUUUUUUAACACAAAUGUUGGCAUGAUAUUCUUAAUAUAUUUCUAAAAUCAAAAUAAGAUGCAUAGAGGACGAUAAUUUUAUUUCAUAAUUGAAUUUUUUGCAAAGAAAGUUUGAACAUGAGAGUGAUGAGAGAUGAGAAUAUUGAUGAUGGUGUGUACUUUGAAUGGAAAAAUAGAUUGGAAAUAUAUAUAGACAUAUUAAAAGAAAAAAAUUUGGUCUAUUUCAUAAGAGAAAUAAAAAAUUAUAAACGCGGGUGUUAAAAUGUAUUCAGAAUUUAUAAAUUUUUAUAAAUAUGAUAAUCAUCAGACCCUUAUAAAAGUAUAACAAAAAAGUUUAAAAUUUUUUAAUAAAUGUAGAAGAGAUGAACGAAGAAAUCAUCCACCAGUUCAGAAUUAACAAUCAAAGAUAUGAGGACUUGAUUGAAGAAAUGAUGAAAAAUAAAAGGAAACUGGGUUGGUUAGCGGGACCCUAAUAUUAAUGGUGAAAAAUAAAAGGACACUGGGUUGGUUGGCAGGACCCUAAUAUUAAUGGCAAAAAAUAAAAGGACACUGGGUUGCUAUCAAUUUCGAUCGUGUAGGUUCAUAGCCGGGGAAGUAAUUGGGCACAAAUAUCUCGGAUGAGAAAUAACCAUUUUAUCCCGCAACCAUAUGUUUAUGGCCUCUAAAAAUUUUCACCUCUUUCACUUUCUGGAACCCGUGCUUUCUGGCACAUGCACAAAUACUUGGUUGCUACUUAUAGAGCGUUUUUGGAAUUGCAACAACAUGGUGCUCUUUGAUAAUUCAAAAAUCCAAUAUAAUUUAUAGAGAAUUACAGAAUUGUGGUACGUGAUAAUUUGCUGAUGCAAUGAGGCGCCGAAAUUCUUAUACAUGUGAUUUAAGUUAUAUAUGUAUAAUUAAGUAAUUAGAAUAUACUAGUUGGGGGUAUUUGUGUCCAUGAAAAUUUACAGCUGGUUGUUGACAUUACACUGCGGGUGUGUAAGUGUAAUCAUGGAUCUGACCAUUCAAAUUUAAAAAAUGGGGGUCCCGCUAGCUUACGGAGUUAGUAAUUAUUAGAUAUGCAUAUAUGCUCCCAUACGAUAAUCUUAUCAUAAAUUUGAAGGAUACGAGGACUUGAUUGAAGAAAUGAACGAAUAUUUGAAUUAAAAAAAAUUUUAGAAUAAAGACAAGUAUUAAUUUACUAUGAAUGCAACUUACAUAAGCUGUAAGUUAGCGGGACACUAUUAAAUCACAAGCAAAAAGCAAUCUGACUUCUUCUUGAUUCCGUAAUUUGGCUGUCAAAAUGUAAUCUAUAAAAAUUACGAUACCUCGAUUCAAAAAAAUGUUGUUUCUGAUGAAAUAAAUGAAAAUUGAACGUACAAUCUGCCACGAACACUGUUUAAUUAACCGUUUAUUUCCCCUUAAAUUUUUAAUCUCAAUGAAACAUAGAUCUAAUGGGAACUACAUAUAUAUAAAAAUACUAUAGAUUGAAGAAGUUGAAUUUUUCUUGUGUGUUAAGUAUUUUUAGUUAAUACGAAAGGAUUCUAGCAAGUUAAUACAAAAGUAUCAUAAAUUCAUAGUAGUACAAGAGAUUUUUUUUUUCUUUUGAUAUUAAGAGUUUUCGAGAUAAAAAAAAAAAAAAUAGGUGAAAGAAGAAGAUGAGAGAAGAAAAAAUAUUAAGAAUAGUUUUGGCAUUUUGAUGCGUUUUAUAGUGUAAAAUCUAUAUUUUAUAGUAUAAAAAGGUACACCCAUAAUUUAAUGAUAAAAUUUUAGGAAAAAAUUGCACUCGUCAAAAAAAAAAAGAAAAGGCUCAGCUUAGCCCAAAAAUUUUUUAUUAAUCGUCUAGUCGCUAAUGUAAUCUCUUUUUUAUGAGAUUCUUUGGCGUUUUAGUUUAGUCCAUUGUUAGCAAUCCUAAUAGCUUUUAUGUGCAUCUAUUUUUAUUUGGAAUAUGUUUCAAGCUUGAAUAAAAUCUGCGGGACAACUGGUAAGUAAUAAAGCUCAUCAUUUUUUUAUUUUGAAAAUAAAGGGAAUCACUUACACUUAGCAUGAUAUUAUUUUUGAUAAGUCAUUUUUUUGGUAGAUUAUUUUUUCUAACACGCUCUUAGAUUUAGUGAAAAUAAAUUGUAUACUUUUAAUGAAGAAAAGUAAAGAUCAACAAAAUAUUUUGUUCUUUGCGACAACUUUUGCGUUCUCAAGUGCGCCUGAUACCCUUUUUUUUUUAACAUGGGCCCACGUGCCAUGUUUCCAUUUCAAGUUUCAUAAGUUAACAGUAGAAAUGGGUUCCACAGAUAAUUUAUUUUAUAAUUUUUUUUAAAAAUUACUAAAAUAUAAUAAAUAAGGUAAUAAUAAUUAAUAAAAAAGUAGAUUUUAAGAUGGAAAAAUCUUUUUGUGUACUUAAUAAAAAGAUGAUAAGAAUGGGAUGCUUUUAGUUUACAUUCUCAUAGCUAUUUAUACUGAAAAAUUACAUCAAAAUUUAAUUAAUAAAUCAGUGAACUGCAGACUUAUUAAAUUUAAGCUAUUUUAAUAAGUCAUAAAUAUACUAAAUUAAAAUAGUAAUAAACCCAUUGUUACACAAUACUCUCCAUUGAGUGUUCACCAUUUUAAGAUAAUCAUAAAAUGACACCGGAAGUGCUAUUAUAGCUGUCUCAUGGAAAGCCUUCACCAAUAAAAAGGAGGAUAGAGCACAUACAUCCAGUUUUUAUACCCUUUGAUGCUCAGUCGACACGUGCCAAUGCUAUAGACUAGCUUUUCGAAGGUUGAAGUGGGUAUGCUAUUAGUAAAAAGACCUGCAAAAUUAUAGUGUACCUAUUUGACAUCAACUUUUUUUAUCUGCUGGAGCUUAUGAUUAUAGAAGAUCUUCGGUAAGAUGUGUUUGAUUUUAUCUUCUUUUAUAUAUCCUCCUCUAACUUGUGUAAUAGUAGUAAACCCCUGCCCGUUUUUAUUUCGUUUAGUAUUUUCUAAAUGGCCGAAGGAAAAUUGGUAAAAACUCAUUUAAAAAUAAAAAAAAAUCAAAGAAAUUCAAGAAGAAGCUUUGUAUCUGUCAUUUGUAUUUGGGGUAUUUUUUUGGUUGUUAAGUGAAUGAGCUUAAAUCUAAAACAUUUAUUUAUAUAUUUCUUGUUGGAAAGAAUUUAAAUUUUAUUCUUAUUAGACUUAUUCUCUUUAAACAAAGGUAGAUUUUUCUCUAUGUGUUUAACGUGUAUUUUAAAAUUAAUGUUCAACAUAUCUUUAGAUUCUAUUAUAAAUAUUCAUAUCUAAAAUCUCAACAGAUUUCAUAAUAUAUAAAUGUAUAUAAAGAGAGAGAAUAACGUUUCUAAUAAGAAAUUUAUUAAGUUAAAGAAUAAUUCAAAAGAUAAAUUUGUAUUCAACCCAUUUAUAUGAUUAAUUAAGGUUUUAAACAAAUUUUGGACUUGUUCUAUUGUAGAGCUUAAAUUCAAAAUGGAAGAGUGAAGAAGGGAAAAAGAAGACGAAUAAAGAAGAAAAGAGGAGAACAACUUAUACAAAAGAGGGAGAACGAAAAAGUGAAGGGCAGAAAAAGAAAAAGAAUAAAGAAGAAAUUAAUCAUCGCUGAUAUGAAAAUAAUUCCUUCUUCUUUAUUGUUCUUAGUGGUUCUACUUUUUUUUAUUGGAUUCUAAAUUUUUGUCGUAGAUGGAUUAUAAGAACUAGAAAAUUAUAAAGAUAAUUUUUUAAUUAUUCGAUUAAUUAAUUCCAGCAGAAGACAAGAAAUUGAUUCUGCUUCGUUAGAAAGCCAUCACAUUCUAUACGCAAUUGCAAAAAGUAUAUAUUUUUGUCUGUUUUAGACAAGAAUAAAAGGGAUACCUGGUAUUGCAAAUCUAGACACGUUUUAGUGCUUUAUGUCCGAAUGAAUUCUUUCUUGCAACAAUAAACUUGGCCGAUCAGGAUUUGCCGUUUACAUAUGUAGGUCCUGUUGGUUCUGUAGUAGGACUCAUAAAUUUUUAUUUUUAAUUUACUGAAUCCAUAAAUUUAAAAUAACGGUGCAACUCCUGAGGAUGACAAUGGGGCGGGUGAGGUCUUGGAGUCCUGAAAAAAUUUAUAUCUGCAUAUUAAAAAAUGUGGAUCCGAAUAAGAAAAUCCGCAUGAAUCCGAAUGCAAGUGCAUUUGGAAAAUCGGAUAUCGAGAUCUGGAUAAAAAUUUAUUUCAAAUUAAAAAUUAAAUUAAAUAUAUAUUAAAAAGUAAAUGAAAAAUUAAGAAAGUAAAUUUUAUUUGUAGAUUUAUGAUGUCAUUGUAUAUUAUUCAUGUUGAAUUAUUAAUUGUUGGAUUAUGAUUGAAUUUUAUUUGAUAUUAUUGGGUAAAUUAUUGAAUUUCAUUUUAAAUUAAAAAUAUUUAUUAAAAAUUAAAUUUUAUUUGUAGAUUUAUGAGAUUAUUGUAUGUUAUUCAUUUAAAAUUUUUAAUUAUUGAAUUAUGAUUGAAUUUUAUUUGAUAUUAUUAGGUAAAUUAUUAAACUUUUAAAUUUUAUAUUAAAUUAUAAGCAGUAGGAAAUUAUGGUAUUCAGAACAUGUAUACCUUCGCACAUGAAGCUUGAGUCCAGAACAAGAUGCAGCUAGCCAAUCCUUCAACUUCCAAAACCCCACAAAACCUCUGUCAACAUAUCUGCUCUACUUCAAUAUUAAGCACAUUCAUAGCGGUAUCAACAGCUUACAGCUCCAAAAAUAGUUUGAGAUUUCAUUGAAGCUAAGUUGUGACUUGUGACUGUCCAAAUGUUCUGUCACACGAAAUGAUUAUUCUUGUAACACAAAUCCAAUAGCAUGCAAUAUAAUCUACUCUCUAACACUGUGCAUUAGUAAAAUAAAACAGAGUAAAGCAUUAGUAAAAUAAAACAGAGUAAAAAGAGAAACCAUGCCUGUGAAUCUCUUCUCCUCCCCCCACCACCCCUUUUUUUGGUAAAGUCUAUCAAAUGAAAAUGCAGCAUGACCACAUUGGCCACUACCACUGCCAUUACUCCUUCAACUGUGCCCUUUGUUGCAAGAAAUCUUCAAGUGAAAGAUGGAUUAUAUAAUUAAAGAUUCCAAUAGAAGCAGCAAAGGUUGCCUUCCACUAGCCUAUCAGAGAAUAUGCUUUCUAUUUUCCUAGUUUUAAUCAAAAUUUUGCAAGAUUUAUUUAUGGAAAACUUGGACAAAAUUUUAUGUAAGAUACCAUAAAGCCAAACACAAUCUUUUUAAUUCUCAGCAGCAACAUUUAAAGUAAAAAGAUGGAAGCCAUAUAAAUAUAACUAUAUUUGGUACGAGGAACAAUUAUUUCAAGCUUUCAGAAAUGCUAGCAAGAAAUUGUAAGAGAACUUUACCUAGUCACAGAAUAUGUCAAGCAUACUACCACCAACUGUCUUUAGCACAAUUGUUAUGAAGUAGCCUCUGAAUCGGAAGAUUCAAGCUUCCACCAGGCACAAUUAUUUUCAUUCUCCAUACAAUCUGCAGCAGUGGCAUGAGUUAUAUCAUCAACAUUUGCAUCCUCACUCUCAUCACCCCAAUCAAGGCUUCUUCUCCACCUCUGGAUUAUAAGUCCUCUUCGACAUCUUCAAACAUCUCGGUCCUUCCAUUUGCAAACAACCGAUAUGGCUUCUUUCCUUGCCUUCCUCAUCGUUUAUAUCCCCCAAAAAAGGGUCUUUAGACACCUCAACUUUGCCUUCUGCAAAACCUCCACAAAAUCUGAAUUAUCCAACACAACAGCUAGACGCUUGAUCCUUCUUUUGUCCAUCAUAUCCACCGCAUGAUUCCUCAACAAACAUCUGCAGCUUGUGGCUUAUCUAACACUGUCCUGACCCAAAACCCCACUCUUUUCAACUCAUCUGCCAAACCAUAACCCACUUUUGGAGUCAAAAUUGUCCUUGCAGCCCUUUUAUAUUUUUCCAACUCCAUUGAAUACUUGCCACUCAAAUGCACUCUCCUACCUCUAGCUGAUUCUACUUGAUUCAACCUCUUCUUUUGUUUACACUCAUGAAUUUGGAUAAAAUAAUUAACAAGUUUGUCAUUAUUAUAAAAUCUCCUUUCACAAACACCACAUAAAUAUGGCUCAGCAGGCUUAAUUACACCCUUGCUUUCCAAUUGGUUAAACAAUUUUUCUCUUCUCUUUGCUCUCUUACAACUUGAGGCACAUAACUAAAUGCAUGGCUAUUGGCAUAUGCCACCAUGUAUUUAACAACCCAAGUGAAGAUAUUGAUUUGGGGGUUUGUUGUCCAAAUCCCUAAAAAUUCACACAUUGCGUUGGACAGUUUUUAGUUCUACAAUUAAUGAUACGUUAUGUGAAUUAAGCUCCAAAUGAGAACAUCUAAACAAUGAGACAAAUGGGCUCUAGGUUUCUAAUCAGUAAACAUCGUUCAGUCGCAUAAUUUAUGAAAUUUUUGAAACAUCACUACAGCUACAGGUCUUUAUGUGUCAAUGAACUGCAGAAACUAAUGAUCUACUAGUAGUAGACGUUUGUUGUCCCCACCGUUCCAGGAAGAAAAAUAAGUAGAAGAACUACUUUUAGACCAAAAUUAAAAAAUUGAAACUAUCUUGAAAGACUUUCCCUUCAACUAAGUAAAAAAGAAAAGAAAAAAAAAAGGUAUUAGACAAGCAUUUUCAAAGGAAAAAGAUCAUCCAUUUAUUGUAUGUACUCAGGAAAAAUAAAUGUACUAAUAGGUAGAAACACAGCAAUAAAACUCAAAAACUAACAUCUAUAAAGCUCAAUAACAAUUAUGAAUUAGAUAUUUUGGUCCCUUCAUAAUUCCUCCUCUUGACUUCACAUUUCCCCUCAGCCCGUGAUAAUUUUACCUAUUGAAUUCACAUUUCCCCUCAUCCAUUGAACUUUCCCAAUAACAAGAUGAGUCUAAAUCAUCAAUCUCAUUAAACACUCACAUCUACUAAAUAAUAUCGCAUGCAGUAACUUUAAGUAAGGAUCUAAAACUUACAAGAAAAAGAAAACUACUGUUUAUUAAUUUCAAAAUUUACACAAAAUUACAAAUGAUUUUAUAAACUGUACCAAAACAUGUUCUCUAAAAGAGAUUCAUUAUCCUGCAUUUUCAAAAACAAUAUAAACUAACACUAGAAUAGCCAUUUGAUAAUGAUGUGAAUUUGGGCAGCACCAAGAAGCAGUGAGCCCCAUUUGGUGAAAGCAAAAAGAAAAAAAAUUAAAAUAAAGCACUAUAAAUUCUAAUCAAAUUAUUAACAUUAGCUACACAUCAAGAAACCAGAAUAAAAUCGUUAUCUAAACCACAUACUGAAAAAGAAAAAACAAUGCAGUUAAAAUUCUAUCAUUUUCACUUACAAACAAAUAAAGAAAAAAUUAAGAACAAAGGUUGAAGCAAAGAAUGAUUGUACCUUGAGGUACUUGAGGUUAAUGUUUCCAUAAACGAGACCGAGCGAAAAAGCCGAAACCAGAGCAACCUAUUCUUACUACUCAAAAACACGCCCAGAUCAGAAAAUAAAUGAUCAUUCAAUAACAAUUCAUAGGAAAAUGAUGUUUGCCCCGGGUCAAACCCCGGGUCAAACCCCGAAAAUAACUUAAACGGCGUCGUUUUGAUUAUUUUUUUUCUUUUGGAAUACUCCAAAACGACGACGUUUCUGAUGAUAUUUUGAGAAGAAUAAAAUCUAUCUUCCUCUUCGUUUUCGUUUCUUCGUUUCACCUGUGAAAGAACAGAGCAACAGAGCAACAGAGAUCCCAACUUGGUCUUGUUCCGUUUGACCGUAAAUCUCUUCAUUUCUUCGUUUCUUCGUUUCUUCAAAUAACGGCAAUAUCACCCAAAACAAAGUUUCAUGCAAUGUUGUAAAAAAUAAAUUAUGAUUUGAGAACUGAAAAAAUAAUAUGAGAACUAAAAAAAUGAGACAAAUCAAGAAUAUGAGAACUGAAAAAAUUAAUUCAAUGUUACAAUGUUACAAUGUUCUAAAAACGAAGGCCAACUUCCUAAAAUAAAAUUAAAAAACAAAAUGCUACAAUGUUAAUCUUCGAAAAUUAAACUGAAAAAAUGAGACAGUACCGAAAAAAACAAAUCUUCGAAAAUUCAAGCUUGGCACAAUGUUAAUCUUUCGUCCAAACUCAGCUUUCAACCGUCCAAAUUCAGCUUGUCCAAACUCAGCUUUCAACCGUCCAAACUCAGCUUGUCCAAACUCAUCUUUCAACCGUCCAAACUCAGCUUUCAAGGACACAUUUCGCAGCCGAAACUCAGCCGAAACUCAGCUGCUGUUGGUCUUGUUCUUCAAUGGGUACCAAACGAAAAAGAAACGAAAAAGAAACUCAGACGCUUUCAACUCAGCUUCCAAGGACAAAUUUCGCAGCCGAAACUCAGUCGAAACUCAGUUGCUGUUGGUCUUGUUCUUCAAUGGGUGCGAAACGAAAAACAAACUCAGAUGAAGAGGAUGGAGCUUUAAUUAGUAGAUCCCGUUCUGCUGUCGAUGAGUGCUCCGGCUGUGGAUCUCGGUCGAGGAUGGAAGAAACGAAAAAGAAACGAACAAACGAAAAAGAAAAUAAAAGAAAACGACGCAAAUCAUUCAAUAAACAAACGAAAAAGAAAAAAAAAAAAGAAACGACGCAAACGACGCCGUUUAAGUUAUUUUCGGGGUUUGACCCGGGGCAAACAUCAGCACUCUUUCCUUUAUGAAUUGGGAAAAUGCUACUUUCCCCGGGUCAAACCCCGAAUUAUUUCAAAACGGUGUCGUUUUGUUUUUUUUUUUUUCUUUUUACUUGCAUGAAACGUGGUCGUUUGAGCUAGUAAAAACAAAACAAACUAAAGCAGAAAAAACUCAAGUGCUUAUCUUCUCUGCCCCUUUCUUAAUUUCCUUUUGACAAACCACGGAAUCACACCCACAAACAACAAUCACCCACAGUCACGCGAACAGCCGGCACAGACGAAGGAUGAGCCCACAGACGACGGACCACCGCAUUGAAAUCUCUGUCCACAUCACCGGCACCAUCAUCGUAGGUCUGUAACAAACUGUCGUAAGUUAAACCCUUCUCACCGUCGAUGAACUCGACGUAAGUACGGAAUACUUCGUCGAGAAUUGCGUUGAUUUGUUCGUCGCUGAAUUUGACUCGAGGGUUUACGGCCACCACUAAAGCCGCCAUUUCUUCUCUAUUACGGCCACCGUCGCGGUUCGUGUCAAAUUGUUGAAAAAUUCUCUUCACUUUCUCUGAUCUGCUUCCUCUCGUAGCCAUUUUUUUUUUCUGUUUUUCUGGGGGUCAGUUUGGUUUCUCAGUGUUUGUUUGAGAAAGCGGAAUUAGUAGAUAAGGGAAUAUAAGGAAAAGUUGAUAAAAAGGCAAAGGGUGGUUACUUUAAUUGUUGGUGAGAAUAAUGAUGAUGAUGGCUUAAUUCUGGGUUUUGUUGGAUCUGAAUGAAUUCUUAACGGCAAAAGUUAAAGAGUAGAAGAAGAGCAAGAGGACGGACUCUCAUUCUUUCCCUUUUUUCUUUUAAUUUUAAAUAUAUCAAAAACGGCAGCGUUUUGGAGAAACAAAAAAGAAAAAAAAAUUAAAACAAAACGACGCCGUUUUUGUUUUCGGGGUUUGACCCGGGGCAAACAUCAGCACUCAUUCAUAAAAACUCCAUCCCAUCGCAUUUAAAACAAAACAAAGAAAAUAUUGAUUAGAAAAAAAAUUACACGCAUGGAAUAAAAGAAUAUAAAAAUGGAAUUACCAGAGGGAGCUAGUGCCGGAGUAGGAACCAGAAGGCAGCGCCAUAUGAUGCUCUUGUUAUGGUUUUCCUUCUUGUGGGUCUGCGCUGAAGUCGAAGAUGAAGAAACAAGAAAGAGCCAGCAAAUUGAGAAAUCGACUACCAUCUUCGAUUCCGACUCGCAUGGCCAUUUUUCUUUGAUGAAUGAAAUAUUGUUUUACUCCCUAAUUCUUAACCAAAUUACAAGUUUUGACUUCUGUUUGUAUGUUCUUUCAUACGGGUUCUUGUUCACAGGAAUAACAAAUGGGCCGGACGUGUGGCUAAGCCCGGGCCUGGUGUCGAUAGCCAGGCCUGGGCUUUUACGAGCCCAGGCAUUUUAUUCUGAGUAUGAUCCUUAUAUCACUUCACUUUUGUAAUCGUAAUUUUAUUGUACUGAAAAUUAUAUGAACGAUUAAUAUGAAUUUAAUUAAACAAACAUGUCUUUACAACUCAUGCAACCUUACUAUUUUCUAAUCCUAAUAUGUGAUAUAAUUAAUUUUACUGAUAAAAUCAAAAUAAUUUUUAAACAAUGAAGAAAUAAAUUAUAAUAACAGUAAAUUUAUUACGAAAAAGUAUGUUUACAAAAUUUAUUUUAAAUGAUAUGAAAUCUAAUUAAAAUUCUAUUCUAAUUUUAUGCCCUUUUUUACAAUUUUAUUAAAAAGUGGGAUCUCUUAAGAUUUUAGGAGUGUUGGAAUUCUAUUUUUCCAGAUUUGAAUUUUAGUGACCUUUACUUCAUUUAAAUUUUUUGUUAUAAACUUGCAAGCAAGUGCAUUUAGGAUAUCUUUGGUGAACUGGAUUGUAACAAUAAUUUUAUUUAUUAAAAUUAUUAAAAGUAUUUAAUUAAUAAAACUUCACGUAUCCUCGGGUCUAACCAAUCAAAUUCUUUCUCUCAAAAGUACACAAAAGUGAGAUUGGCUCUUGCCUAUUAGUUAACAUAUGCAUAUUAAUUAACACUGACAGAUAUAUAGAUAUACAGCACAGCUAGCAGCACAUUCGACUUACAGAUAUACAGAACUUGAACAUAAUUCACAUAUCUGAAGGGAGAGGGAUAUCGAUGUUGCGGCCUGCAAUUCAUAACAUAUCAUCGGUCAUUUAAUCUAGAAUUGAGGAGAGAAAAUGAGUCUAAAUUCGAAAACUUUGGCACUAUUUACAUAUCAUUAUUUGGGUGAAAAUUCAUUUCUCUGCUUUGAUAUGAUUUGGUCUUUCAUUGUUACGGUGCCAAUUUUUUAUUUAAAGAUGUAAGGUAGUGGUACUAUAGCUUAUAUUUUCCGUAAUUACUAUCCGGUAAGUACAAAAAUAAAAUACUAGUUUAAAAUAUAAAAAUGAAAAAUUAUUUUUAUAACCAAUAUUCAAUUAAAUACAUUUAAAACUCUAUUUUUUCUUAAUAAAAAAAAUUCUAAUUUAUUUUCUCAAUUUAUCUAAACAACUUUACCUAAUCAAGCUAAAUCUACAUAUUACCCUAAACCUUAAUUCAUAAACACCCAAUCAAUCUAAUUGUUAAAUCUUAUUUCAUAAUAAAAAAAAAUUAAUUUCUUUUUUAUUAUUUAUGGUGCAAAGGAAAAAAUGAAUUUAAAGGUAAAAUUGAUAUUUUAUUUAAAUUUUGUUAAUAUUCUAAUAAUAUUAAUGUCUUGGUGGUUAAUAAAAGCAUAAAGUUAAACUUUUGUAGUAUUUUUAAUAAUAUGGUAAAGAUAUAUGUUUGAUAAUUUUCUUAUGUCUUUUUACGUUAAAUUGAGUCUCAAGUAUAAUGAAUAAAUAAUACAUAUUAUAAAAUUAGUGUAGAUAAAUAAUACAACUUGAAAAUAUUAUAGUAUUCUUAAUAAUAGAGAAAUUUAAAGGUGGAUAGUUGAUUGUUUAAUGAAACAACUACAGAAUUUUCCUUUCAAAUAUCUUUUUGAAAAAACAUGAUUGAGUAAAAAUUAUUUUACAGAAUGACCUUUCAAAUGCCCAUUCGACAAGCCAAGAAGAAAGGGUAGCUAACAAAUUUACAAGUACCAGAGAUCCAGAAACACAUUUAUAGCCAAUCCAUUUAUGAGUUACAUUCAACACUCUCACAAACUGAAAAAAUAAAAAUUAUUACGGUCAAGACGCACACUUUUUGACAUCCAAAAAGCUAAACAUUUGAAGUUCUUCAAUACAAAAUGCAUACUAAAUUGGCACAAUUAAUGCCCAUGGAAGGGUCAUCAAUUUAAGCCAACAAAUUUGCCAAAGUUUUAACAGUGAACACAAAAGGAACAUGUAAAAUUUGAAGUUGAACAAAUCUUCACAUGCAUACAACAAGCCUUAAAACUUUAGUCUUCACAAUUUGAGCACGCAAUAAAUAUUAAGUGACCACCCGCAGAACAAGUCUAGAAUAAACUUGUUAGGUUCUUGCGCGAACUGAACCCCUCUGAAACACUAAAAGAGAAAGUACAAAAUAAAGAAGACCAUAUUACGUGGCUAACUAACAGCCAUUCCCAAAGAAAUGAGAGUGAUGAUAACGUCUUUUUUUUUUUUUUUUCCUUUCAAUCAUAUUUCUCGUCAUCUUCUUCUUCACGGGCAUCUACACUGACGUCUCCCUCUUGGCUGGCAUCUUCCUCGUUUGUAGUCGGUCGCUAUCCAACCAACAAAUUGGGCAUUAAAGAACAAACAGAGAAAAUUAUAACAAUAAGAACUAUAAACAUGAAAAGAAAAAAAAAAAAAAGAUAUUUGAAGGGAAAUUUUGGUAGAACUCUAUGGCUCAUCCGUGAAAUUAAUGUUAAUAUAUAUGUUUAUGUAAUGACGGUCUAUUGAUUUUAGGAUAGAUCAAUAAGCUAUUACAAACGAAAACAUGAACCAACUAUAUGUAGAGUUAAUUAAUUUAAAGUUCUCAAGAGCUUACCUCUGCUCCAGAAUUCUCGGAAUCAGCGCGAAACUUGGGACAACGACAAACGCGUGCAAGUGGAACUGGGAUCUGAUAACCCGUAGGCCAAAAGUUGGUGAGGUUUGGUAAAUCUUUCAGACUCACGUACGGAAGUUCGUCCAUAACAAUUUCAUCGUAAUCCAUGACGUGUGCUCCAUCUUUAUCCCAGAAUACUUCUUCUAAUUCAUCAUUACUAAAUAUCUCUAGUUUCAUUAGUUUUUGAAGACUUGGAGCUACGCUGAUAUGAAAUAGAUACUUUAGUUUGGGGCAAUGACCGACAAAGAUCCAUGUGAGUUUUGGGAAACAUAUAGGUUGGAGAUGAUCCUCAUCCUCAUCCUCAUCAAUGAUUUGCUCUAAUUCCCAGCAUUUCCAAAUAUAUAACUUCUCCAAUUGCAACAGAUUUCGAGCAAGUGUUGAUGAGAGGAGACGUCUCAGCUUAAUGCACCCCCUUACGGUUAAAUCAGUAAGAUUUUGCAGGCUAAAAUUAUGGGUGGGACCUUCAUGAUAUAAUAAUACUUGCAGUUCUCGAAGAUCUUCCAAUUGCAACGACUCCAAACAUGGGAAUAGUUUGUUUUCUUGUCCCUCAGCGAUAAUAGCUUCCACUUGAAAUACCACCUGUACUCCAAUUUCCACAAUAUUCAAUUCUUCCAAAUUUUUUAAUCCAUGCUUCAACAGUGCGGGAAUUGUGUCACACAAAUGGGAGCAAUCUUCCACAUCUAGAGUAUUUAAGUUCUGAGACAAAUAAAUAAAUAACUUGAUACAAUUAACAUCUAUUAGCAGCUACGAUUAUCACAUGAUAAGCAAUAAACUAACACCAAAAAAAAAAAAUCUAAAUCCGUACAAAAUAGUUAUACUUUAUGAAAGUAAUGGAUUUAUUAAAAAAAUGAAAUUAGUUAAAAGAGAUCGUGUGAAGUGAUAUAAUGGUGAAAUCGGUUUGUUUAUGAAAAUUUUGUAUUCUAUUUCUAUGGCUUGAUUAACGAAUUAAUUGAAUUUGCUUAAUAUUAUAUGUACUCCACCAGUGUUUGCAUCCAUUUUUUUUUCCUUCAAAAGCGAAGCGAGAUUUGACUUUCAUUUGAAGAAUGAAUUUUAGGCCCUAAAAUAAGGAAGUUUCCCUAACAUAUUGGAUUUUAUUAUUAUCAUCACCAUUAGCACUACGAUCAUCAUCAUCAUCUCUCUCUACAAAGCCAAAUGCAAGGUGGUAUGAAUGGCGGAUCAUAAAAAUUAUUGAUAAACUAUCAAUUUGAAUAAAAUUGAAGAAAAAUAAAGAAAAAAACAUAAACACAAACGAACAUACCUCUCCAAGAUACUGCAAAUUGGCUUCAAGUUCAGUAUUGUGGACAGUCAAGUUUGGACAGCUGGUUACAUCUAACUUUUCCAACGCUGGCCAAGUUGAAUAAUAAUUUUCUGAACAAAAGCUAAUGAGUUGGGAGACCUUCAAGGCUUAAAUUUCUCAACAAAGAGAGCUCGAGUAUUCUAUUUUCAUCUGCUACACUUAUUUCCCCUUCAUUAUGAUCAAACUUUACUUUGACGAUGCAUUCCAGUCUCUCGCAUCCACUCACUUCGAGACUUUUAAGCUGCACCAAACUUCGAGCUUGUGACAACGAGAAGAUAUAUGUCAAGUUGUUGCAUCCGUACACACUCAGUGCUGUAAGAGUUUGGAGGCUCACAUGUUGGGCGGGCGCCUUCCAUAUCUGCUUCAGUUCUGGUAACUCCUGCAUAUAUAACCUUGCUAAUCUUGAGAGCAUCAUAGGAUUCCCACUCUCUCCUUGCGGCGACUGAGAGGCAUCCAUUAUGCAUUCUAAAUCUUCACAAUUGUUGACAAAAAGAAAAGUCAACUUAUUUAAGCCCCUUGGAUCUAUGCUUGGCACAAUAUUAUGACAACUUAUUAUGUCAAACAAAGGUUUCAAUGCAGAAAAUAAUUCUUUCGUAUAUUCUUCUCCAAAUCAGAGGCAAUAUAUGAAGCUAAUUACAUCCUAAAAAAGGAAGAAAUAAAUUGUUUCUAUAUUUAAAUACAAGAUUGAUCAACUAAAAAGAUUCCCGGACGUAAUAACAAAAUCAAUUCUAUAAUUGACAGCACAUGCCGACAGCUCAUGCUAGCUCAUGCCGACACUCCCCCUCAAGUUGGAGCAUAGAUAUCUAUCAUGCCCAACUUGUCAAUUAUAUCAUGAAACACCCUUCCUGAUACUGUUUUUGUGAGUAUGUCAGCCAACUGAUCUCCAGAUUGAACAAAUGGGAACUGUAUAGUUUUCUCGUCAAGCUUCUCCUUGAUGAAAUAACGAUCUACUUCAACAUGUUUUGUGCGAUCAUGUUGUACAUGAUUCUGGGCAAUCUCUAUGGCUACUUUAUUAUCACAUUUAAGAUUCAUGGGUUUUGCAUAAUCAAUCCCCAAAUCUUUCAGUAUGUUCUUGAUCCAUAACAUCUCACAUACACCUUGUGCCAUUCCACGAAAUUCCGCUUCAGCGCUUGAUCUUGCCACAACCUUCUGCUUCUUGCUUCUCCAAGUGACGAGAUUGCCUUCAACAAAUGUAAAAUAACCUGAGGUAUAUCUUCUUGUUGUCUGGUCACCUGCCCAAUCAGAGUCCGUAUAUCCUUCAAUGUUUGAGACAGUAUUUUUUGAGAACAAUAAACCUUUUCCAGGAGCACACUUCAAAUAUCUCAGAAUUCGAUAGACUGCAUCCAUAUGUUCUUCACUUGGUGAAUGCAUGAAUUGGCUUACUAUACUUACGGCAUACGCUAUGUCUGGCCUUGUGUGGGAUAAAUAGAUUAACCUCCCAACUAGCCGUUGAUAACGACCCUUAUCAUUUGGUAAAAUCCCAAGCUUGUGAUUCAUCUCUAUAGGCGUUUCAACUAGUUUACAAUCAAGCAUACCAGUUUCAGUGAGGAGAUCUAACACGUAUUUUUGUUGUGAAAGAAAAAUUCCACUUUUCGAUCUUGCUACCUCAAUCCCCAAGAAGUAUUUAAGCUGCCCAAGAUCUUUCAUUUCGAAUUCAGUAGCCAAAUGUUCUUGUAGUGCUUUCAUUUCAGAUAAAUCAUCCCCUGUUAACACCAUAUCAUCAACAUACACUAUUAACACCGUCACUUUUCCGCCUUUGUGUUUUAUAAACAAAGUAUGGUCUGAAUUACUUUGUUUAUAACCAGCAGCUUUCAUUGUCGCUGAAAACCUCCCAAACCAUGCCCUAGGUGACUGUUUUAGUCCGUACAAGGACUUCUUCAGCUUACAUACUUCAUUCCUAUGCAUAGAACUAUGUUUGACACCAGGAGGUAGCUCCAUGUAAACUUCUUCUUCUAAAUCUCCAUUGAGAAAAGCAUUUUUGACAUCGAACUAUUUUAAGGGCCAAUCUCGAUUUGCUGCUAUAGAAAUAAUAAUACGAAUGGUAUUUAUCUUGGCUACUGGUGCGAAAGUGUCUUGGUAAUCUAAUCCAUACCUUUGUGUAUAUCCCUUUGCCACUAGUCUCGCUUUAUACCUAUCAAUGAUUCCAUCCGCUCUGAGUUUUACCGUGAAUACCAUCUACAUCCAAUUGUUUUCCUUUCCUUAAGUAGUGAAACCAGUUCCCAAGUGGCAUUUUUUUGUAGAGCUUCCAUCUCUUCAUUCAUCGCCUUAGUCCAUUUUGGAUCCUCCAAAGCAUCCUGUACACUACUAGGAAUAGAUAUAGUGGAUAAUUGAUUAAUAGUAAGUGCAUAUGAUUCACACAACCUAUGAGAUGACAUGUAGUUACUGAUUGGGUAUUUUAUUUUGGAUUUGGGAUCAGGUUCAUAUUGUUUAUUUGGAAUUCCUCUAUUUGACCUUUGUGGAUAUUUAGGAUUCAUGUCUUCUACAGAAAAAAAUGGUUCAUUAGACUCAUUAGACAAUGGAUUUGAAAUUACAUGAGGAGGAACACUUUCGGUUAAUUCUUCAGUUAAUGGUGUAGACAUGGGUAGCUCUAGUGGCCUUGAUUGUGCUUCAGACAUGUCCAGAAAAUUGGAGGGAUCACAUUCGGUUUCAGUCAUGUUAUCACACCCUUGUUGAACCUCAUUUCCAUCACUGUUUUGAAGUUUUUCGACCAUGUCUUCUAAUUCUACAAAAUCACCUCCUCCUUCAUUUUCCCUUUGACCAUUCUCUUCACACAAACUCUCCCCCUGGAGGGAAUGGUAAGAGACUCCCCCUGAGUAAUAAGGUUCUAAUUCAUGAAAAGAGACAUCCAAAGUUACAUGCAAUUUUUUUGUGUGUGGAUCAUAGCACCUAUAACCUUUUUGAAGAUCAGAAUAGCCAAUAAAAACACAGCGUUUGGCACAUGGAUCAAGUUUAGUUCGUAAACUUUUUGGAAUGUAAGCAUAAACAAUACAACCAAAUAUUCGGGGUUCAAGAUUAGGAAGAUGAGGAAUUGAGAGUAAGGAUUGCAUUUUUUGUUGGGGAGUUUGAAAAUCUAGCACUCGUGAAGGGGUUCGAUUAAUGAGAUAAGCUGUCCCCAAUAAAACCGAGGCAUGUUCAUGCCAAAAAGAGAAGCACGAACCACCUCUAAAAUCUGUCUAUUUUUCCUCUCAGCCAGCCCGUUUUGUUGUGGGGUGUAAGUGCAUGAGGUCUGAUGACGAAUUCCAUGAAUGUUUAAAAACUUGCCAAGAGAGGCAUCCAUAUACUCAGUACCAUUGUCAGAUUGAAGUACACGAAUCUGCUUUUGAUAUUGAGUACUUACCAUUUUGUGAAAUUCUUGAAAGGCUAGACAUACAUCGCUUUUUUUUAUAAGUAAAGACACCUAAAUCAUUCUAGUACAUUCAUCAAUAAAUGUCACAAAAAAACGAGCUUUAGAAAGAGAAGCAACUUUUGCAGGACCCCAAACAUCGGAAUGAAUCACCACAAAAAGGUUCUAGACUUUUAUUUAAACUUGGUAAAUAAGAAGUGCGAUGGCUUUUAGCCAUCUCACAAAUGUCACAAUGAAAAUUCAAAUCAUUUAGAGUUGAAAAAAGAUGAGGCUGUAAUUUUUUGAGAUAACCAAAAGAAAGGUGUCCUAAUCUACGAUGCCAUAACCAAACAUUUGCCCGAGUUCUAUCUUUAUUAGAAGCUUGAUUUGCCUGACUGAUAUUUGGUCCCUCAUUUUCUGUCAAUUCCAAGUAAUAGAGUUUACCCCGUCUAACACCAUAAUCAAGAAUCUUCCGAGUUAGGAUGUCCUGAAAAACACAAAAAGCGGGCCAAAACGUUACAGUGCAAGCAAGUGUGGAGGUAAUUUGGCUAACCGACAAAAGAUUAUAUUCAAGAGAUGGGACAACAAGAACUGUAUCUAAUGUAAGAGUAUUACUCAAGGUAAUAGACCCUUCCCCAAUAAUAGGAGAAGUACUACCGUUUGCAGUGGAGAUAACAGAUUGAGAAGAGGGAAGAACAGAUUUUAAUUGGCUAGAAUCUCUGGUCAUAUGCUCAGAUGCACCUGUAUCAAUAAUCCAUAUUCUAUUCUUAGAAGUUACAGAACAUACAGAUGUCUUACCAAUAAUACCUGGGUGGGCAACAUUUGCUGAAGGGGAUGGUUGUUCUUCAUCCUUUGCUGCUGUCACAUUAGCCUUCCCAGAUAUUUUCUUACGGGGCUUCUUUGAGAAAUCCCACCAAUCUGGAUAGCCAAUGAUUUCAUAGCAGCGUUGUUGUGAAUGACCUUUUUCUCCGCAGUGAGUGCACACAAGGUUGUUAACUUUGCUGGAUGAUUGAUUGCCUCGAUUUUUUGAAGAUCCAUUUCGGUUUUGACUGGCCAGCAUGGCAAGGUUCUCCGAAAUUAAAUUAGAGCCUCUCAUUGUUUGUCUCUGUUGGUAAUCCCUUCUAACAUAAGCAUAUGUGCUUUCUAAAUCAAGUUUUGGGUAUUUUCGCAAUAUUUCUCCACGAACCUGUUCAAACUCUGAGUCGAGGCCACUUAGAAAAAUAUGAACUCGAAGCCUAGCCAUUGCAGAAUGCAGCUGUAAUAGCCCUUCGACUGUGCCUUCUUUAGUGGUAGUCCUAUGAUCGAUUUCCUGAAAAAUGGCAACCAGUUCAUUGUAAUACGUUGGCAAUGGUCGCCCAUCCUGUUUGGUAGAGAAAGAUCUCUGGUUCAGCUCAAAAAUACAGGUUUCAUCGGUUCCAUCAUAGAAGGUUUUCGAUACAGCCUCCCAUAUAUCUUUGGCUGUAGGGAGACGAAUAAAUCGUUGCAUCAACGAUGGACUCAUUGAGUCAAUCAACCAGCUCUUGACUCUUUGAUUUUCAGUAAUCCAUGAUCCAAGAUUAGGAUCUCCUGGUGCUGGUUUCUUCGUUUCUCCAGUAAGAUAACCAGCUUUGUUGCGAGCACUAAUCCGCAUCUCUAUGAGUUGAGACCAUAAUGAGUAGUUGGUCUCAUCCAGAGUGAUUCCAGUUGGAAAUGCCGAGUUGUCUUGAUGAACAACAACUUGUGGUGCUGGUGGUGGGAUAAUAUCCAUUGAUACGCCUGUGAUAUCAGUCAUAGAGAUCACAACAACGGUGAAUAUUCAGAAUACGAAUACAAAUUUCGAGAGAAAAAAAGAAAAAAGAAAAUAUUCGGUUGUCAACACAAAUUCUCUUGAUGAGGAACCUGCUCUGAUACCAUGUCAAACAAAGGUUUCAAUGCAGAAAAUAAUUCUUUCGUAUAUUCUUCUCCAAAUCAGAGGCAAUAUAUGAAGCUAAUUACAUCCUAAAAAAGGAAGAAAUAAAUUGUUUCUAUAUUUAAAUACAAGAUUGAUCAACUAAAAAGAUUCCCGGACGUAAUAACAAAAUCAAUUCUAUAAUUGACAGCACAUGCCGACAGCUCAUGCUAGCUCAUGCCGACAUAUUAUCCUGCUCAAAUCAAGAAAUUCCAGAUUUUGAUACAAUGCUGAAAAAAUAUUGAGCGAGGUCGCUUCAAAAGGGUAAUCAAUGAUUAAGCUCCUUGUCUUAUCAGCAUCUUCCAUUUUAUAGUCAACUCCUUCACCUUUAAUCGUGUACCUUUGCAAUUUUGGGAAUGUAAAAUCUUUUGAAAGAUAUACAACAGAUCUGCCAACUUGGAAGUUAAACUCAGCAAGCCUAGCAUUACUUUCUUCUGAACUCAUCACUUCAACCUCCCAAUCUUUUAUCCGACCAUAAAAUUCUUCUAAUUGAGGAAAUUUUUUUAUCGUAACGGGAGAAACAGAACCAGUAUCAAUAUAUAGAAGUUUCAAUCUACGAAGUUCAUCCGACAAAUCUUCAGGAAUUUCAAUGGGAGAAUUCUCGAGAUAAAGAAGUUCAAGUCUUUUCAACUUUCCAAGAAAAGACGCGUCACUCACAUGACGUCCAAUCAACUGCAGAACUCUGAGGCUAUUGGCAAGGAAUCGAAGCGAUUUUAGUGAAAGGACUCCAUUGAUUAUAGUAACAACUUUCAAUGCUGGCAUCCCUUCAAAAAAAUUUUCUGGAACUUGCAAUUUGUAGCGAUAUAGAUUAUUGUGCAGUCGCAAAAUAUGAAGGUUAGGGCAUACCAAACGACUAGGAAGCUCUUCUUGUUUAUUUCCCAUUACAGAGAUUCCUCUAUAUUGCUCCAGGCCUUCUUCCAUUGCCCGUUCUACCAAUCCAAUGCCAACUUUACUAAAAAAUUUCUUCUCCACUAGUGCUUCUGAGCCUAUCCAUAUGGCUACAUCACGAACUAUGUCAUGCAUUUUCACAGAUCUGUCAUUACCAGUGUCUAACAGCAGUGAAGCAGCUUUGAGUCCCUCAAUUAUUCCACGCAGUAGGCUUCUGGCGUUCUCUAUCGACUCAGCUGGAUGCCAAAUCAACCCCACACCGUAUCCAACCAAAACCUCCAAAUAAAUGUCAUAAUCUUCUGGAAACAUCGAACACAACAAGAAGCAUAACUUGGAAUCCUCACCAUUCAAAUUGUCGUAACUAAAUUUAAGACAACCACAAACGUUUCGCUCAUCCUUAUCAAUCCCUUCGAUUGCAUAGAGUUUUGCUUCCCUUAGGUUAUGUAGAGCUAGAUUCCAUUCAUCAAAUCCUUUUCCUCUUAGUGCACUUCCAACAGCUUCAAUAGCUAAAGGCAGCCCCUUACAUUCUCCAGCAACAUCUUUGGAAACAUCAUUGAAGGUGGAGUCAUUCACAUCAAUGCCGGCAUUUUUUUGCAGUAAAGCCAAUCCUUCUUCUGGCGUUAGUGUACCCAGUGGAAUCUGCGAGUCACAACGCAUGCGUUCACAAACUGACUGCAGGCGAGUAGUUAGAAGGAUUUUGCAGCGAUUGUCUCUAUCACCAAUGGGUAUACCUAAUUUUUCCUUCAAGUUUAGUUCGUUCCAGACAUCAUCGAGGAUUAUGAGGAUUUUGGUGCUUUCGCUCGCAGAAAACAUCGAGCGCAGUUGGUCUGCUCCAUCUUUUUCAUCUUUCUGCUUUAAUUCCCAACCUAAUGAAUUUACCAGCUCAUUUUGAACAUUUAUUAUGUUUGGAUGCUGAGAUACAGUGGCUAGCCCCACUUUAUCGAAAAUCUUUUGUUGCCGAAGUUGACUGCCCACAAAUUUUGCCAAGGUCGUCUUUCCUACACCACCGAGGCCAUGCAAUCCCACCUUCUUUGUGCUCUCUUUUUUCAGCGCGUCAAUGAUCAGAUUGUAAGCUGAUUCUGUGGUCUUGUAAGUAGAAGAAAAAUAACUUGGUAAACUUAAUUCUCUCUCUAAUGGUGGAGGUUUAGCAAGGGCAGCUGUGUUGAAUUGGCUGUAGUGUUGUAGCAGAUCAAACAACUUCCUAGUCUUCUCUGAUGCUUUUCCGCCCAGACUAUAUCGGCAACCCCAUUCAGGACACAAUCCAUGAAGACUACUAUCCUUUUUAUCUAUCUCUGCUUUCAACUUUUGAAUAUCGCCCAAUUCCCCGUCUACAUCCUUCAGCCACUCCGUUACAUUUUGAUCGACUACUAUGUCGGGGCGUUUUUGUCGUUGAUCUUCUAUUCUCUUAUUGAUGACAUCUAGUGCCUUCUUCAACUUAGUUUGUUCAACCUCAAGUUUUUUCACAAUGCGGUCGAAACAGAAUAGAUAGGAAGUUCUUUGAUUUCAUUCACCAAAUAUUUUCCAAUCGAUUCUAAAAGUGGUUUAAAAAUUUCUUUUAAACAAUCUUUUAAAAUUUCCAUGCUAUUUAUCUGCAAAUAAAAAAGUUGAUCUCAAUACGCUAUAAGCAAAAGAACGAGGCUUGAUCACAAGAUCGAAUGAAGACGUUUAAUUACCUUUUUUUGUUAUGUGAAUGCACGUUUAUUAACACCAGCUUUUUUUUUUUUGGUCUAAUCCAUCCGGUAUCCGGUGACCACAUUGGGCCCCGACUACUCCGGAUUCGGAGAGAGGGCGUAAUUCUCCUCCCAACGUAGGCGACUCCACCAAGACUCGAACUGGGGAGCAAACCCAGUCGAGCCCCUGAGGGGUUCAGCCCGCUGCCAACUGAACCAACCAGUCGUUGGUUUAUUAACACCAGCUUUGAUCAAUAAGAGCAAAAUGCAAACGCCGGGCUUCAAGAGUUCUAAGUGGCCUUUAGCUGCAGAAUAGAAGAUGACAAAUAAGGUAAAACGUUCCCAGCAAACGUGAUAUGUGGUGGACUUAAAAUGAUACCUUAUUUGGGAUGAUAAAGAUUGGGGUAAAUUCUCUUUUGUUCUCAAAAUUUUGAACCUAUUAUCAGUUGUAGUAUUUGUAUUUUUAAAAAUUACCUAAAACAUGCAUGUCACUACUUUCAUAGCUAUUGAACAUUUCAUUUCAAAUAUAAAAUACUAUAAAUUAAAAAUCAAACAAAUCUAUCAUGCAACAAACGAAAAGUAAAUACUAAUAAUUAGGUUUUAAUGGAAACUAAUAUAAAACAUAGAGGUUUUAAUUAAUUUUUGUGAUUUCUUUUAAUGUUCGAUUUAGAAUUGAAUAAUUUGUAUAAGGAAAAUAAACUGCAAAAUAAGUUUAUAUGCCGAACUUAAAAUAGUUUCAUAUUAGUAAUCAUAUAAUUAUCAAAUUUUUUAAUAAAAUUUAUUUAAAAAUUGACCAAUUGCGUUUCAUGAGGAAAACAGAGAGCAUAAUGGACUUAUGUUGCGACUUGGGAUUGAAAGGCCAGAAGGUAGUGUUAGCCUAUAUGGCUAUAAAAUAUUGAUUUUGAUGAUAACAAACCACAUGUAUUGACUAAGCAAAGAUUUAUAAAUUAUGCUUUUAUAAUAAGAAAAUAAUGUUAUGGAAUUAAAGUAUUUUGGACUAAAAUGAAAGUAUUUUAAAAUCUUUGAUAGUGUUUUUAAAUUUCGGAUUUGGACCUAUUUAAAACUAUUUAAAUGUUUUUGGGUCAUUCUAUAAGUAUGGGUCAGUUGAAAUUUAAUGGAAAAGUUUACGACAUAGUCAAAGUUCGAGAGCUAUUUUCAAUUUGAGGAUAAAACAAUGUUGCAAUUGUUGGCUUGUUGCAACAUUCCAUAACUUUUGUGUAUUUGUGGCUUAAGUAUAUGGCAGUCCUUGAUAUUGUAUAUUACAUAUAUCCUGCCUUCAACUCACUGAGAGUAAGAGUGCCACUGUUGUCAGUGUCCAUCUCUCUAAAUUUUUCCGUUAGCUUUUGCUUUUCUCCUGUUGGAAGAUUUUCCACAAUGACCUGAAAAUCCACUCAGUUUUAUCAGUAGAGGAAGCACAAUUAAAUGCAUAAAUUUAAUGGCUUGCACAUAUAUAGCUAACUGAAUAUAAUAACAAGUACUUCGCAAUAAAACAUUGUUGGUGAGGAAGUGCAGAUGCAGAAAUUCGAUCAAGCAUUUAACUAAUGAUUGUCGCUGUUGUAUCCAAUUCUCAUACUUAGCCCUAAUCUGAGCUAGCUCCUAAAUGGGAAGAAUCUUUUUAAUUACAUGCGUAUGUAUAUAAUUAUUAGUUAGCUAGUUGUGGUCAAUGUGACCUGUAUUUUAUCAAUGGAAUUUUAAUCAGGUGUGCGCGACAUCACACAUUGUGCACUAGAUCAAUCCUCUUAUCAAUUAAUAUAUAUUAUAUAUAGAUAUAGACACGUAUGUGAGUGGAGGAAGAAAAAAAAAUUAAGAAUAAUUUUGGCAUUUUGAUGGGUUUUAUAGAGUAAAAUCUAUAUUUUCAAAUAUGAUAAUUCUUUAAUUUAAUUUGGUGUUAUGAAAAAAGGGCAUUUUAAAUAUGUUUUAAGUUAUAAAUAACUCCAUCCAAAAUUUAAAAAUGAAAUCUGGGGGGGGGGGGGGGGGGAGGAGGGGGGGAAUUUCACCCGAACUAACAAAGGCCCAGAGUAGCCGCGGCUUUUUUCACCAAUUCUCUAAUUCCCAAUGUGGUCUAAUUAUUUACAAGGAAUAUGAGAUUCUCUACCACUCCAAUUUAUCCCAUUGUUAGUAAUCUUAUUAGCUGUUUUAUAUCCUAUUUUUAUUAUGCUCCCCAAACAAAUAUGUUUCACCUAAAGGUGCCCAACGGGCUGCACCGUCCGUCUGAAUGAACGCAUGAGAGGCUCCACAUGACCCGGCAAUCUUUUUCUUUUUAAUGAGGGCGUGACUGAUAUGCUUUUUCAAGUCUAACGCUCUUUUUUUUAAAAUCCAUAUAUUUUUUUAAGCUCAUGUCAAAUUCGGUAGUAAGAGAAUGCAAUGCUAGUUAAUAAGUUAAAGUGCAUCCGUGCCACUUUUUUCUUGUUGUUUUAUUUGUAUGAUAAUUAUCAUGGACCCACGUAACUUUCUUUUCCAUUUAAAAUUUUAUAAUAUAUUAAAUUAGACAAAAGAAAUGAAUCCCACAAAUAAUUUAUUUUAUAAUUUUUUAAAUAAUACUAUUUUAAAAUAAAUUAUUAAAACAAAUUUUAUAUUCACUAAAAUUAAUCAUAUUCAUAUUAUAAAAUAUAAAAACAACAUUUGAAAAAUAAUAUCAAAUACACCCUUAAAUUUUAUAUCGGCACUAGAACCGAUGAACAAUUUUUGACAAAGAUGUUGCGACCUAAGUAGGGAUAGCAACUAAAUUCGGAUCCAACUCGGAUAUGUAAGGAUCCGAAAGAUCCAGAUCCAGAAAAUUUUUUAUCUGAAUAUUAAAAAAUGUUGAUCCGGAUAUAGAAAUUUGGGAUCUGCACGGAUUGGGAUGGAAGUACAUUCGGAAAAUUGGAUGUCGAGAUCCGGAUAAAUUUUGUUUCAAAUUAAAAAUAUAUAUUAAAAAUUAAAUAAAAAUUAAAAAAGUAAAUUUUAUUUGUGGAUUUAUGAUGUUGUUGUAUAUUAUUCAUGUUGAAUUAUUAAUUGUUGGAUUAUGAUUGAAUUUUGUUUGAAAUUAUUGGGUAAAUUUUUGAAUUUUAUUUUAAAUUAAAAAUAUUUAUUAAAAAUUAAAUAAAAAUAAACAUUAAAUUUUAUUUGUAAAUUUAUGAGAUUAUUGUAUGUUAUUCAUUUUGAAUUAUUAAUUGUUGAAUUAUAAUUAAAUUUUAUUUGGUAUUAAUAGGUAAAUUAUUAAACUUUCAAAUUAUAUAUUAAAUUAUUUAAUUUUAAAUUUUGCAGAUCCGAAUAUCUAGAAUAUUUGUCCGCAUAUUUUUUUACGAAUCCAGAUAUAGAAAUAUGAAUAUGGAUCCAAAUUCGGAUUUUGACAACCCUAGACCAAAGCAUGAAUGUGCCUAAAGUUUUUACUAAGAACAUGGAUCAUUCAAUGACCCGACAUGUUUUGCAGCUCUCAUUAGUAUAAUUGAAUAAUUAAUUCAUCUCUAUAUUCAGCUUACACCGUCUCAAAUUGCAUGCAAAUACGAAAGUACACAUCUGAAUCGUUCACUUGAGGAAAAUUAAUUUUAACGCAAUAAGUCCUAAUUCUCCACGUAGAAUUUUAAUUCAAAGCAUAGCAAAUUAGACAUAAUUCUAAUUUAUAUGGGAAAUAUAAUUAGCGAAGACACUCUUUAUAUAAACAUUAUUGUCAUAGGAUGCCAAACCUAAUAAGAUUCAAGAUCUUAACAUACUUCAUAUGAAAUUUGAUCUUGGCGCGUACCGACACGCUUAACAUCAAGACUCUACUUCAUAUAAUGUAACUUCAUGGAUUUUUUGCUCUCUUGUGAAAUUGACAAUUAUUGGCGCUGUGUGGCAGUGGUACAUAAUAAAAUAAACGUUUAUUUUUAGAAUAUUAUUAUUUAUCUCAAUUUUUUAUUUAAUAGUUAAUUUUAAUAAAUUCUUAAACUGUCAUAAUCAAUUAAUUUUUUACAUUAUGGCAUCUUAAAUAAAUUUUGGAUCUAUAAUAAAUAAAAACUGGUAACGUUUGUUCUAUUAAAACAUAAAACAACCGUAACAUUGGUUUUUACAUUUUGAAUUUUUCUUGCAUCACUAUUUAGAAAAAUGAUGUUAAAUCAACUCACAAAAUAUAUCAAGCCAUCUAAAAUCCAAAUAUUAUUACAUUUGUAUUUGCAUUGUUAAAUUGUUGGAACGACGGCAAAGCAAUUGAAAAGAGAUUAACAAAAAAGUAAAGAUUGGCCAAGGAUUAUUCAUGUUUAGGAAAUGCCUUAACUUUUGAUAUAAUCAUUGUUAUAAUUAUAUUGUAGAAAUAAUCAAUUACCUAAUGUUUGUGGUGGUAAAUAUUAUUAACUUGUUUUACUAUACCCAUGUUUAUGUUGGUCUCCUUUUUGUCCAUUUCUGUACAACGAAAUAUUUGCAUGUUUCGAUAGAAAUUGGUUUAAAUGACAUUUAAAAUAGUAUAUCCCCAGACAAUUAACGAAAAAUUUGGAUGGUAGGAUGAAGUAAUAAGUAGUUUUACAAAUUACCGUAUUAGAGGUAAAAAAAAAUCAAGAGGUUACUUGACAAUUAUGACAUUACUAACUACAAAUUUAACACAAAAAGUUUAAUUAACUUUUCUUUUUGAGAUGACAAAAUCUCUGGUGUUGAAAACAAUGAGGUUUGAGGUUCAAGCUUGAAUAUCAAGUUACAAUUAGUAGAUGGUCUUAGGACAUAUCAAAGAUUUCUUUAAAGACAAAAUAAUAAUUACAAGCAAUAGGAAUUUAUGGUAUUCAGAACAUGUAUAUCUUCGCACAUGAAGCUUGAGUCCAGCAAAAGAUGCAGCUAGCCAAUCCUUCAACUUCCAAAACCCCACAAAAUCUCUGUCAACAUUGUUAGAGUUAUAAAUAUAAAGAAUAUUUUUGUAAUGAUUCUGCUGAUGUGGCAGCUGAGUAAGCAAGGCUAUUAUUGUUAGUUUGUAAGUUUGUUAUGGAGCUAAGAAGUUAGUUAAUCACAGCUCACUCUCAACACGUGUGUGAGCAAAUGCAUAAGGUUCUGGAUCUUAGUAUAUAAGGUCAACAUAUGUAUUCAUAAUUCAUUGAAUAAGAUUCGAUCUAUUUUUUCUUAUAGUUUCUCUUAUUGCUCAUUAAAUUUUCCUUCAUUUUCUCUGCAACCAAACAAGCAUAAAUAGCUUGGUUAAACUUCAAUUUGGUAUCAGAGCCACAUCUAGUCUAAUCUCAUGGCAUUAUCAAGCUUGAACACAAACAUCUCUUCUUCAGCAACAACCUGUACUUUCACAACUCCAAUAAAACUUGAUCGAUCAAAUUACUUAAUCUGGAAAUCUCAAAUUCUAUCCUCAGUUCGAGCAAAUGAGCUUAAGAGUUUGCUUGAUGGAUCCAGAAUCUGUCCAGAUCAAUUUCUCUCAAGCACUCAAGGAAAUUCAGAUGCUAUGUUCAAUGCUUCUGCAAGUUCAACUAUUGCUUCACGAGAGAAUCCUGAGUUUAAUGUGUGGAGAAAGCAAGAUCAGAUGCUACUGAGCUGGCUGCUAUCCUCUAUCAGCAUUGAAAUCCUCAGCUUGUGGUAAACUCUAAAACCUCUUAUGAACUGUGGUCUAGUUUAGAGCAACAAUUUGGAUCUGAAACUGAUGUUAAGAAAGUUCAUCUCAAAAUGAUGUUGAAUAAUCUGAAGAAAGGAUCUAUAACUAUGACAGAAUAUUUUAGUAAGUUGAAGUCAGUUACAGAUGAGCUUGCUAUUGCUGGAAGUCCUGUUAGUUCUUUGGAUUUUAUAACUCAUCUCAUCUCUGGAUUAGGUCAGCCUUAUUAUCCAGUAGUUGUGUAUAUUGAAGCAAAUGUUCUAAAAAUGAGUAUUAAUGAGGCUUAUUCAAUGUUGUUGACACAUGAGGCACGUUUAGAAAGCAAUCAAUCUAAUUCUUUCAAGGAAGUGAAACAGAACUAUGCUGCUAACUUAGCUCAGGCUGGAAAUAAUCAAAAGAAAGUUAACAAUCAGGGAGGCUGGAAUAAUAAUAGUCAAGGAGGCUGGAAUGGAAACACUGGAAACAAACCUGGAUUUCAUAACUGGAAUGGAAACUUUACAAACAGAGGAGGUUUCAAUUCAGGAAGGGGACAAAAUUCAGGUAGAGGACAAUGGAAUAAUAACUGGAAUAACUGGAAUGGAAAUCAAGGUAGAGGCAAUUUUGCUGGUGCUGCUGGAAAUUUUUCUGGUAGAUUUCCUGGUGGCUAUAAUGGAUUUGGAAGAGGAGGAGGCAGAGGAAAUAUUGUUUGUCAGAUUUGUUUCAAACACAAUCAUACUACAGUUGAUUGCAAAGAUAGAUUUAACAGAAAUUUUGUUCCUAAUUUUUCUGUGCAAGGAAAUUUUCCAGAUCAGAAUCAAACUUCUAGAUCUGCUUUCAUGGCUACAUCAGAAGGAGUUGCUGACCAAGGAUGGUAUCUGGAUAGUGGAGCAACACAUCAUCUCACAAACAAUGUGGUGAACCUAGCUGAAGGUAAACCUUAUCUUGGAUCUCAGUUGCUGUUAGUUGGUAAUGGACAAGGUCUUAGAAUCACUUCCAUAGGCAAUAUCUGUCUCUUUACAUCCUUUGGCAAUCAAUUAAACCUUUCCAAUGUUCUGUGUGUUCCCAAAAUUACCAAGAAUCUUAUUAACUUAUCUAAACUUCUCUCUGACAAUCAUAUAAUCAUUGAAUUUGUUUCUAAUCUUUGUUUCAUUAAGGACAAGAUGGUCUCUUUAAGCUACUGACUCAAGAUACACCUCUUUCUGAUUCUAAAGCCUUGGGUCUCAAACCUAGUUCAAUGUUGUCUGUUUUUUCAAAUAAAGAGAAUGUACACUCUUUGAAAGAGUUGAAUAACCAAAUAAAUGUCUGUUCAAAUUUGAUCAAUUCCAAUAAUGAGAAUUCUGUCAGUUUUUUAGCUUCCAGUAGUGAGUCUAUGUAGUUGCUACACAAUAGGUUUGGUCAUCCAACCAAACAUGUCUUGCAAACAAUAAUGAAAAGUCUUCCCAUGCAUUCAACCCAUUCUCAAUCUCUUAAUUUUUGUGAUGCUUGUCAAUAUGGCAAAUUACAUUAAUUCCAUUUUCCAGUCACUGAUAUAAAAUCAAAAUUCCCUCUCCAACUCUUAUAUGCUGACUUAUGGGGUCCAGCUUCUGUGUUGUUUAUGGACGGAUACAAGUACUAUAUUUCUUUUGUUGAUGAUUUCACAAGAUAUUGUUGGAUAUUUCCACUCACACUCAAAUCUGAGGCAUUUGACACCUUCAAAUAUUUCAAGUCUCUUGUCGAAAAACAGUUUUCUUUAUCCAUCCAAACACUACAAACUGAUAUGGGGGGUGAGUUUAUAGCUUUCAGAUCAUUUCUCCAACAAGAGGGUAUUCAAUUUAGAUAUAGUUGCCCCCACACUCACCAUCAAAAUGGUGUGGUGGAAAGGAAGCAUAUGCAUGUUGUUGAAACUGGACUCACACUCUUAGCUCAAGCUCACUUACCUCUCUCUUUUUGGUGGGAAGCUUUUCAUACAGCCACUUACUUAGUGAAUAGAAUGCCAACACCUGUUCUAAACAAUUUAUCUCCUUUUCAGAAACUAUACAAUCAGCUUCCAUAUCACAAGUUUGCUAAAGUGUUUGGAUGUUCUUGUUUUCCUUUUCUUCGAAAUAAGUGAAAAUUAAACCUACAAUUCAAAAUAGAGGACUGUAAAUGCGUAUAAAUUGAAGAAGGUAAAUUUUGUGUGUGCGUAAAUAUUUUAGUUAACAACAAAAAAUUCUAACAAGUUAAUAUAAGAGUAUCAUAGCAGUACAAGAGAAUUUUUUUUUUUUUUUAAUGUUAAGAGUUAUCGUGAUACCCAAUAUAUAUGUGUGUGUGAGAGAGUGGAGGAAGAAAAAAAUAUUAAGAAUAGUUUUGGCAUUUUGAUGGGUUUUAUAGAGUAAAAUCUAUAUUUUCAAAUAUGAUAAUUCUUUAAUUUAAUUUGGUGUUAUGAAAAAAAAAGGGUAUUUUAAAUAUGUUUUAAGUUAUAAAUAACUCCAUCCAAGAUUUAAAAAUGAAAUCUUAGGGGGGAAAAAAUUUCACCCGAACUAAGGCCCAAAGUAGCCGCGGCAUUUUUCACCAAUUCUCCAAUUCCCAAUGUGGUCUAAUUAUUUACAAGGAAUAUGAGUAGGUGUGGGCACGGUUCGGUCCGGUUCGGUUUGGAUCGAAAUUAAGCAGAACCAAUUUAAAUCGGUUAUUUUAGAAAAAGAACUAAAUAAGAACCGAACUCAAUAAAAACCGAAGAUAAACGAAUCUUUUCGGAUUGGUUCGGUUCGGUUCGGUUUUUUCGGUUUUGGGCCUAUUGGGCCUAUUUUCAAUUUUUAAAUUGUUAGCCCAUUAGGCCUCAUAAAUGUAAUAAUUUUAUUCAACAAUUAAUUUAUCCUAAUUUCAUUACAAAUAUUAACAAUAAAUACAAAGUAUUCAAAACACAUUUUAUCAUUAAUAUCUUACUAACUACUAAUAAGGUACUUACAAAAUAUGAAAUAUUAAGAUUUCAAAAUACAUAAUCAAACUCCAAUACUCCAUCUACAUAAACAUAAUGUUGUAAAGAAAAAUAAAAAUAACAACAAUUAAAACUUACAACACAAAAUAAAAAGAAAAUUUGGAAACAAACACCAACAACAAUUUUUAAAUAUAUAUAUAUACCAGUAAUUGUGUGUGUUCAUGCCUAUUUUAGUUAUCUCACGCAACCAAUUAAAAUUUAACACGUGUCUAUUUAAAUAAAAUUUCAAGAAUAACUCGGUUUUUCGGUUCGGUUUUUUGGUUCAGCUGAGUGAACCGAAUAUCGAACCUGUAUUUCGAUUUUUUUUACAAACCAUAUAUUUCAGUUAUUUUUUAAAAUUAAAACUAGUCCGAACGGAACGGAAUGGUUCGAAUCAAUUUUCUCUAGUGCACGAUUUUUUUGCCCACCCCUAAAUAUGAGAUUCUCUACCACUCCAAUUUAUCCCAUUGUUAGCAAUCCUAUUAGCUGUUUUAUAUCCUAUUUUUAUUAUGCUCCCCAAACAAAUAUGUUUCACCUAAAGGUGCCCAACGGGCUGCACCGUCCGUCUCAAUGAGCGCACGAGAUGCUCCACAUGACACGGCAAUCUUUUUCUUUUUAAUGAGGGCGUGUCUGAUAUGCUCUUUCAAGUCUACAUACCUAACGUUCUUUUUUUAAGUGCAUAUAUUUUUUUUAAAGCUCAUGUGAAAUUCAGUAGUAAGAGAAUGCAAUACUAGUUAAUAAGUUAGAGCCUACAAAAUAAUAAUAAUAAUAAUAAAAUUUUCUUUAAGGGUUAACAUUUUAUUGUUAAUUUGAAUUUACAUACAGUUAUAGAUUAUAGUCUAUAAUAAUAUUAAUACUUACAAGUUUCAAAUUAAAAUUUAAUAAUUAACGUUUCAUUAACACAACUAUAUUAUCUAAUUUUGCAAUAACCAAUUAUAAUACAACAAUACAUAAUUCUAAUUUCAUAGACCAUGGUAAUAAAAUCUAUACGUUAAUGAAAAAUUUUAUUUUGAUAUACGUCGGUCUGCUUGUUAUUGAUGGCCGAUGGUCGUAUGCUAGCCUGCUAAUGAAGUGUGUUUAUUAUUGGUUUUUUCACGUGUCUUGCUUUACCACAUCUCUAGUCAAAUUGUGUUCUUAAAAUCCACAGCCUAACCUAGCCUCUGUGUGUGUCCUGUUGUGCCAUACUAUACAAACACGUAUCCAGUACAAUGCCACAUACCGGUCGGCCCUUAGCCAUCUCUAGUUUCACCCCUAAAUGAAAUCUAAACGGCUACUGGCAAGUAAGAAAACUUGUUAUUCUUUAUUUUGAAAAUAAAGGGAAUUGCUUAGUUUGAUAUUGUUUUUGGUAAGUCAUUUUUUUGUUUUGAAACAUUUUUCUGAGAUGUUGUUGUAUUUGGUGAAAAAUAAAUUAUUUUAUUUUAUACUUUUAAUGAAGAAAAGUAGAGAAAAACAUUUUGUUGUUUUCGACAACAUUUGCCUUAUAAGUGCACCCGUGCCAUUUUUUUCUUGUUUUAUUUGUAUGAUAAUUAUCAUGGACCCACGUAACUUUCUUUUGCAUUUAAAAUUUCAUAAUAAAUUAAAUUAGACAAAAGAAAUGAGUCCCACAAAUAAUUUAUUUUAUAAUUUUUUAAAUAAUACUAUUUUAAAAUAAAUUAUCAAAACAAAUUUCAUGUUCACUAAAAUUAAUCAUAUUCAUAUUAUAAAAUAAAUAUAAAAACAAUAUCUGAAAAGUAAUGCUAAAUACACUCUUAAAUUUUCUGUACAGCAUUAGAAUUGAUGAACAAUCUGACAAAGAUGCUGCGACUUAAGUAGGGAUGACAAUUAAAGCCGAAUUUGGAAAAAUUCAUGUCUGCAAAUUAAAAAAUGUGGAUUCGGAUAUAGAAAUUCGGAAUUCAUACGGAUCCAAAUAAAUUUUAUUUUAAAUUAAAAAUAUAUAUUAAAAAUUAAAUGAAAAAUUAAAAAAUAAAUUUUAUUUGUGGUUUUAUGAUGUUGUUGUAUAUUAUUCAUGUUGAAUUAUUAAUGGUUGGAUUAUGAUUGAAUUUUAUUUAAAAUUAAAAAUAUAUAUUAAAAAUUAAAUUAAAAAAAAUUAAAUUUUAUUUGUAGAUUUAUGAGAUUAUUGUAUGUUAUUCAUGUUGAAUUAUUAAUUGUUGAGUUAUGAUUGAAUUUUAUUUGAUAUUAUUAGGUAAAUUAUUGAAAUUUUAAAUUAUAUAUUAAAUUAUUUAAUCUUAAUUUUUACAAAUAUGAAUAUCUAGAAUAUCUGCCUGCAUCCGUUGCAGAUAUUAUCUGCUUCCAGAUCCACAUCUUUUUACGAAUCUAAAUAUAGAAAUAUGAAUGCGGCUCCGAAUCUAGAUUUUACCAACCCUGAACCUAAGCAUGAAUGGGCCUAAAGUUUUCACAACAAACAUGAAUCAUUAAAUGACACGAGAUGUUUUACAGCUCUCAUUAGUAUAAUUGAAUAAUUAAUUCAGCUCUAUAUUCAGUUUACACCGUCUCAAAUUGCAUGCAAAUAGGAAAAUGCACUUCUGAAUUGUUCACUUGAGGAAAAUUAAUUUUAACUCAAUAAGUCCUAAUUGUCCACGUAGAAUUUUAACUCAAACCAUAGCAAAUUAGACAUAAUUCUAAUUUAUAUGGGAAAUAUAAUUAGCAAAGACACUCUUUAUAUAAACAUUAUUGUCAAAGGAUGCCAAACCUAAUAAGAUUCAAGGUCUUAACAUACUUCAUAUCAAAUUUGAUCUUGGCGCGUACCGACACGCAUAACAUCAAGACUCUACUUCAUAUAUAAUAAUGUAACUUCAUGGAUUUUUCGCUCUCUUGUGAAAUUGACAAUUAUAGGCGAUGUGCCAGUGAGGCAGUGGUACAUAAAAUAAAGGAUAAAAGUUCAUUUAGUCCUUAUAUUUUAAUAUUAAUGUCUAUUUAGUCCCUGUAUUUGUUAAAAUACCUCGAAACAUUCCUGCCGUUAAAGUAUUGAUGCCCUUACUGUUACUUUUUAUUUUUUUAGCUUACUUUUACAAUAUUACCCUUUUAUAAUAAAUUUUUUGUUUGGACAUUAAUCAAAAUAAAAUAAUUAAUUAUCAAUUUAACCCUAAAAAAAUUAUAUUAAUUUUUAAUUGUCAAAAAUUAAAUUGUCAAAUAUCAAGUGUGCAAAUGGUGCUUGCAAAAAAAUUAAUAUAAUUUUUUUUAGGGUUAAAUUUGGUAAUUUAAUUAUUUUAUUUUUAUUAAUGUCCAAACAAAAAAAUUAUUAUAAAAGGGCAAUAUUGUAAAAGUAAGCCAAAAGAAAUAAAAAGUAAUGGUAGGGGUAUCAAUACUUUAACGGCAUGGAUGUUUCGAGGUAUUUUUAAAAAUACGGGGACUAAAUGGACACUAAUCUCAAAAUACAGGGACUAAAUAGACUUUUACCCUAAAAUAAAUGUUUAUUUUUAGAAUAUUAUUAUUUAUCUCAAUUUUUAUUUAAUAGUUAAUUUUAAUCCAUUCUUAAACUGUCAUAAUCAAUUAAUUUUUUACAUUAUCACAUCUUAAAUAAAUUUUGGAUCUGUAAUAAAUAAAAACUGGUAACGUUUGUUCUUUUAAAACAUAAAACAACCGUAACAUUGGUUUUUACAUUUUGAAUUUUUCUUGCAUCACUAUUUAUAAAAAUGAUGUUAAAUCAACUCACAAAAUAUAUCAAGCCAUCUAAAAUCCAAAUAUUAUUACAUUUGUAUUUGCAUUGUUAAAUUGUUGGAACGACGGCAAAGCAAUUGAAAAGAGAUUAACAAAAAAGUAAAGAUUGGCCAAGGAUUAUUCAUGUUUAGGAAAUGCCUUAACUUUUGAUAUAAUCAUUGUUAUAACAAUAAUGCUACACAUCCCAAAUUUUUUAUCCCAAAAAGUUAUCCCAAAUGAUAUGUCAUUAAUUGAGUGGUUGAUAAUUCUUUACAAGAUCCAAGUGAAUUAAUUGUAUUAUCUCACCAACCAAUUGAUUAAUGCCACAUCAUUUGGGAUAACUUUUUGGGAUAAAAAAUUUGGGAUGUGUAGCAUUAUUGUUGUUAUAAUUAUAUUGUAGAAAUAAUCAAUUACCUAAUGUUUGUGGUAGUAAAUAUUAUUAACUUGUUUUACUAUACCCGUGUUUAUGUUGGUCUCCUUUUUGUCCAUUUCUGUACAACGAAAUAUUUGUAUGUUUUGAUAGAAAUUGGUUUAAAUGACAUUUAAAAUAGUAUAUCCCCAGACAAUUGACGAAAUAUUUGGAUGGUAGGAUGAAGUAAUAAAUAGUUUUACAAAUUACCAUAUUAGAGGUAAAAAAAAAUCGAGAGGUUACUUGACAAUUAUGACGUUACUAACUACAAAUUUAACACAAAAAGUUUAAUUAACUUUUCUUUUUGAGAUGGCAAAAUCUCUGGUGUUGAAAACAAUGAGGUUUGAGAUUCAAGCUUGAAUAUCAAGUUACAAUUAGUAGAUGGUCUUAGGACAUAUCAAAGAUUUCUUUAAAGACAAUAAUAAUUACAAGCAAUAGGAAUUUAUGGUAUUCAGAACAUGUAUAUCUUCGCACAUGAAGCUUGAAUCCAGAACAAGAUGCAGCUAGCCAAUCCUUCAACUUCCAAAACCCCACAAAAUCUCUGUCAACAUGUCUGUUGUACUAAGCACAUUCAUAGGGGUAUCAACAGCUUACAGCUCCAAAAUAUUUUCCCCAAAAAGAGUUGAGAGAUUUCACUGAAGCUAAUUUGUGACUUGUGACUGCCCAAAUGUUCUAUAACACGGUAUGAUUAUUCUAGUAACACAAAUCCAACAGCAUGCAACAUAAUCUACUCUCUAACAUUGUGCAUUAGCAAAAUAAAACAGAGUAAAAAGAGAAACCAUGCCUGUGAAUCUCUUCUUUUCCCCCUGCCACCCCUUUUUUUGGUGAAGUCCAUCAAAUGAAAAUGCAGCAUGACCAUGUUGGCCACUGCCACUGCCAUUACUUCUUCAACUGUGGCUUUUGUUGCAGGAAAUAUUCAAGUGAAAGAUUGGAUUAUAUAAUUCAAGAUUCCAAUAAACCUGAGCUGCAAAGGUUGCCUUCCACUAGCCUAUCAGAGACUAUGCUUUCUAUUUUCCUAGUUUUUUAAUCAUAAUUUUGCAAGAUUUAUUUAUGGAAAACUGGGACAAAAUUUUAUGUAAGAUACCAUAAAGCCAAACACAAUCUUUUUAAUUCUCAGCAGCAAGAUUUAAAGUUAAAAAAGGGAAGCCAUAUAAAUAUAACUAUGUUUGGUACAAGUAACAAUUAUUUCAAGCUUUCAGAAAUGCUAGCAAGAGAUUGUAAGAGAACUUUACCUAGUCACAGAAUAUGUCAAACAUACUACCACCAACUGUCUUUAGCACGAUUGUUAUGGAAGUAGCUUUUGAAUCGGAAGAUUCCAGCUUCCACCAGGCACCAUUAUUUUCAUUCUUGAUACAAUCUGCAUCACUGGCAUUAGUUAUAUCAUCAACAUUUGCAUCCUCACUCUCAUCAUCCCAAUCAAGGCUUCUUCUCCAGCUCUGGAUUAUAAGUCCACUCCGACAUCUUCAAACAUCUCGGUCCUUCCAUUUGCCAACAACCGAUAUGGCUUCCUUCCUUGCCUUCCCCAUUAAUAUAUCACUCGAAGGAAAAAAAGCAUCAGCAAUUCUCUUCAACGCCUCAUCGUUUAUAACCCCCCAAAAAAAGGGUCUUCAGACACUUCAACUUUGCCUUCUGCAAAACCUCCACAAAAUCUGAAUUAUCCAACACAACAGCCAGACACUCAAUCCUUCUUUUGUCCAUCAUAUCCACCGUAUGAUUCCUCAACAAAAUAUGUACAGCUUGUGGCUUAUCUAACACUGUCUUGAUCCAAAACCCCGCUCUUUUCAACUCAUCUGCCAAACCAUAACCCACUUUUGGAGUCAAAAUUGUCCUUGCAGCCCUUUUAUAUUUUUCCAUCUCCAUCGAAUACUUGCCACUCAAAUGGAAUUACCAGACAGGAAUCCCAGUAACAAGUCCACUCAACUUCUUCUCAUCUGAUCCCUCUUUCACUCUGGCGGAAACAUUAAUAACCAUUCACCAGCCACAAAUUACCCAAGUAAGUACUCGUGUCGUCGACACUUACCCUUCACUUCAUCUACGCAAACGAGAAUUCAAAUUGCUUACUAGCUAGUGCUCGAGCAAAAGCCAGAAUAAAUUAAAUAUGUGUGUGUGGUAGCGAAGUUAUCUAUAUAUAUAUAUAUAUAUAUAUAUAUAUGAAGUUGGGACACGAGGAGAUGACGUGGCAUCACCAUUUCUCAUCUUUGUAUAUUCUCUAUUAUCUAAUAAAUAGAGAAUUUUUUUUUCAGAUUUAACUUUUCAUCUUCUCAUAAUUAAUUUAAUUGUUAUUACACAAUAACAAUUAUGUAAAAAUUUUAAUGAGGCAUAUUCUUUAUAAUGAACAUCCAAAGGGAAGUGUUAUGAAUUUAUUAAAAUAAAUGUAGAUGUUCAUAACAUAUAUCUCUUAUUCUCACCACUAUCUCUCAUUAGCAACCUUUAGCUUCCCUAUAACUCCCACUAUCUCACAAGGAAUUAUGAUCCAUAAUUUUUCAUUAAUUUCAUAGAGUGAUUAUGUAACUAUAAAAGGAGAGCUCAUCUUUUGUUCUGUACACACACAAUUAGAAUGAAUAAAAUCACUCUAUAAUAUAUUCUCUCAUUUUAUUCUUUAUCUUGCGUUGCUUCUUUAUUUGUAUUGCUGGUUAAUAGUUUUUUUUUUUUGUUUUUUAUAAGGCUGCCUCAUCUUCAAAAAAAAUCAAUUCAUAUUUUUUAUCAGUUUCAUAAAGUGUAAAGUAAAAAAAAAUAAUACUAAAUUCUUUUUUCAAAGUCGCAUGAAACGCGGUUCUAUUUUUUAGUAUAUAUAUAAAGCUGGAACUGGAGGAGGUGAUGUGGCAUCACCAUUUCUCAUCUUUGUAUAUUCUCUAUUAUUUAAUAAAUAGAGAAAUUUUCUUUUAGAUUUGGCUUUUCAUCUUCUCAUAAUUAAUUUGAUUGUUAUUACACAAUAACAAUUAUGUAAAGAUUUUAAUGAGGCAUAUUCUUUGUAAUGAAUAUCCAAGGGGGAGUAUUAUGAAUUUAUUAAAAUAAAUGUAGAUGUUCAUAACAUAUAUCUCUUAGUCUCCCCACUAUCUCCCAUUAACAAUCUUUAGCUUCCCUAUAACUCCCACUAUCUCACAAGGAAUUAUGAUCCAUAAUUUUUCAUUAAUUUCAUGGAGUGAUUAUGUAACUAUAAAAGGAGAGCUCAUCUUUUUGUUUUGUACACACACAAUUGGAAUGAAUAAAAUCACUCUAUAAUAUAUUCUCUCAUUUUAUUCUUUAUCUUGCGUUGCUUCUUUAUUUGUAUUGCUGUCUAAUAGUUUUUUUUUUGUUUUUUAUAAGGCUGCCUCAUCUUAAAAAAAAAUCAAUUCAUAUUUUUUUAUCAGUUUCAUCAAAUAUAAAGUAAGAAAAAAUGAUAAUACUAAUUUUUUUUUUCAAAGCCGCGUGAAACGCGGUUCUAUUUUCUAGUUAUACAAUAAAGCAAACCAAAAUAAAUUCUACACUCAUAUAUAUAUAUAUAUAUAUAUAUAUAAAGCUGAGACUUGAGGAGGUGAUGUGGCAUCACCAUUUCUCAUCUUUGUAUAUUCUCUAUUAUCUAAUAAAUAGAGAAAUUUUCUUUUAGAUUUGACUUUUCAUCUUCUCAUAAUUAAUUUGAUUGUUAUUACACAAUAACAAUUAUGUAAAGAUUUUAAUGAGGCAUAUUCUUUGUAAUGAAUAUCCAAGGGGGAGUGUUAUGAAUUUAUUAAAAUAAAUGUAGAUGUUCAUAACAUAUAUCUCUUAGUCUCCCCACUAUCUCCCAUUAACAAUCUUUAGCUUCCCUAUAACUCCCACUAUCUCACAAUGAAUUAUGAUUCAUAAUUUUUCAUUAAUUUCAUGGAGUGAUUAUGCAACUAUAAAAGAAGAGUUUAUCUUUUUGUUUUGUACACACACAAUUGGAAUGAAUAAAAUCACUCUAUAAUAUAUUCUCUCAUUUUAUUCUUUAUCUUGGGUUGCUUCUUUAUUUGUAUUGCUGUCUAAUAACUUUUUUUUUGUUUUUUAUAAGGCUGCCUCAUCUUAAAAAAAAAAAUCAAUUUAUAUUUUUUUAUCAAUUUCAUCAAAUGUAAAGUAAGAAAAAAUGAUAAUACUAAAUUCUUUUUUCAAAGCCGCGUGAAACGCGGUUCUAUUUUCUAGUUAUACAAUAAAGCAAACCAAAAUAAAUUCUACACUCAUGUGGGUGUUUCGUUCGCAAAAUCUGGACAAGAAAAAUAAUAUUGAUACAAUCUCCAAAUAAAGAGCAUUCCUCUUGGUAAAAUAGACAAAUCCUAUAAAUUUUGAUUAAUGGUGCCAAAUGAAAGAGUUGUAAUUUCAUGUACAUUUUGUUAACAUGAAUAAGGGUACAAAAUAGAUAACAAAGUGACAAAAACAAAGCUAAUCACAAUGAAUGAUAAGGCUUAGAGUAAACAAAAAGUUAUAAUCUUGAACAUAAGUGGCGCUCAAAGCCAUGAAUUUGAUAUCAUCCAUGAGGGGAGUUCAAACAAUAGCAUGUAAGAAGCAACAAGUGUUGAGAAAAAAAAAAUUUCAUUCUACCACAACAGAAUAAAUUGUAAAGAAAUCCCAGUUUGUAUAAAAGAAAGAAAACAAAAUUAAGGAAAACAUAAGCACAACAAAAUUCGACUGAUUAUUAAAAAUGAGAAAUGAGUUAUAAUGAGAAUUUUAGCUUUGUUGUGAAAUAAAUUGGGAAGUAUCCAAAGUACGCAUGUAAAUAAUAAAAAUGAUAAGAAGACGAAGGGAACAUAAUGAUAAUAAGCAAGCCAAAUAUUAAAAUGCAGAUUCUACGCUUCUGCCCCCCCAUACUUCAAGUUAGUGUCUCGCUAAUCAUUUUAGAUGUAUCAAUUACAAAGGGAGGCCAUCUAUUUAUAGUAAGCGUACGCCUCUAAUGCUUUGCCAAGUGUCCAUUGAUAAUAUCACAAGGGAAAUUAAAUUGGUGUAUGUGUAUUACACCUCCUAAAGUCAUGUUAAGAUAGUGUGCUGAUAAAGCUUGUUGCACGUGUGAUUGGUUAAGUCUGCUAGAAAUGCAAACGUGUAAAGCUGAGUCAGCAAGUUAGUUAAGGUUAUUAUGAAUGCUUAGAUUCAGCUCACGUGUAUUGUAUGUAAUACUUAGAUUCAGGUCAUGUAGAUUGUGUAAUCUCAAUAUAAAUACUUGAUGAUCAUGAUUCGACAUUCCUCACAGCAGGAGCUGUGGAUCUUUAGACAUCAGAUUUUAAUUUCUGUAAUGUUAAAUUUGGAUCCCAUAUUCGACAUUCCUCACAUCAGGAGCUGUGGAUCUUUAGACAUCAGAUUUUAAUUUCUGUAAUGUUAAAUUUCCCAAAACAUUAAAAAAAACAAUGCUGUAUACAUGGUGAAUGAUCUGGCGUAUCUAUAGGUAUUACCCAAGACAUUUCUGAGAACCUGAACUAGGAAUCCUUGUAUUUUUCUUUAUGUCAAGACAGUGACUUGAAGAUUUUAGAUUAUUUUUUUUGGCCAUUUUAUAAUUGUUGGCAUAUUGAACUUGAGUAAUUUUGAUAAACCAUAGUUCAGGAAUGUCUGAUAGAAAUAUUGGAGACUUGAACUUGAAUAUUAGAUUUGAAAUUAAAGAGGUAAGCCAUUAAAAUACAUCAAAGGAUUUGGAAAAUGGAGGAAUUGGAAUAUUGGUAUGAUGGGAUUACAAGAAAGGGAAACUUUUGCAUCAACAUCAAGCAUUGGGCAUUUUCAUUUGUCCUAUUCUAACACCAGUUAGGAAUAUCAACAAGGAGUUACGCUAUGAAUUAAGUAAUCUGCCAGUAAUGCAAGCAUUGAAUGUGAAGAGCUUCACAUAACUUUGAAUUAGCUUAUGAUUUAACACUAUUCCUUUUUGUGUGUGAUCAUGCAUUACGCCGUACUAGAUUUUUCUCUUUCUCUGCGGGAGAGAAAAGAAAGAGAAACAAUGGAUGCAAUAUAAAAAAAGUAAUACAUAUUUACCUAUUUAGUAGGCAAUUUACGCCAACGGUGACACUAUCACAUCAUGAGCGAGUUAUGUAAUAGUUCUUAGAUGAGAUCAUUCUUGCUGCAUUAUUAUUAGAAGUAUCUAUUUAUGCAAGAUUGAUAAUUUGAAUACACGUCCAAAUUAACAAGAGUUUUUAGGCAGUUUAAUUUAACUAACUAGCUAUUUAGAAUACACAUCAUAAUAAAAAAAAAGUACAAUUUAAGAUGUAUGAUUAGACUAUCUAUCUGCUCAAUCAAGACUGAGUGUGAUAUUUCCUCCGUAAACUCAUAGUUAGUUUUGUCACGCUUACAAAUCAAACUACAUUAACAUGAUUUAGGUAUUAGGGCAAGAUUGGAAAAAAAUGUCGAUAAUGCAAUGAUUAUGACGGAGAACAAACCUACAAACAGUACAGCGCAUGGACCUUUUUUCAAAAGAAAUUAUUCUUGAAAGAUAAAAAAAUUCCUUGCUUUUUACAUUAUUUUUUAAUGUAAAAAAUAUUCUCAGUUCUUGACUUGGUAUCAGAUUUUUACGUUACUAGAAAAAUCUAGUACGGCGUAAUGCAUGAUCACACACAAAAAUUUGAGGAGUUGAUGAUAAUCUCAAUAUAAAUACUUGUAAUCAACAAAUACAAUAAUAAGAGUCAUCAUUCUUCAUUUUCUCUCAGUUUCUCUCAUAUUUUCUCUGCAUCCAAACACAAUAUUCUCAGUUCUUGACUUGGUAUCAGAUUUGCAGUUUAAUUGUCAUGGCUUCCUUCCUUAAGCACAAAUUCAAACACAAAUCAGUCUCCUUCAUUCUUUACCGUCACAAAUGCGAUCAAACUGGACAGAUCUAACUAUACGAUAUGGAAAUCUCAGAUCCUCUCUUCAGUGCGUGCCAAUGGACUUGAAGGCUUUCUUAAUGGAACUAAAAUUUGUCCAGAUCAGUUACUUACUCAAGAGAUUGAAAGUUAUGGUGUUGAAAAUGCUGUUGUUGAAAGCUCAACUGAUAGAUCUCAGGAGAAUCCAGCCUUUGUUGCUUGGAAAAGGUAGGAUCAAUUGUUAUUAAGUUGGCUCAUGUCCUCCAUCAGUGUUGAGAUACUUAGUCUUGUGGUAAAUUCUGAUUCUUCUCAUAAACUUUGGACUAAUCUUGAAGAAAAUUUUUGGAUUAGAAACUAUGGCUAAGAAAGCACACUUAAAAAUGAUGUUAAGCAAUCUCAGAAGGGGAUCAAUGACAAUAACUGAGUAUUUUGCCAAACUUAGAGCUGUAACUAAUAAACUUGCUCUAACUGGUAGCCCUGUUUCUACUCUAGACUUUAUUAAUCAUCUAAUCUCGAGAUUAGGCCAGCCAUACUACCCUGUUGUUUUGUAUAUUGAAGCUAAUAUGAUGAAAAUAUUUGUCAAUGAAGCCUACUCUAUGCUUUUAACUCAUGAAGCAAGAAUUAAAUUUAAUCAUCCGAGUGCAAAUAAAGAAGCAAAGUUGAAUUAUGCUGCUAACAUAGCUUAGGCUGGACCUAGUAAUAACAAUAAGAAGUCUAGUAAUCAAGCUAAUUACUAUCAGGGCAACCAAGGUAACGGGAAUAGAAAUGCUCAUUGGUGUGGUAACAAUGGAGGAAGAGGUGGCUUUGGCAGAGGUUUUUCAGGGCAAGGAAGGGGUAAUUAGAAUAAUGGUGGUCAUUGAACAAUGGACCUUGGAGUAGUAGUCGAGCAGGUUAUAAUUGUUCUGAUAUAAACAUUAUGACAUGGUUGCUGGUGAACCUGUAAACAUAACCACAAAAGUAAGAAGGCAUAAUUUUUUUAUAAGAAACUCAAAAAUGUAUUAAUGAUGAAAAUUUUAAAAUAGAUAGUGGACCAUCUGUCCAGUAAGAAAACAAAAAACUGAAUAUUUGUGCUAUAAAAAGGCACACCCAAUCUCACCCCUAUAAAAGGCUAGAAUCAGCUACAAAUCCCUACCUCAAAACCCCAUCCCAGUUUAGAUGAAUGAAGAAAAAUGAUGAAUCUUGAAACUCCUUAGAAACUGAAGCCCAAAGUGAAGCAAGAAGAUGAACUCUAUCCCAAGCAAGCAAUAUGGCAUAUAUCUCCAUUAAUGGUUCAAAUAAAGUGAAUGGCUUUCUCUGAUGAGUGGGAAAUUGUCAAGAUCAAUAGUCAAACUCACGCAAAGUAAACGGACUUAAUUCUCAGAGGCUACUCAUUCUAAGUCUUAAAGAAAAUUUUUCUAAUUUCUAAAGAUUAUAUGGGGAAAAAAUCAUUAUUUUUAAGAUGGAAAAUUUGAUAUGGUGUUUAAUGUCUGAUCACAAUGAUAAUAUGAGUACUAACAAAAACAUCUUUAAUAGGCAUGGUGCGAGUAAAACACCUUUGUAAUGUACCUCAUCAAAUAUAACCCAAGCCACUUCGCGCGUAAUCUCUGAGCCUUUGUACUGCAUACUACGCCAGAUUUCAGUAGUCAUCACCUGAAAUUAAACUUCAUAUAAGCAAUCCACAAAUCAAAGCGCUGCAACACCCAAAAGAUGACACUACCAAGUUGACCUACCAAACAAGAAGCAUUAGGGUCAAUUGUGACAUCCCCAGUCAUCAAACCAACAUCUGAAACUCUUCUUUAAACUCUUCUGAUUGCUGAGUGCCUUAAUCGGUGAAGUAUAUAUCACACGUUGCUUAUUCCGCAACGACAUAGCAAUAGCAUACAAUGCUACCACAGUUUUCCCAGCAGAUGUAUGGGCCGAUACCUGUCAAAUAAAUGAAAGGCAAAUCCAAAUUAAAAAAAGAAAAGAAAAAAAAAACUAUUUUUAUUUUCACACAUGAUAACACUUCAUGCAAAAAUUCUUAAUUCUUAUCGGUGAGCUGAAAAGCAGAGCGCUUUGUACCAAAGCACUUCCAAAUUCGAAUUAAUGUUUUUACAAAAAAUUACAGCUUUAUAUAUUUGUAUGUGCGCGUGCGUAUAAUAAUAAUAAUAAUAAUUAACGAACCGUAACGGACUCGCCGUUGUCGAGGCACUUGAUAGCUUCGGACUGGAAUGGGUCGAGAGUGAAAGGGAAUUCCUUAGCAUGUUUAGCGUCAGCUUCAGCCACUUGACCAAGACGCAUUAAACAUAAAACGCGGCGUUUUCAUGGACUAGUACAUUCCAUGCUUCGAAAGUUUUAUGGUUUAGACUGAUUGGUUUGAUACAUUAUUUGUUUGUUGCGUUUUUCUUGCUUUAAAUAUUAUGUUGGAUACUUGGAUUGAUAAGUUUUGUACACGUUUAUAUUGCUCGCAGUAAAUAAUUUAUGACAUUUAAAAAACUAUCAACCGUCUAUCAAAAGAUUUCUACUAUAAAUAUAUAUACACAAAAAACUUUUAAUUUGGUCAAUUUGUUCUCUUAUUUAUUUUUGUUCUAUUUCUCUUUUCCUUUCCUUUCAUUUUAUUGUUUUAUGGUAUAAAAUAAAAAAAUAACCUUAAAAUUUAAGGUGAUGUUUGGUUGGGAGGAGAGAAUGUAGGAGAGGAAAGUAAUUUAAAUUCUCUUGUUAUUUCCAUUGUUUGGUUUGACAAAAUGUAUAAGAAUUAAAUUUUUAUUAGAAUUUAAUAUCCAUCAUAAUGUAGAAUUUGAAUUCCAUAUUAAGUAGCGAAGAAUUUAAAUUUCUCUUCUAUUAGAAACUAAAGGUUCCAAAAUUACCCUUCAACUUUUUAGCUUAUUUAAUGCCAUUAAUAAUAAUAAUUUAAUAUUAUAAAUGGACCUCCACCGGAAAGUCGCCGGACUACCCCCGGAUCUCGUCGGACCACCGCCGGAAGAUCGUCGGACCACUGCCGGAAAAUCACCGGACCACCGCCGACCUCGCCGGACCUCCGCCGCCGGCCACCGGAUCGCCAUUUAUAUAUAUAUAUAUAUAUUAUUACUAAUAUAAAUAGUUUAAUAUUUAAGGUAAAAGAUAAAUUUGUCUAAAGAAAAAAAUUAUAAUUCAUUUCCUUAUCAAAUUUUAUAUCAAACCAAACAACAAAAUUUAAUUUCACUACUCUUCUCUAUUCCUUUCUUCUCCAUUCCUCUCCAUUCCACUCUUUUCCACUCCUCCAUUUUCUUCAAACCAAACAUGACCUAAGGGUAAAAUACUCAUUUUACUAAAAUUCCGUUUAAUAUCAUAACGCUGUCAAUGGAAAAAUAUACGAGUGAUAUAAAUUAAAAACAAAUAAAUUGAAAGUUUUUAUGUAUUUUCCUUUUAUUUUUUUAAUAGCCGAUUGAGAUUUCCCUUCAUAUUUUUAAAUUCAAUAGGUUUAGACCGUUUAACAAAUCUUAAAUUAAAAAAACCCGCGGUGUAAUAACAAACUCACAUCAAACCCUGUACACUGUCAUCCCUAAUUAUAUUUACCACUUCAUACUCACAGUGAUAAUAACUGUGUAUCACAAUUGAUUUUGCAUACGGGUAAAAGUUCCAAGUCCGGAUAUUUAGUUAAUGAAAUUUGAUGAAAAGGGCAUGAAAGAAAAUAAGAAAUUAAAUAAUACAGGAGGUAUUAAUCAUUACAUAUUUAGUUAAUGAAAAUUGAUGAAAAUAUUUCUGCAGACGUGAGCCAUAAUUAUAUUACCGUUAAGAAUGAAGCAGAAGAGUUUCCCCAAACAAGCUAAAACACAGCACUUCAAUUUAAAGAAUUUUUAUAUCACAGUACCGGGGUAAAAAGUUUAAUGCAACAACAUACAUUAAGUUAAUUCCAUAAUCUAUCCCCAAAGAAAGACAAACACAAGCUUAUAAGAUUAAAACUUUGGAAAACAUUAGAGUCGGACAAAAUUGUGUAAUCUUCAGAGUUUGGAGCCUAGUUCAUCCAGGAAAGCAAAAGAAAUAAUAAUAAUAAUAAUAGUGGUGGUUUGAUCUCAAAAGGUGGCAUCAAAGUGGUAACUUUGAGGUAUUGGAAGCAAUAACGUCUUCAACUUUGUCCUGAUUUCGAAGUCCCUUAACCCAUCCGCCAUCAAUGGAUUGAAUGCUUCCAUUCAACCCAUCAUCCACAAAAUCACCAACCCGUUUCACCUUCAUCUCCUUGGGCUUAACAGGGUACUUUCCAGAGAAGCAAGCAAAACAAAAAAUCCGAGAAUCAUCGCCUAACAACUUGUUCAAGCUGUCAAUCGGCAGAAAAGCAAGCGAAUCACACCCAAUAAACUCCCUGAUUUCCUCAACGCUCAUCCUGUUGGAAAACAACUCCUCAGUACUUGGAGUGUCUACUCCGUAGUAACAAGAAGCUAUGAUUGGUGGGCUUGCAGCGUACCCAAGUGCAGCCACCACUCCAGAAUCUGGUACUGCAAUCACGACAUCACACUCAGCAGGAGCCUCGGUAGCAAGUACUUCCCCAAAAUGAUACCUCGACUCAUAAACAGACCUUCCAAAAACAACAGAAUUAGGCAAAGCAAAAUAAAUAUGCUCAACGAAGCACUGCUUAGGUUCAGGGUGAGGCAUCAAACAAGGUGAUUGAACCCCAUCUUUAUCCACCAUCAAAACUUCACCGGGAUAUACCGUAUGUGGCCUCAAUCAAAUAGUGCACAAGUCUCUGACGCAAAAACCAGAGCACCAUUACUCCUCCUACCCAUCACCAAUGGCAUAAACCCAUACGGGUUACGAACCGCAACAAGCUUAUCCUCAGUAACAAACACCAUUGAAUAAGCACCCUCAAGCUUCUCACAAACAUCCACAAUCCUCAAAAAGAACGGCCUAGCUUUCGAUAUCGGAAUCAAAUGGAGAACAACCACAGUAUCAGAACUAGUAUUGAAAAUGGAUCCAUUAUCUUCAAGCUUAGCCCUCAAAGUAUUAUAAUUAACUAAUGUGCAACACCAACAGAACCAAACCUGUACCCAGCAACAAAAGGCUGCACAUUCUUAAGCAUAGAACUACCCGCAGUCGAAUAUCUAACAUGACCAAUGGCCAUAUCACCCGGCAAUUGAUCAAGUUUAGACUGAUUAAACACAUCAGAGACUAAACCAACACCAGUAAUAGACUGAAGAACUUUGUUAUUCACAGCAACUAUACCUGCACCUUCUUGGCCGCGAUGCUGCAUCGCGUGUAGCGCCAAAUAGCACAAACGCGAGGCCUCUGGGUCACCAUAGAUGCCCAUAACACCACACUCCUCACGGGGCUUAUCGUCGUCAUCAUCAUCAAAACUGCCAAAACCGUCAUCUGGAUAUUCUUUAUUUGUGGUGAAAAACUCAGAGAUGGGGUUUUUUGAUAGAACAGUGAAGUUAUUUUUGUGGAUUAAAGAUUGUUGUUUCUGAGGAAAAAAAGGGUUUUUUUGCAGGGUUUUGGAGAAAAGAGAAAGAUGGGUUUUUUGCGACGGCUUAGGGUUAACAGAUGGAGAUGGGUUUGAGAGAGGGCAGAUGUUGGCGUGCCUGUUGUGGUGGCUGCCAUUAAUGGCUGAAUUUAUUCUAUUCUAUUUUAUUUAUUGGGUUGCCUUGCCCUUGCUCAAAGAAAAAACAGAGGAGGUGUGUGGAGGGAGACAGUGGCGAAGGGUACUUUAAGUAGAGGGGAACUUGUUCUAGGUUUUUUUCUGGAAUUGUGAGGGAAUCUGAUCCUGGGUUUGUGCAUAUGAUUCAAUUACUUAUAGGUGAUACUGUUGUGUCACCACAAAUUCUAAUUGGGAAGCUUCAGCUGUCAAUUUUUUUCCAAGGGUUAAUUAGGUAGAACUUUCAUGUCGUCGAUUUUAUUUGGAGAUUCUAAAAGUAGUUUCCAAAUAAAGAGAUGGACCAAAAUCAACAAUGUGACAAAGAUACUUUAGAUUUUUUUUCCUUGUGGGACAUGAAAAUUGAUGCAUGUUCCAAUGCAUUGCUCUAUCAGAAUUGGAAUUAAACUUAGUUUGUAUUCUCCUAUUCCGAAAGCAAAACUUAUAAGUGAUAUUAUAAGAAGAAGAAAUUAAGAACCAUAACAAAUUUGAUGAUUCUAAUUUGCUAGAAAUAUUGCAAUCCAAAACUAAGAAAGUUAAAACCAAUUAUUAGAAGAAAAAAGUAGGACGGAAGCUCCCAGAAUAUUGUUAUGUGUUGUAUUUUUUCAGUUUGUAUUUCCCAAUCAAUAAGGAAAAGUAAGUACACACGUUACAAAAAUUUAAUAAAAAAGAUUGGAGGUGACAAAACCGUCAAUUUUCUAAUUAACUUUCUCUCCUUUCGAAUUUCCUGAGUUUGGUAGAGACUGCUUAAGUGGUGUAUCUAUUAUAAACAAGCAAAACUAUGUUGCAACAGUGGUACGGUACCACUGUUGCAACAGUGGUACGGUACCACUGUUGCAACCAGCUAUUGAAUCUAUAGUUGUAUAGUUACAUUAGCAAGAUCCAAUAGCUAAACGAAACAAUAGUACCGUACCACUGUUGCAAUAUAGCUAGACCCAUUAUAAAUACCUGAAGUCAAAGUUAAUGUUUUAAUUGUUAAGAAAAGUUCGAAGAAGAAAUUUUUGUAUAAGAGAAUUGGGUUUAAAUUUAGAAUUCUUUGGAAGGAAAUGAGUCUAAAUUCCAAUAAUAUAAUUCAGCUCUAUUUAUAUAUAUCAUUAGUUGGGUGAAAAAUUAAUUUCCCUCAUUUGAUGUGAUUUUCAUCAUUUAUUUUCAUAUGAUGAUAAUUUUUUGUUUAGAGUGAAGUUAUUGGCACCCUUUCAUUAUCCUUAUAAAACCCUACUUCAAAUAAAAUUACACUUAAAGACAAUAGAAUUAAAUAACAUAGUUUUUUUUUUCAAACAAAUUACUCACAUUCAUAAUUUUUUUUUCUUCUAAUUUUCUAUAGGUUGCUUUGCAUCUAACUAAAAUAAAUUGUACAAAUUUAGAAUAAUUUAUUAUUCUUUUUAAAUUUCUUAUUGAUUAAAUAUUUGUGUAUUUAAGAUAGCUUUAAAAUUAUAAGAUAAAAUAUAUAUAAUUUAAGCCAAUGAUUAACAUUCAAAAAUUUCUCUCUCAUAAAAGUUUUUAAUUUGUGCGUAGGGUAAUAAUAAAAUUGCAAAAGAAAUGAGAAAUAGCAUAACACUAUUUUGAGUUUAAACAAUAAAAAAAUUAAAUGAAAAAUUAGAAGUGUAUUUAAAAAAAGGAUAUUUUUAAAAGUAAAAUAAAUAUAAUUAAAAAAAAAGAGUUUCAUGAGGGGUGCAAGCAAUAGUUCAACUCUUUUGUUUAUAAGUUUUAAGAUGUUGGUAUCCGUAGCUUAGCUUUUCCCUAAUUAUUAUAUUAAAAUGCAACAACAAUGAUGAUCAACCCUAAUUUCAUGGAGGUCAAAGAUUUUGGUCAUGCCGCAUUAAUUAGUUCGGUCAUACUUUCUACAAAUUUAUUUACAUUUAAUAAUUUGACCAAGACUAAGGCGCCGCCUGGAGUCAUAGAAUUUUAUAUGUCAAAAAUGCAUUUCACUUCAAUUAAGCCAUAAAUGUCGUUUAAUAUGCUUAUUUUGUAUUUUUUUAAAAAGUUUUAUUAAUUUUUUUUGUUUUUAAAAAUAUCAUUUAUUUAUUUUUAAAUUUUUUUUUUUAAAGGUAAAUAAGUGGGUAAAGUUCAAAUUCAAUUUUUAUCCCUUACGUCAUGGCUCCUAAGAUUUGAACUUAAGUGACCAAAUGUAUAAUAAUAGGCAUCUCAAAUAUCAUUUCUAAUUAUAUGUAAUUUAUUAAGUGAUUGUUAAUCUUUACAAGAUCCAAGUGAAUUAAUUGUAUUAUUUCACUACUAAUUGAUGAGUAUCAUAUUAUUUGGAAUAACUUUUGAAUAAAAAAAUUGUGAUGGAUGAAAUAUUCUUUUGAGAAUUUAUUGACUUAUCUCAUUUAUGAUUUAUUGUUGCAUUUAAGUGAUAUUGCAAAUAAUUUUUCCAAUAAUAUUAUUGUUUUGACGAGUAAGUUUGGAGUAAAUAAUACAUAUGGCAAGUGUGAGGUUUGUUAUUGCAUAUAUUUUGUGGAUCCAUUUUAAAGCCAAAAAAAAGGCAUUUCAAUUCAUUAUGAUUCCAGAUAAUUUCAAGCCAUAUGUCAUUAUUGGGAUAAAAAUAAAGUAAAAUGAUUAAAACUAUUUUUAUGUAAUUUAUAAAAAUUAAUGAAGCAACUGCAAAAAUUUUUAAACGAAAAACAAUUGAAAUGUGUGUGGAAAAAGAAGAAAAAAAUAAGGCAUUUAAAUAUCUUCUUAAAAAAUACGAUUGAGUAAAAUCAUUUUAACAGAAUGCUCUUCGAAAUGCAAUUCCACAUUAUUUUUUUUAUUGCAGUGGGAUAUUCCAAAAUUGGCACAACUCAUUAAGAAUUCGGCAACUAAAAUUUUAUUUAUCACUCUAUGCAUUUGACAAAUUAAAAAGAAAAAAAAAUCAUAUAUCUUCUGUUCAAAAGAAACCUUGGUAAAUAUUGUAAAACAAAUUACCAAUUUUUUUAAUUUAUGCCAUUAUAUCGUCGCUAUUUUCUCGCCCACUUUCUUAAAAUAGAAUCAAUAUUUAUUGAUGGGUUGGGUUCCAAAGUAAGUACCAAUUCAACAAAAUGGUUUUAUAGCAGAAAAAACACUUGUAAGACAUUCAGAACACAUUUUUCAAUUUUGUCUUUUGAAAAUGAGUCUUGAGUUUCCACAAGCCAAGAAGAAUGGCUAAAAAAUGUAUGGUAUCAAAGAAAGAGAAACACACACACACACAGAGAUUAGUGAGGAGAUAUAUGAGUGUGUAAUUUGUAUAUAUAUCCCCAUUAAUUGUUGAUAGUCCAAUGGGUAUAUGCAAAAGGAAAAAAUUGGCUGUCCUUUUAAGACAAAAUUGACUGUCACAUGAAAAUGUUAGCACACUUGCCACGCAACGAAAAUAAAGAUUCCAAGAACAAACUUUAUAGUCCCCUUUCUGUCCAAACAUAUGCGAUAGAAAUUAGUGUAAACGACACUUGAAAUAUAUAUGUAGAUCCUCACACAAUUGAUUAAAUAUUUAGAGUAGGAUGGAGUGAUAAAUAGUUUCACAAAAUUAUUGGAAUUAACUACUUAAUACAUGAGAUCUAUCUCAUUAAGUAUAAAAGAUUGAGUGCUGCUUCAAAAGCAUGACGUUGCUGGCAACAAAUUUAACACAAAAAUUUAAUUAACUAUCCUAGUUGAGAUAAUAAAAUCUUGUGUUGAAAACAAAAGGUUUGAGGUUCGAACCUUCUCAUUCAAGAAAAUCAAGUCAAAAUAUUACAUCUUCCAGCACAUAUCAAAGAUUUUUUCAAAGGCAGACUGAUAAUUCAGGGUAAAACAAAAAAAAACACAAGGACUAUAUGCUAUUCAAGACAGGUAUACCUUGGACAUGAAGUCUGAAUCCAAAACAAGAAGCACCUAGCUGAUCUUUCACUUUCAAUUUCCAAAAUCCAACAAAAUCUUUGUCAAAAUAUCUGAUCUAGUCUCAUAUUAAGCACAUUCAUAGCCGUAUCAACAGGUUCAAAAUAUUUUCCCCAAAAUGAGACAGAGAUUCCACUGAAGUUGAGUUGUGAAUGUCCCAACGUUCUGUAAUUAUAUGGUUCAGGAUACCAUGCCUAUUAAUCUUUUUUUUUCCUUUUAAAAAAAGGAAGCCAUAUAAAUAAUGCUUAAAACAUUAUUUGCAACAAGGAACAAUCAUUUCAUGCUUUCAUGUAUUAGAAACUUUCCAAAAAUGCUAGCAAGAAAAUGAAAUGGAACUUUACCUAGUCACAGAAUAUGUACUGCUGUUAGCCCAAUUGUUAUGAAGUGGCUUCUGCAUCAGAAGAUUCCAGCUCCCACCAAACAUUGUUAUCUCUCUUCUGAAUACAAUCUGCAUCGUUGGGCAUGAGUUAUAUCAUUAAUGUCUGCAUCCUCACUUACAUCAUCCCAAUCAAGUGCUUUUUCUCCAUAUCUGGAUUAUAAGUCCACUCCAAUCUCUUCAAAACAUCCUAGUCCUUCCAUCACAACUGAUACGACUUCCUUCCUAAUUACUUUCCCAUUAAUAAAUCGCUCCAAGAAAAGAAAGCAUUAGAAAUUCUCUUCAACACCCCAUCACUCAUAUCCCCUACAACAACCCUCUUCAGACACCUCAACAUUGCCUCUUGAAAGACCUCCAUAAAAUCCGAAUCAUCCGACACAACCACCAAACACCCAAACCUUCUUUUGUCCACCAUAUCCACCAUAUAAUUCCUCAACAAAACAUCGGCAUCUUGUGGCUUAUCUAACACCAUCCUGACCCAAAACCAUGCUCUUUUUAACUCAUCUGCAAAACCAUAACCCACUUUUGGAGUCAAAAUUGCGCUUGCAGCCAUUUUAUAUUUUUCCAUCUUUAUUGAAUAGUUGCCAACCAAAAGCACUCUCACAUUCCCUCUAGCUGAUUCUAUUUGAUUCGACCUUUUCUUUUGUUCCUCAUGAAUUUGCCUAAAAUGAUUAACAAGUUUGUCAUUAUUAUAAAAUCUCCUUCCACAAUCACCAAUACAUACGGCUUAGCAUGCCUAAUUACACCCCUGAUUUCUAAUUGGUUAAACAAUUCUCUUUCUUUCUUUGCUCUCUUACAACUUGAGGCACAUAACUAAACGCGUGGCUAUUAGCAUUUGCCACCAUGCAUUUAACAACCCCAAAUGAAGAUAUUAAUUUUUUUAGUUUAAUUGCUGCUUCAAAAUGGGGUACUGAAUUUGGAUUUUGUUAUCCAAAUACCAAAAAUUUCCCACAUUGUGAUGGACAGUUUUUAGUUCUAAAGUUGAUGACUGGUUUUGCGAAUCAGGCUUCAAAUGAGAACUUCUAAACAAUAAGACAAAUGAGUUUUUGAGUUUCUAAUCUUGUAAACUUUGUUCUAUUGUAUAAGUUAUGAAAUCGCUGAAACAUCACUACAGUUACAGGUCUUUAUGUGUCAAUGAACUGCAGAAGCCGAUCUUCACGUUUUCACGCGGAAGUGCACAUUUGUGAGGCGUACUCUUCAUGCACGAGGACGUGCAUGGUCAUGGCGGUGGGAGAAUGUCACGGACCGCAAUCGUGGCACCCAAGAUAUGUGCUUGUAUGCUAAUGUCGAUUAUGGUUGUGCUGAUUGUUGGAGACGUGCUUCAGGGGCGUGCAUGUGGGGAAUAUAAUGGCCCUAGACUCUUUGGAGUUCAGGCAGGCCAACCCGGUUUAGUUUGGGGAGCUUGUUGCUAGUCGAGGACUUAACCUUGAAGAGGGGUCUAGGCAAAACCCUACACACACUAGUUGGGAACUGGAGUCGUUCUCCUAACAAGCCCAAGGCAGGGCGAAACCAGUCGAUAUUGUGCCACUUCCACUAGGCUUACUCUCGUAGUAUGGGAUGCGGGAGUGCCGCACGGGUUCAAAACCUCUCGUCUCGUGACACUCUGCUCAAAAGCUAUGCUGCAAGAUAUAACAUCUUUGCAAUGUUAUACUUUCUAAAAGUAAUAAGAAAUCAUUUUAAAAAAAAGUAAUAAGAAAUGAAACCAAGGGGUAAAUCGAACACCAAAAGAAAUUUAGUCGGCCAACCACAUUAUGUUCCCACACAGUCCACUAAUUAAGUUAAUAAUUAAAGGGAAUCAAAAUCUAAGAAAUCUCAUCUUCAAGCAGAAUACAAACACACCGCGAUUGAAAAUCACAAAAUCGUAAAAAGAAGUUGACUUGAAAAGGGGUGGGCCGCCUCAUUUGCCCACCAACCACACCACACACACAAACACUCCAGCACACACACAAACUCUCUAGCUUUUGUAAAAAACUCUCUUGUAUAUUCUCUCUUUGUCAGUAAUAAAAUCAUAUUCAGCCCUAUUGCUCUACUUCUCUCUAGCAUUUUCCUCAAGUGUUCUUGCUUCGCUAGUUUGAGGAGUGGUCUAGGCUUGCUUAGCAACUUGUUUGCUACAAGGACAUCUUGGUCACAAAACAUGGACAUGCAAGGAAAAAAAAAAUAUUGAUACGUUCUAAAAAUAAUACGCAUUCUUCUACAGUGAACCAAAAAAUUUAGGCUAAUGGUAGCAAGUGAAGGAAUUGUGAUUUCAUGUGCAUUUUGUUGACAUGAAGGUAAAGAACUUUUUUAUAGUUUAUAUUGUUUAAUAUAACAUUUGAAUUGCAAAAUAGGGGUACAAAAUAGAUACACGAAGGGAUAAAACUAAGCUGAUUAUGAUAAAUAUUGAAUUAUAAGAUUUAGGUUUAAUCAUAAAGACAUAAGUGGCCCACAAAGUCACGAAUUGAUAUCAUACACGAUGCAAGUUCAAACAACUGCAUAAUAAGUUGCCCCAAUCUAAACUAUUAAUCUAGUAACUAUUCUAGUCGAUGGGGGAUAAUUUUCCUAUCACCAUUUAUCACGUGCAAGCCAAAUUUGUUGCUUGGUUCUUACAUGUGGUAAGGUAAUAUGAAUCCACUUGUGCAUAAAUUUGGCUCCGAUAUUAUAUAGAAGCUUAUGACCCAAAAUUAUACUUAAAAGUUAUUUCAAGAUUUGAGGGUUGCCUCAAGGUAAUAUUAUUAUUAGCCUGGUAACCCUUUUUUUGGUUGAUAUGUGAUAUUUUCCCUAUAACUUUUAUUAAUCUUUAUGCCUAUGUUUUGUCAUUUAUCCCAAAAUAUAACAUUAACAAAAGUUCCAAAAUUUCCUUCAAGAGAUAUACUUGAGACAAGUAAUUUGUGCAAUAACUUUGUGAAUUGAUGAGCAAAUUCAGAGAAAAGAAUAUAUGUGCCAAACGUAAUGUUUAUUAUUGUGUUUAUUUGUAGAGCUAUUUAAAGCCCCAAAAAAAAAAAAAAAGCACCGGUCCGCUAUUAUUUCAAAUAAGUUCAAGCCCUAUGUCAUUAUUGGUACAAAAAUGUAUUAGAAUGGUUAAAAACUAUUUGUAUUUAACUUAUAAACUUAGGAAAUUAUCAACUGUCCACCCUUAAAUUGCAUUGUUAUAAAAAAUAUUACAACAUUUUCAGGUUGUAUCAUUCAUCUACCAUAAAUUUACAAUCUGCAUCAUUUAUCCACCAAAUCAUUAACUUUGUUAAAAAGUGAUAGACGUCACAAGGGUAAUUUAGACAUUUAACACACACAAAAAUAAAAGAGAAAUUAUCUAAGCUUACCAUGUUAUCAAAAUUGCUACAAAAUUUUAAAUUUAUUCAAUUUUCCAAUCUAAGUUUAUGCCUCCAAGAUGUUAAUUGCAGUUUGUAAUUAAUGAGUUCAUAAGGAUAAUUUAGACACUCAAUAUGCAAAAUAAAAAAUAAAAUAAUGGCUUAAAACAUUAAAACAAAAAACUUGAUAUUCAAUUAAAUACACAUAAACUCUAUUUUUUUCUUAAUUAAAAAUAUUCUAAUUUUUUUUCUCAAUUUAUCAUCAUAAAUUUACAUUAAUAAACUAAAUCCACAAAUUACCCUAAUUCAUAAAUGCCCAAUCAGUCUAAUAGUUUACUUCGAUUUCAUAAUUAAAAAAGCUAAAUUUAUUAUAUUAGUUAUGGUGCAAAGUCAAAAAUGCCCUUAAAUUCAAGGGUAAAAUAACAUUUUAUUUAAAUUCUAUAAAUUAUUCUAACAAUGUUAACAUUUUGGUGGACGGUUAAUAUAAAUUGCAAACUUAAAAUAGAAAAUCAAAUAAAUUCAAAUUUUCAAACUAUUUAGGGCAAAUUUAGGAUAUAUGGUUAAUAAUUUUCCCAUGUCUUUUUACAUUGGUUGAUACAAGUUACAAACUUAAAAUAGAAAAUCAAAUAAAUUUAUAUUUUCAAACUAUUUAAGAUAAACUUAGGGUAUAUGGUUAAUAAUAUUCCUUUAUCUUUUUACGUUAAAUUGAGUUUCAAAGGUAAAAUGAUCAAUUUAUUAUAAUUCUGUUAAUUUUUUAGUGGAAACAAAUGAUAUAAUAGACGAAUGAUAUAAAUUGUAAAAUUAAGGUGCAUGAAUGAUACAACUUUAAAAUAUUGUAGUAAUUUUAAUAAUAGAACAAUUUAAGGGUGGAUUGGCAAUAAUUUAAACUUUAAUGAAGCAGCUAAAAAAAAUUUUUAACAAAGAAAAAUAAUUGAAUGCUUUGUGAAACCAAAAAUAAUUGAAAUGCUUUAAGAAAAAUAAAGGAAAUUAAAUAUCUUUAUAAAACCAUAAUUGAGUAAAAUCAUUUUACAAAAUGCUCUUUCAAAUGCACAUUCCACAAGCCAGGGAGAACGGGUGGCUAACAAAAAUCUCACUUUUUAUGAGUUUAUAAAAUCUCACUUUUGCAGAAUCCAAAAAUAGCCAAUACUAAUCACACAAAAAAUAAAAAUUAUUGCUGUCACGACAUUACACACUUUCUUCGCGGUUUAUAAAGCUAGAACAUUUUGAAGUUCCUCAAUACAAAAUGCGUGCUGCUACUAAAUUGGCCCAAUUAAUGCCCAUCGAAAAGGCCAUCAAUUUAGCCAUCAAUUUUGUCAAAAUUUCAACAAUUAAGAAACAAUGAUCGCAAACGGAACAUGUGAAUUUUGAAGUUGAAGAAAUCUUGAGAUACAUACAACAAAGCCUUGAAACUUUAUUCUUCACAAUUUGAGCACGCACUAAAUAUUAAACAAGUAUAGAACAAAGCUUAUUUUUAGCUUCUUGUGCGAACUGAACACGCUGAAUGAAGCUUUUUUUUUUUUGGAUUUUUGGAAUUUUUUAAAGUCAUUUAUGUUCGCUGCCAUCUUUUUCUUCGCUGGCGUCUUCCUCUCGGGGCUGGCAUCUGCCUCGUCUGUAGUUUGCUGUGCCUAUAUAUCCAACCAAUAAAUUGGGCAUUAAAUACGAAUGAAUGAUGAAUAAAAUGAUUAAAAAAAAACAGAGAAAAUUAUAAUAUAACACAUAUAUAUUGAAAGAGAAAUUUUGAUUUUAGGAUAGAUCAAUUAGCUAUCACAAACGAAAACAUGAACCAACUGUGUAUAGAGUCAAUUAACUAAAGUUCUCAAGAGUUGACCUGUGCUCCUGAAUUCUUGGACUCAUCUAUCUCCUUCUGAAUUUCCACGAAGCUUGGGACAAUUACGAACAACUUUAUGGGAUGCAGAUGGAAAUGGGAUCUGAUAACCCGCAGGCCAAAAGUUGGUGAGGUUUGGUAAGUCUUCCAGUAUCAAGUCCCGAAGUUCAUUCAUAACAAUUUCAUUGUAAUCCGUGACGUCUGCUCCAUCUUUAUGCCAGAAUACUUCUUCUAAUUCAUCAUUAGCUGCUAUACAUAGGUGCUUCAGUUUUUGAAGACUUUGAGCUAUGCUGAUAUGAAAUAGAUGCUUUAGUUUGGGGCAAUCAAGGACAGCGAUAUUUGUGAGUUUUGGGAAACAAACAGGUUGGAGAUGAUCCUCAUCCUCAUCCUCAUCAAUGAUUUGCUCUAAUUCCUGACAAUUCACAAUAGAUAACACCUCCAAUUGCAACAGAUUUCGAGCAAGUGUUGAUGAGAAGAGACGUCUCAGCAUAGUGCACCCGUCCACCCUUAAUCUGGUAAGACUUUGCAGGCUAAAAUUAUGCGUGGGACCUACGUGAUAUAAUACUUGCAGUUCUCGAAUGUUUUCCAACCACAACGACUUCAAACAUGGGAAUAGUUUAUUUUCUUGUCCCUCAGCGAUAAUAGCUUCCACUUGAAAUACCACCUGUACUCCAAUUUCCAAAAUAUUCAAUUCUUCCAAAUUUUUUAAGCCGUGCUUCAACAGUGCUGGAAUCGUGUCACUCAAAUGGGAACAAUUGGCCACAUCUAGAGUAUUUAAGUUCUGAGACAAAUAAAUAAAUAACUUGAUGCAAUUAAAAUCUAUUAGCAGCUAGGAUUAUCACAUGAUAAGUGAUGAACACCGCAAAAAUAUCAUAAUACAUAUGUAAACUAAUAAAAUAAUUAAAAAGUAAUGGAUUUAAAAAAAAAUGAAAUUAGUUAAAAGAGAUCAUGUGAAGUGAUAUAAAUGUGACAUUAUAUUGUUUGAGAAAAAUUAGUAUUCUAUUAAUUUCUAUGGAUUGAUCAACUAAUUAAUUGAAUUUGAGUAAUAUAAUAUACACUUCAGUAGUGUUUGCAUCAAUUCUUUCUAAACCGAAAUGAGAUAUGACUUUCAUUUGAAAAAUGAUUUUAGGCCCUAAAAUAAAGGAAUUUCCUUAAGAUAUUUGAGCAUUAUUAUUAUCAUCAUCACAUCCACGAUCAUCAUCAUCUCCAUAGGACCAAAUAAUUAAUGGCUGAUCAUAAAAUUUAUUGCUAAACUAUCAUUUCGAGUAAAAUUGAAGGAAAAGAAAAAACAUAAACACAAACAAACAUACCUCUUUGAGAUAUUGCAAAUUGGCUUUAAGUUCAGUACUGUUGAUGGUCAAGUUGGGACAGUCAUGAAGCUGUAACUCUUCCAAUGCUGUCCAAAUUGAACAAUAAUUUUCUGAACAAAAGCUCUUGAGUUCUGGGAGUUCUUGAAGUGUUAAUCUUCUCAACAAGGGGAGGGCGAGCAUCGUAUUUCCACCUUCGACACUUAUUUCCCCUUCAUUGUGAUCAAACUUUGCUUCGACAAUACAUUCCAGUCUCUUGCAAAAAGUCACACUGAGACUUUUAAGCUGCUCCAAACUUCUAGCUUGUGACAACGUGAAGAUAUAUGUCAACUUGUUGCACCUUUGCACAUUCAAUUCUGUGAGAGUUUGGAGGCUGAUCACAUGUUGGGCGGGCGCCUUCCAUAUCCACUUCAGUUCUGGUAAUUGGAACAUAUUUAACUCUACUAAUCUUGAGAGACUCUUUCCAUGCAGCGACUUAGAGGCAUCCAUUAUGCAUUCUAAAUCUUCGCAAUCGCGAACAUCAAGACAAGUCAACUCAUUUAAGCCCCUUUCAUCUAUGCUUGGCACAAUAUUAUGACAACCUAUUAACCCCCUCAAACGAAGAAAUUUCAGAUUUUGAUACAAUGCUGAAAAAAUAACGAGCGAGGUCGCCACUUCAUGAGGGUAAUUCUCAAUGAUUAAGCUCCUUGUUUCAUCACCAUGUUCCAUGUCAUGAUCAGAUAAUUGACCAUUACCGAUGACGUACCUUUGCAUUUUCGGGAAUGUAAAGUCUUUUGGAAGACAUAUAACUUGGGAGUUCAACUCAGCAAGCCUAGCAUUACUUUCUUCUGAACUCAUCUCUUCAACCUCCCAAUCUUUUAUCCGACCAUAAAAUUCUUCCAAUUGAGGAAAUUUUUUUAUUGUAAUGGGAGAAACAGAACCAGUAUCAAUAUAUAGAAGUUUCAAUCUACCAAGUUCAUCCGACGACAAUUCUUCAGGAAUUUCAAUGGGAGAUGACUGGAGAUAAAGAAGUUCAAGUCUCUUCAACUUUCCAAGAAAAAACGCGUCACUCACAUCACACCGAAUCAACUGCAGAACCUGGAGGUUGGUGAGGCUCUGAAGCGAUUUAAGUGAAAGAACUCCACCUAUUAUAGUGACAACUUUCAAUGCUGGCAUCCCUUUAAAAAAAUGUUCUGGAACUUGCAAUCGGUGGUCGUAUUCAGGAUUCUCCAAUCGCAAAAUAUGAAGGUUAGGGCAUACCAAACUACUAGGAAGCUCUUCUACUUUAUUUCCCAUUACAGAGAUUCCUCUGUAUUGUUCCAGGCCUUCUUCCAUUGCCCGUUCUGCCAAUCCAAUGCCAACUUUACUAAAAAAUUUCUUCUCCACUAGUACUUCUGAGCCUAUCCAUAUGGCUACAUCACGAACUAUGUCAUGCAUUUUCACAGAUCUGUCAUUACCAGUGUCUAACAGUAGUGAAGCAGCUUUGAGUCCGUCAAUUGUUCCAAGCAGUAGGCUUCUGGUGUUCUCUAUUGACUCAGCUUGAUACCAAGUCAACCCUACUGCAUAUCCAACCAAAUCCUCCAAAUUAAUCUCAUAAUCUUCUGGAAAUAGCGAACACAACAAGAAGCAUAACUUGGAAUUGUCAUCAUUCAAUUCGUCGUAACUAAAUUUGAGACAACCGUAAACGUCUAAGUUCUCCUCAUCAAUACCUUCUAUUGCAUAGAGUUUUGCAGCCUUUAGGUUAUGUAGAGCUAGGUUCCAUUCAUUAAAUCUUUUUCCUCUUAGUGCACUUCCAACAGCUUCAAUAGCUAAAGGCAGCCCCUUACAUUCUCCAGCAACUUCUUUGGAAACAUCAUUCAAGGUGGAGUCAUUUACAUUAAUUUUGGCAUUUUUUCGCAGUAAAGCCAAUCCUUCUUCUGGCGUUAGUGUACUAAGUGGAAUCUGUGUGUCACAACCCAAAGAAUCACAAACUGACUUUUUGCGAGUGGUUAGAAGGAUUUUGCAACAAUUAUCUCUACCACCGACGGUAAUACCUAAUUUUUUCUCCGAGUCGAGUGGUUUCCAAACAUCAUCAAGGAUUACGAGGAUUUUGCUGCUUUUACUCUCAGAAAACAUCAAGCGCAAUCGGUCUGCUCUCUCUUUUUCAUCUUUCUCAUUUAGUGCCCAGCCUAACGACUUUGCCAACUCACCUUGAACCUUUAUUAUAUCUAGAUCCUGAGACAUAGUGGCUAUCCCCACCUUAUCGAAAAGCUUUUGUUGCCGAAGUUGAUUGCCCACAUAUUUUGCCAGGGUUGUCUUUCCUACACCACCGAGACCAUGCAAUCCCACCAUCUUUGUGCUCUCUUUUUUCAGUGCGUCAAUGAUCUGAUUGCAAGCGGAUUCUGUGGUCUUGAAAAUAGAAGUAAAAUGCCUUGGCAAACUUAAUUCUCUUUCUAAUGGUAGAGGUUUAGGAGAGGCAACUGUGUUGAAUUGGCUGCAGCCUUGUAGCAGAUCGGACAACUUGCUAGUCUUCUCUGAUGCUUUUCUGCCCAGACGAUAUCGGCAACACCAAUUAGGACACAAUCCAUGAAGACUACUAUCCUUUUCAUCUAUCUCUGCUUUCAACUUCCAAACAUCGUCCAAUUCUUCGACUCCAUUAUUCAGCCACUCCAUUACAUUUUCAUCGACUACUAUGUCGGGGCAUUUUCGCAGUUCAUCGUCUAUUCUUGUUUUGAUGCCAUCUCGUGCCUUCUUCAACUUAGUUUCUUUAUCCUCAAGUUCUUUAACAAUGCUGUUGAAACAGAACAUAUAGCGAGCUUGGUCAAUGGCUGCAUUCACCAAUAAUUCUUCAACCUUUGAUUUUAAAGCUUCCAUGCUAUUUAUCUGCAAAUAACGAAGUUGAUCUCAGCACACUAUUAGCGAAACAACAAGGCUUGAUCACCAGACAAAAUGAGAACGUUUAAUUACCUCUUUCUGCACUGUGAAUGCACGUCUAUUAACACCAGCUUUGACCAAUAAGAGCAAAAUGCAGAGGUGGGGCCUUAAGAGUUUCGGUGGCCUUUAGCUGCAAAACGGCAGAUGACAAAUAAGGUGAACGUUCCUAGCAAACGUGAUUUACGGUGAAUUAUAUUCAAAUUAGAUUAUUUUAAAAGUUGGUAAAUUAUUUAUCACUCUAUCUUAAUGAUACCUUAUUUGGGAUGAUAAAGAUUGGGGUAAAUUCCCUUUUAUUCUCACAUGUUUAUAGUAUUUAUAUUUUUAUAAAUUACCUAAAACAUCCAUGUAACUUACUUUUAUAGCUAUUGAACAUAUCAUUUCAAAUAUAAAAUACUAUUUCUGUCUAAUAUAAAUUAAAAAUCAAACAAAUCUAUCAUGCAAUAAAUGAAAAGUAAAGAAUAUUAAUUAGGUUUUAAUGGAAACAAAUAUAAAACAUAGAGGUUUUGAGUAACUUUUGUAUUUUUUUUAAUGUUCAAUUUAGAAUUGAAUAAUUUGCAUAAUGAAAUUUUGAGGUUUCUAUAAUUUAUAUGAAGAUAAACUGCGAAAUAAGUUUAUAUGCCGAAAUUAAAAUAGUUAUAUAUUAGCAAUCAUAUAAUAAUAAAAAAUUUUAAUAAAAUUUAUUUAAAAAUUGGCCAAUUGUGUUUCAUGAGUAAAACAGAGAGCAUAAUGGACUUAUGUUGGGUCUUGGGAUUGAAAGACUAAGGGUAAGGGGCCGGGAGGUAGGACGGUAGGAAAAUUAAUUUUUGUUAUUUUUAAAGUAUGGUCAACAUUAGUGACUUGGAGGUGAUUGCCGUUAAUCAAUUACCUUUAACUUAAGAAUUAAUACAAAUAAAUGGAAAAAAUAAUUUAAUGAAAAUUAAUUUAAUAAAAAAUUGCACUAAAAACUUAGAACUCAAAUUCUCGAUCAUUUUAUCCGUACGUUUUAAUCCGACGCUCAGAAUUGGCAUAAAACAAACUAAUAUAGCCAUUGGAAAUAAAACAAACAUCAAAUCAAGAGCCUAUGAAACAAUAUUAUCUCGUACCUUCUUCCUUAUAGAUCCUCAAUUGCUGUUGAAAGCUGCAUAUGACAAUAUAAAUAAACAUGAGAUCAAAACAUCAUAGGAUAUAUCUAGCCAAUUAACAUCAUAUAUAACUCCUUGUUCUCAGUCAAAUCUUUCAUUCUUAGAUUAAAAAAAAAAUGAAAUAAUAACUGUUAAGUGAUAUAGGAAGCAAAAGUAACACACCGAAAUGAAAGCAGCUAGUUCACAGAUGACAGAUGCGGUGACUUCAAGAGCAUGAAAAAUGAUUAAACUUUGGUAGAAGGGUCUGAGCCGUGUUUCACAAGUUGCUAUUGACUUCGUGGCUUCGCUUUUAUUUAUUAUUAUUAUUUUUUUAAAUUCUAUAUCAGUGAGAAUUGAAAUGUGGAAAGUGAAAUGAUACACAUGCCUUAUCAUCUAUCAUGAGGGGUGAUUUGGUAAAACCGAUUUAAAAUAAAAAAAGUUUAAAAAAAUUUAAAAAGAUGCUUUGUGUCUGACUGCUUGUAUUUGGGGUAUUUUUCGGGUUGUUGAGACUUGAGAGUGAGUUUAAUUAAAUAUAAGAUUUUCAUUUUUCUUAUUAUAUUUUUCUCUUUAGAAUGAAUUUAAAUCUCAUUCUUAUUAAAUUCAUUUUUUUAAAUGAAAAUAGAUUUCUCUCCACACAUUUGAGAUAUAUUUUAAAAUUAAUGUUAAGCAUAUCUCUAAAUUAUAUUAUAAAUAUUUUUAUUUAAAAUCUCAACAGAUUUCAUAACACACAGAGAGAAAUACAUAUAUAUGUUGUAAUGUUUUAAUGAUGGAUCUCUAAAGUUAUCAAGUUAAAAAAUAAAUAAAUAAAUAAAAAAUACACACUUCAACUUAUUAUAUGAUAAAAUAUAGUAUAUUAAAGUGAGUAUUUUUUGUGUGAAAUAAAAUUAAAGUGAGUACUAUUACCACCUCACAUCUUAUAAAUUCUAGAAAAUAAUCAAGGCUUGACAUACUUUUAUUUAUGCAAAAGCAUAAGAAAAUAAUUCAAAGUACUAAUUAGUGUACUAUUCCUCAAAAUUCUAGAAUAGAUUUGUUAGUUCUCUUUAGCCAUAGAUUGGUCCGUGAUUGGCACCGCAAUAGCUCAUAAUCACCUCAACAAUUGUUCCACACGGCCCAACAUGACACAUUGUAAACUAGUCUACAAGAAUUUUUUGAGUGGCUUUCUAGCAAUAUUCUUAGAGAAAGUGUUUAGUAGUUUCAAAUCUUCUUUUUUUAACACAAAUGUUGGCAUGAUAUUCUUAAUAUAUUUCUAAAAUCAAAAUAAGAUGCAUAGAGGACGAUAAUUUUAUUUCAUAAUUGAAUUUUUUGCAAAGAAAGUUUGAACAUGAGAGUGAUGAGAGAUGAGAAUAUUGAUGAUGGUGUGUACUUUGAAUGGAAAAAUAGAUUGGAAAUAUAUAUAGACAUAUUAAAAGAAAAAAAUUUGGUCUAUUUCAUAAGAGAAAUAAAAAAUUAUAAACGCGGGUGUUAAAAUGUAUUCAGAAUUUAUAAAUUUUUAUAAAUAUGAUAAUCAUCAGACCCUUAUAAAAGUAUAACAAAAAAGUUUAAAAUUUUUUAAUAAAUGUAGAAGAGAUGAACGAAGAAAUCAUCCACCAGUUCAGAAUUAACAAUCAAAGAUAUGAGGACUUGAUUGAAGAAAUGAUGAAAAAUAAAAGGAAACUGGGUUGGUUAGCGGGACCCUAAUAUUAAUGGUGAAAAAUAAAAGGACACUGGGUUGGUUGGCAGGACCCUAAUAUUAAUGGCAAAAAAUAAAAGGACACUGGGUUGCUAUCAAUUUCGAUCGUGUAGGUUCAUAGCCGGGGAAGUAAUUGGGCACAAAUAUCUCGGAUGAGAAAUAACCAUUUUAUCCCGCAACCAUAUGUUUAUGGCCUCUAAAAAUUUUCACCUCUUUCACUUUCUGGAACCCGUGCUUUCUGGCACAUGCACAAAUACUUGGUUGCUACUUAUAGAGCGUUUUUGGAAUUGCAACAACAUGGUGCUCUUUGAUAAUUCAAAAAUCCAAUAUAAUUUAUAGAGAAUUACAGAAUUGUGGUACGUGAUAAUUUGCUGAUGCAAUGAGGCGCCGAAAUUCUUAUACAUGUGAUUUAAGUUAUAUAUGUAUAAUUAAGUAAUUAGAAUAUACUAGUUGGGGGUAUUUGUGUCCAUGAAAAUUUACAGCUGGUUGUUGACAUUACACUGCGGGUGUGUAAGUGUAAUCAUGGAUCUGACCAUUCAAAUUUAAAAAAUGGGGGUCCCGCUAGCUUACGGAGUUAGUAAUUAUUAGAUAUGCAUAUAUGCUCCCAUACGAUAAUCUUAUCAUAAAUUUGAAGGAUACGAGGACUUGAUUGAAGAAAUGAACGAAUAUUUGAAUUAAAAAAAAUUUUAGAAUAAAGACAAGUAUUAAUUUACUAUGAAUGCAACUUACAUAAGCUGUAAGUUAGCGGGACACUAUUAAAUCACAAGCAAAAAGCAAUCUGACUUCUUCUUGAUUCCGUAAUUUGGCUGUCAAAAUGUAAUCUAUAAAAAUUACGAUACCUCGAUUCAAAAAAAUGUUGUUUCUGAUGAAAUAAAUGAAAAUUGAACGUACAAUCUGCCACGAACACUGUUUAAUUAACCGUUUAUUUCCCCUUAAAUUUUUAAUCUCAAUGAAACAUAGAUCUAAUGGGAACUACAUAUAUAUAAAAAUACUAUAGAUUGAAGAAGUUGAAUUUUUCUUGUGUGUUAAGUAUUUUUAGUUAAUACGAAAGGAUUCUAGCAAGUUAAUACAAAAGUAUCAUAAAUUCAUAGUAGUACAAGAGAUUUUUUUUUUCUUUUGAUAUUAAGAGUUUUCGAGAUAAAAAAAAAAAAAUAGGUGAAAGAAGAAGAUGAGAGAAGAAAAAAUAUUAAGAAUAGUUUUGGCAUUUUGAUGCGUUUUAUAGUGUAAAAUCUAUAUUUUAUAGUAUAAAAAGGUACACCCAUAAUUUAAUGAUAAAAUUUUAGGAAAAAAUUGCACUCGUCAAAAAAAAAAAAGAAAAGGCUCAGCUUAGCCCAAAAAUUUUUUAUUAAUCGUCUAGUCGCUAAUGUAAUCUCUUUUUUAUGAGAUUCUUUGGCGUUUUAGUUUAGUCCAUUGUUAGCAAUCCUAAUAGCUUUUAUGUGCAUCUAUUUUUAUUUGGAAUAUGUUUCAAGCUUGAAUAAAAUCUGCGGGACAACUGGUAAGUAAUAAAGCUCAUCAUUUUUUUAUUUUGAAAAUAAAGGGAAUCACUUACACUUAGCAUGAUAUUAUUUUUGAUAAGUCAUUUUUUUGGUAGAUUAUUUUUUCUAACACGCUCUUAGAUUUAGUGAAAAUAAAUUGUAUACUUUUAAUGAAGAAAAGUAAAGAUCAACAAAAUAUUUUGUUCUUUGCGACAACUUUUGCGUUCUCAAGUGCGCCUGAUACCCUUUUUUUUUUAACAUGGGCCCACGUGCCAUGUUUCCAUUUCAAGUUUCAUAAGUUAACAGUAGAAAUGGGUUCCACAGAUAAUUUAUUUUAUAAUUUUUUUUAAAAAUUACUAAAAUAUAAUAAAUAAGGUAAUAAUAAUUAAUAAAAAAGUAGAUUUUAAGAUGGAAAAAUCUUUUUGUGUACUUAAUAAAAAGAUGAUAAGAAUGGGAUGCUUUUAGUUUACAUUCUCAUAGCUAUUUAUACUGAAAAAUUACAUCAAAAUUUAAUUAAUAAAUCAGUGAACUGCAGACUUAUUAAAUUUAAGCUAUUUUAAUAAGUCAUAAAUAUACUAAAUUAAAAUAGUAAUAAACCCAUUGUUACACAAUACUCUCCAUUGAGUGUUCACCAUUUUAAGAUAAUCAUAAAAUGACACCGGAAGUGCUAUUAUAGCUGUCUCAUGGAAAGCCUUCACCAAUAAAAAGGAGGAUAGAGCACAUACAUCCAGUUUUUAUACCCUUUGAUGCUCAGUCGACACGUGCCAAUGCUAUAGACUAGCUUUUCGAAGGUUGAAGUGGGUAUGCUAUUAGUAAAAAGACCUGCAAAAUUAUAGUGUACCUAUUUGACAUCAACUUUUUUUAUCUGCUGGAGCUUAUGAUUAUAGAAGAUCUUCGGUAAGAUGUGUUUGAUUUUAUCUUCUUUUAUAUAUCCUCCUCUAACUUGUGUAAUAGUAGUAAACCCCUGCCCGUUUUUAUUUCGUUUAGUAUUUUCUAAAUGGCCGAAGGAAAAUUGGUAAAAACUCAUUUAAAAAUUAAAAAAAAAAAUCAAAGAAAUUCAAGAAGAAGCUUUGUAUCUGUCAUUUGUAUUUGGGGUAUUUUUUUGGUUGUUAAGUGAAUGAGCUUAAAUCUAAAACAUUUAUUUAUAUAUUUCUUGUUGGAAAGAAUUUAAAUUUUAUUCUUAUUAGACUUAUUCUCUUUAAACAAAGGUAGAUUUUUCUCUAUGUGUUUAACGUGUAUUUUAAAAUUAAUGUUCAACAUAUCUUUAGAUUCUAUUAUAAAUAUUCAUAUCUAAAAUCUCAACAGAUUUCAUAAUAUAUAAAUGUAUAUAAAGAGAGAGAAUAACGUUUCUAAUAAGAAAUUUAUUAAGUUAAAGAAUAAUUCAAAAGAUAAAUUUGUAUUAAACCCAUUUAUAUGAUUAAUUAAGGUUUUAAACAAAUUUUGGACUUGUUCUAUUGUAGAGCUUAAAUUCAAAAUGGAAGAGUGAAGAAGGGAAAAAGAAGACGAAUAAAGAAGAAAAGAGGAGAACAACUUAUACAAAAUAGGGAGAACGAAAAAGUGAAGGGCAGAAAAAGAAAAAGAAUAAAGAAGAAAUUAAUCAUCGCUGAUAUGAAAAUAAUUCCUUCUUCUUUAUUGUUCUUAGUGGUUCUACUUUUUUUUAUUGGAUUCUAAAUUUUUGUCGUAGAUGGAUUAUAAGAACUAGAAAAUUAUAAAGAUAAUUUUUUAAUUAUUCGAUUAAUUAAUUCCAGCAGAAGACAAGAAAUUGAUUCUGCUUCGUUAGAAAGCCAUCACAUUCUAUACGCAAUUGCAAAAAGUAUAUAUUUUUGUCUGUUUUAGACAAGAAUAAAAGGGAUACCUGGUAUUGCAAAUCUAGACACGUUUUAGUGCUUUAUGUCCGAAUGAAUUCUUUCUUGCAACAAUAAACUUGGCCGAUCAGGAUUUGCCGUUUACAUAUGUAGGUCCUGUUGGUUCUGUAGUAGGACUCAUAAAUUUUUAUUUUUAAUUUACUGAAUCCAUAAAUUUAAAAUAACGGUGCAACUCCUGAGGAUGACAAUGGGGCGGGUGAGGUCUUGGAGUCCUGAAAAAAUUUAUAUCUGCAUAUUAAAAAAUGUGGAUCCGAAUAAGAAAAUCCGCAUGAAUCCGAAUGCAAGUGCAUUUGGAAAAUCGGAUAUCGAGAUCUGGAUAAAAAUUUAUUUCAAAUUAAAAAUUAAAUUAAAUAUAUAUUAAAAAGUAAAUGAAAAAUUAAGAAAGUAAAUUUUAUUUGUAGAUUUAUGAUGUCAUUGUAUAUUAUUCAUGUUGAAUUAUUAAUUGUUGGAUUAUGAUUGAAUUUUAUUUGAUAUUAUUGGGUAAAUUAUUGAAUUUCAUUUUAAAUUAAAAAUAUUUAUUAAAAAUUAAAUUUUAUUUGUAGAUUUAUGAGAUUAUUGUAUGUUAUUCAUUUAAAAUUUUUAAUUAUUGAAUUAUGAUUGAAUUUUAUUUGAUAUUAUUAGGUAAAUUAUUAAACUUUUAAAUUUUAUAUUAAAUUAUAAGCAGUAGGAAAUUAUGGUAUUCAGAACAUGUAUACCUUCGCACAUGAAGCUUGAGUCCAGAACAAGAUGCAGCUAGCCAAUCCUUCAACUUCCAAAACCCCACAAAACCUCUGUCAACAUAUCUGCUCUACUUCAAUAUCAAGCACAUUCAUAGCGGUAUCAACAGCUUACAGCUCCAAAAAUAGUUUGAGAUUUCAUUGAAGCUAAGUUGUGACUUGUGACUGUCCAAAUGUUCUGUCACACGAAAUGAUUAUUCUUGUAACACAAAUCCAAUAGCAUGCAAUAUAAUCUACUCUCUAACACUGUGCAUUAGUAAAAUAAAACAGAGUAAAAAGAGAAACCAUGCCUGUGAAUCUCUUCUCCUCCCCCCACCACCCCUUUUUUUGGUAAAGUCUAUCAAAUGAAAAUGCAGCAUGACCACAUUGGCCACUACCACUGCCAUUACUCCUUCAACUGUGCCCUUUGUUGCAAGAAAUCUUCAAGUGAAAGAUGGAUUAUAUAAUUAAAGAUUCCAAUAGAAGCAGCAAAGGUUGCCUUCCACUAGCCUAUCAGAGAAUAUGCUUUCUAUUUUCCUAGUUUUAAUCAAAAUUUUGCAAGAUUUAUUUAUGGAAAACUUGGACAAAAUUUUAUGUAAGAUACCAUAAAGCCAAACACAAUCUUUUUAAUUCUCAGCAGCAACAUUUAAAGUAAAAAGAUGGAAGCCAUAUAAAUAUAACUAUAUUUGGUACGAGGAACAAUUAUUUCAAGCUUUCAGAAAUGCUAGCAAGAAAUUGUAAGAGAACUUUACCUAGUCACAGAAUAUGUCAAGCAUACUACCACCAACUGUCUUUAGCACAAUUGUUAUGAAGUAGCCUCUGAAUCGGAAGAUUCAAGCUUCCACCAGGCACAAUUAUUUUCAUUCUCCAUACAAUCUGCAGCAGUGGCAUGAGUUAUAUCAUCAACAUUUGCAUCCUCACUCUCAUCACCCCAAUCAAGGCUUCUUCUCCACCUCUGGAUUAUAAGUCCGCUUCGACAUCUUCAAACAUCUCGGUCCUUCCAUUUGCAAACAACCGAUAUGGCUUCUUUCCUUGCCUUCCUCAUCGUUUAUAUCCCCCCAAAAAAGGGUCUUUAGACACCUCAACUUUGCCUUCUGCAAAACCUCCACAAAAUCUGAAUUAUCCAACACAACAGCUAGACGCUUGAUCCUUCUUUUGUCCAUCAUAUCCACCGCAUGAUUCCUCAACAAACAUCUGCAGCUUGUGGCUUAUCUAACACUGUCCUGACCCAAAACCCCACUCUUUUCAACUCAUCUGCCAAACCAUAACCCACUUUUGGAGUCAAAAUUGUCCUUGCAGCCCUUUUAUAUUUUUCCAACUCCAUUGAAUACUUGCCACUCAAAUGCACUCUCCUACCUCUAGCUGAUUCUACUUGAUUCAACCUCUUCUUUUGUUUACACUCAUGAAUUUGGAUAAAAUAAUUAACAAGUUUGUCAUUAUUAUAAAAUCUCCUUUCACAAACACCACAUAAAUAUGGCUCAGCAGGCUUAAUUACACCCUUGCUUUCCAAUUGGUUAAACAAUUUUUCUCUUCUCUUUGCUCUCUUACAACUUGAGGCACAUAACUAAAUGCAUGGCUAUUGGCAUAUGCCACCAUGUAUUUAACAACCCAAGUGAAGAUAUUGAUUUGGGGGUUUGUUGUCCAAAUCCCUAAAAAUUCACACAUUGCGUUGGACAGUUUUUAGUUCUACAAUUAAUGAUACGUUAUGUGAAUUAAGCUCCAAAUGAGAACAUCUAAACAAUGAGACAAAUGGGCUCUAGGUUUCUAAUCAGUAAACAUCGUUCAGUCGCAUAAUUUAUGAAAUUUUUGAAACAUCACUACAGCUACAGGUCUUUAUGUGUCAAUGAACUGCAGAAACUAAUGAUCUACUAGUAGUAGACGUUUGUUGUCCCCACCGUUCCAGGAAGAAAAAUAAGUAGAAGAACUACUUUUAGACCAAAAUUAAAAAAUUGAAACUAUCUUGAAAGACUUUCCCUUCAACUAAGUAAAAAAGAAAAGAAAAAAAAAAGGUAUUAGACAAGCAUUUUCAAAGGAAAAAGAUCAUCCAUUUAUUGUAUGUACUCAGGAAAAAUAAAUGUACUAAUAGGUAGAAACACAGCAAUAAAACUCAAAAACUAACAUCUAUAAAGCUCAAUAACAAUUAUGAAUUAGAUAUUUUGGUCCCUUCAUAAUUCCUCCUCUUGACUUCACAUUUCCCCUCAGCCCGUGAUAAUUUUACCUAUUGAAUUCACAUUUCCCCUCAUCCAUUGAAUUUUCCCAAUAACAAGAUGAGUCUAAAUCUGUUAGGAAAUUGAUGGGUGAAGCAGACACGCAGCUAAAGUAAAAUUGGAAGAAAAUAAAGAACAAGCACAAUAGAGGACACCAGAAAUUACGUGGUUCGGCUUUUAGCCUACGUCCACGGGCGAAGACAGAAGGAAAUAUUUUACUAGUGAAAAUGAGUUACAAGUAUUGUAGUAUUUUAGCUCACUUCCCAAAACCCCAAUACACCCAAACUCUCUAACUCACUAGACACUCAAGAGUUUAUUAAACUCUUAAAACUCUCAACACUCAAGAAAGCAAUGCUUCUCUCUCGAUGGAAAUUGAAUACAAAUGAAUGAGUGAGCACUUCCUUUUAUAGCCAAAAAAUGGCUAUUAAAUUAAUAUAUAUAUGUAUAUAUUUCAAAUGUAGUUACCAACUUCUUCUUUUUCUCCAUUUGGAUGGCACCAUUUUCUUUGGCCGGCUGCACCAUUUUCUUUUUUCAAAUGUCAAACCUGUGUGCUCAUUUUCCUUUCCAACUUGCUGCAAAAUUCCUCUUCUUUGAACAACAUGGAUGUUGACCAUCUAGAUGGCUGCUUUUGACAUUUCUCCCACUUGGAGAUUAGAUUGAGAAGCAAUCAAUCUCCACACCAUCCUUUCUGCUUCGCCAUAAUCAUGUUGCCUACGUUUCUGCUAGACCACAAGAGGAUCUACUCCAGACAAACUUAUCAGUAUUUAUCGGCUUGGUCAAAACAUCUGCUAGGUUCUCUUUGGUAUGGAUUUUCUGCAAAUCCACACUUCCAUCUUCCACUACUUCUCGAACGAAGUGAUACUGAACUCCUAUGUGCUUUGUCCUGGAAUGAAAGGCUGGAUUCCUUGCAAUGUGCAAGGCACUCUGACUGUCACAAAAUACAGGAAUUUUCUGUUGUUUGUGCCCGAGCUCCUCCAAUAACCUUUGUAUCCAAAUAGCUUCCUUGCAAGCUUGUGUAGCUGCCAUGUAUUCUGCUUCUGUUGUAGAUAAAGCCACAACGGUCUGCAGUUUCGAAACCCAGCUUACAGCUGCUCCCGCAAGUGUAAACACAUAACCAGUAGUGGAUUUUCUUUUAUCAAGAUCUCCUGCAAAAUCUGAAUCCACAUAGCCCCUGACAGUAAACUCUGAUCCUCCAUAACAUAACGCAACAUCUGAGGUUCCUCUUAUGUAUCUCAGAAUCCUCUUAACAGUUAUCCAAUGCUCUCUACCAGGAUUCGCCAUGUAUCGACUAAUUGCUCCCACUGCUUGUGCAAUGUCUGGUCUUGUACAUAUCAUAGCGAACAUCAAACUUCCCACUGCUGAUGCAUACGGUACUCGAGACAUCUCCUUCCUCUCUGCUUCAUUACUAGGACACAUACUUGAGGAUAAUUUGAAAUUAACAGGAAGUGGGGUAGAAAUUGACUUACAAUCUUGCAUGUUGAAGCGUCGCAAGAUUUUCUUCAAGUAAUUCUUCUGCGAAAGCCAAAUCUUCCUGUUAUUUCUGUCUCGGUGAAUUUGCAUCCCUAGAAUCUUGUUUGUUGGUCCCAAGUCCUUCAUGUCAAACUCCCUAGCUAACUGUGCCUUCAAUUCUUGGAUUCGAUCUUUGUUGGGACCUGCUACCAACAUGUCAUCCACAUACAAUAGCAAAAUAAUGAAAUCAUUAUCUUCAAACCUCUUGUAAUAUGCACAAUGGUCUGAACUGAGUCUGUUGUAUCCAAGGCUCAUGAUGAAGGAAUCAAAUCUCUUAUACCAACACCUCGGCGCCUGUUUGAGACCGUAUAGAGAUUUGUUCAACCUGCAAACCAAGUUCUCCUUUCCUGUUUCUGCAAAACCUUCUGGUUGGAGCAUAUAUAUUUCUUCUUCAAGUUCUCCAUGAAGAAAUGCAGUUUUCACAUCUAACUGCUCUAGAUGUAAGUCAAAUGUAGCACACAUUGCCAAGACUACUCUGACUGUUGUGAGUCGAACCACGGGCGAAAAUAUCUCGUUGAAGUCAAUGCCUUCUUUCUGAGCAUAUCCUUUCACUACCAAUCUUGCACGAUACCGCUCCACUUGGUCAUUACCAUCACGCUUGAUCUUGUAGACCCAUUUGUUUCCAAUGGCUUUUCUUCCAUGUGGUAGUGGUACAAGUUCCCAUGUCUUGUUCUUGUGUAGAGCUUCAAUUUCUUCCUGCAUUGUUGUCAUCCACAAAGCAAUAUCUGAGCUUUCUAAAGCUUCAUGGAAAGUUGAUGGCUCUCCAUCCUCCGUUAAAAGACAGUAUGCAACGUUGAUCUCUGUGACAUACUCCGAGUGCCACGUUGGCGGUCGUCUCUCACGAGUUGACCGACGAACUCUGGAGCCUCGGACUCGACUGGUUCUUGUUCCUCGUUCUCUGGUGCUGCUUCAGAAGAAUCUGAAUCUUCUGGAUUAUUUUCCACAUAUACUGGUACAAUCUCUGACUUUUCUUUUACAGUGCUUUCAUCCUCAUCUUUCCUUUGCAGUUGAUCUUCUAUAAAGAUAACAUCUCUGCUGAUGACGAUCUUGUGGGCAGUGGGGUCCCACAGACGAUACCCCUUUACUCCAUCAGCAUACCCUAAGAAGAUACAUCUUCUAGAUUUUGGAUCCAGCUUUGUUCUUUCUUGGGCAUUGUACAUCACGUACACAGGACAUCCAAAUGCAUGUAGGUAGGAAUAAUCAGCUGGCUUUCCAGUCCACAUCUCCAUCGCUGUCUUCAACCCAAUAGCUGUAAAUGGCGACCGAUUUACUAUAUAACAGGCGGUUUUGGCUGCUUCUGCCCAGAAUGAAUUGGGUAAACCAGCAGUCCUCAACAUAGCUCUUAUUCUUUCUGUAAGAGUUCUGUUCAUCCGCUCCGCUACUCCGUUUUGUUGAGGAGUGUAUGCCACCGUGAACUGCCUCUGAAUACCUUCUUGCUUACAGAAAGCAAGAAACUCUCCGUCUGUAUAUUCUCCACCAUUGUCUGUCCUUAAGCACUUGAUCUUUUUACUAGAUUCAAGUUCCAACCGCGCUUUGUAUUCUUUAAACACAGGAAAUACAUCUGACUUUUUCUUAAUUGGAUACACCCAACAUCUUCUGGAAUAAUCAUCAAUGAAAGUCACCAUGUACUUUGCACCUCCCAUAGAUAUAUCCGGUGAUUCCCAAACAUCAGAAUGAAUCAAGUCUAGAAUGCAUUUACUCCUAGCAAUAGAUCUACUGAAUUUUAAUCUAUGCUGCUUACUUGUAACACAAUGCUCGCAAAAUGGUAAACUUACCGAUUUGAGCCCCGGAAGCAAUUUUCGCUCAGAGAGAAUCUUCAAACCUUGUUCUGACAUGUGGCCAAGUUUGAGAUGCCACAUCAUCGUUGAUUCUUCUCCAUUUGAUGCGACACACGCAUCAGCCUCCUGUAGUGUUUCUCCUUUAAGCAUGAAUAAAUUAGCACCGAUCUUUUCUGCCUUCAUCAAUACAAGCGCACCUUUAACGAUCUUCAUUAUUCCAUUUUCCACAUGAGUUUUGAACCCAUGACUAUCCAUUUGUCCCAAAGACAAUAGAUUUUUCUUCAGGCCAUUGACAUGUCGUACCUCCCCAAUUGUGCGAAUUGUACCAUCAAACAUUUUUAUUUUGAUAGUACCAAUACCAGCGAUCUCCAAGGCAUGAUCAUCUCCCAUAUAUACAGAUCCUCCUGAGAUAGGUUCAUAUGUGUGGAACCAUUCUCUCUUAGAGGUCAUGUGCCAGGUAGCUCCUGAGUCUAUAAGCCAGACAUCAGAUAGUCGUUUUCUGCCUUCUGAAACAGUUGUUGCCUCGCUGUAGAGAAUUUCACCAUCAUCUGAGGUACUUGCUACACAACCCUGAGCAUUUGAUGACUCAGGUUCUUUGCCCUCUCUUCUCUUCUGGUUACUCCAACACUCUUUCUUGACGUGCCCUUUCUUGCCACAGUUGUAGCAUUUAACAUUCUUCUUACUUCUGGAUUUUGAUCUACCCUGAUUUUGACUCCCACUGGGGCCACGUUCCGUUGAUCUCCCUCUCGUCACUGAUAGCGCUUCUGCUUGCUGCGAACUUGCUUGUCUGUUUUCCUUGUUUUUCCGCCUGCUCUCCUCAUUUAAUACGGAGGCUGCAACAUCGUCGAAAACUAGACCCUCCACUGGAUUGUUGUUCGUCAGGUUGAUGAUGAGUUGAUCAUACGAAUCUGGUAGACUUUGAAGUAGAAGCUCUGCACGUUCAUUUUCCUCUAUAUUAUGACCCAACGUUGUGAGUUGUGAAAAUAGAGUCUUCAAUGUGUUGAUGUGGUCGGUCACCAUUGUAGAUUCCGCCAUUCGAAGAGUAUAGAGUUUUCUCUUCAAGAAGAUUUUGUUGUGUAGUGACUUGGCCUCGUACAAUUUUGUGAGAGUAUCCCAAAUUUCCUUCGCCGUAUUUUUCUCUGCCACACUGGAUAAUACUCCAUCCGCAAGUGCCAAGUGUAGAUCAGAAAUAGCGUUGCCGUCUACCUCGUUCCACUUGUCAUCAGUUAUCUCUAUGGGCCUUUCUCCAAUUGCUGCCAAACAAUUAUUUUUCCUCAAUACAGCUUUCAUCUUCAUUUUCCACAACGAAAAAUUAUUUCCGUUAAACUUCUCAAUUUCAUAUUUUGCCGCCAUUUUGUUGAUAAUACUGCACACAAGCUAGUGUACCACCUUGAAUAGUUGUGAGUAUGUGUGAGAAUGCACACCAGGAAAGUUCCCAGGAAAGACUAGAGGGGUCACAAUGGUCCCACUUAAAACCCAAACUCCUUAAGCUCUUAUCGCCUUUGUGACAGAACUUUCCUAGACAUGUACAGAACCACACAGUUGCUUUACUCACACCACUAUUCCCUGCUUUGCACCGCAAAAUUCUUGGAUGGCUUCCACCGUUUCACGUGAAUAGUACCGUAUACGUGAAUAGUGCCGUAUACGUGAAUAGUGCCGUACACCGUAUACGUGAAUAGUGUCGUACACCGUAUACGUGAAUAGUAUCGUACACCGUAUACGUGAAUAGUGCCGUACGCCGUAUACGUGAAUAGUCCCGUACGCCGUAUACGUGAAUACGUGAACAAUUCCUGACUCCAAAAAUACAACCAAUAGCUCUGAUACCACUGUUAGGAAAUUGAUGGGUGAAGCAGACACGCAGCUAAAGUAAAAUUGGAAGAAAAUAAAGAACAAGCACAAUAGAGGACACCAGAAAUUACGUGGUUCGGCUUUUAGCCUACGUCCACGGGCGAAGACAGAAGGAAAUAUUUUACUAGUGAAAAUGAGUUACAAGUAUUGUAGUAUUUUAGCUCACUUCCCAAAACCCCAAUACACCCAAACUCUCUAACUCACUAGACACUCAAGAGUUUAUUAAACUCUUAAAACUCUCAACACUCAAGAAAGCAAUGCUUCUCUCUCGAUGGAAAUUGAAUACAAAUGAAUGAGUGAGCACUUCCUUUUAUAGCCAAAAAAUGGCUAUUAAAUUAAUAUAUAUAUGUAUAUAUUUCAAAUGUAGUUACCAACUUCUUCUUUUUCUCCAUUUGGAUGGCACCAUUUUCUUUGGCCGGCUGCACCAUUUUCUUUUUUCAAAUGUCAAACCUGUGUGCUCAUUUUCCUUUCCAACUUGCUGCAAAAUUCCUCUUCUUUGAACAACAUGGAUGUUGACCAUCUAGAUGGCUGCUUUUGACAAAAUCAUCAAUCUCAUUAAACACUCACAUCUACUAAAUAAUAUCGCAUGCAGUAACUUUAAGUAAGGAUCUAAAACUUACAAGAAAAAGAAAACUACUGUUUAUUAAUUUCAAAAUUUACACAAAAUUACAAAUGAUUUUAUAAACUGUACCAAAACAUGUUCUCUAAAAGAGAUUCAUUAUCCUGCAUUUUCAAAAACAAUAUAAACUAACACUAGAAUAGCCAUUUGAUAAUGAUGUGAAUUUGGGCAGCACCAAGAAGCAGUGAGCCCCAUUUGGUGAAAGCAAAAAGAAAAAAAAUUAAAAUAAAGCACUAUAAAUUCUAAUCAAAUUAUUAACAUUAGCUACACAUCAAGAAACCAGAAUAAAAUCGUUAUCUAAACCACAUACUGAAAAAGAAAAAACAAUGCAGUUAAAAUUCUAUCAUUUUCACUUACAAACAAAUAAAGAAAAAAUUAAGAACAAAGGUUGAAGCAAAGAAUGAUUGUACCUUGAGGUACUUGAGGUUAAUGUUUCCAUAAACGAGACCGAGCGAAAAAGCCGAAACCAGAGCAACCUAUUCUUACUACUCAAAAACACGCCCAGAUCAGAAAAUAAAUGAUCAUUCAAUAACAAUUCAUAGGAAAAUGAUGUUUGCCCCGGGUCAAACCCCGAAAAUAACUUAAACGGCGUCGUUUUGAUUUUUUUUUUUCUUUUGGAAUACUCCAAAACGACGACGUUUCUGAUGAUAUUUUGAGAAGAAUAAAAUCUAUCUUCCUCUUCGUUUUCGUUUCUUCGUUUCACCUGUGAAAGAACAGAGCAACAGAGCAACAGAGAUCCCAACUUGGUCUUGUUCCGUUUGACCGUAAAUCUCUUCAUUUCUUCGUUUCUUCGUUUCUUCAAAUAACGGCAAUAUCACCCAAAACAAAGUUUCAUGCAAUGUUGUAAAAAAUAAAUUAUGAUUUGAGAACUGAAAAAAUAAUAUGAGAACUAAAAAAAUGAGACAAAUCAAGAAUAUGAGAACUGAAAAAAUUAAUUCAAUGUUACAAUGUUACAAUGUUCUAAAAACGAAGGCCAACUUCCUAAAAUAAAAUUAAAAAACAAAAUGCUACAAUGUUAAUCUUCGAAAAUUAAACUGAAAAAAUGAGACAGUACCGAAAAAAACAAAUCUUCGAAAAUUCAAGCUUGGCACAAUGUUAAUCUUUCGUCCAAACUCAGCUUUCAACCGUCCAAAUUCAGCUUGUCCAAACUCAGCUUUCAACCGUCCAAACUCAGCUUGUCCAAACUCAUCUUUCAACCGUCCAAACUCAGCUUUCAAGGACACAUUUCGCAGCCGAAACUCAGCCGAAACUCAGCUGCUGUUGGUCUUGUUCUUCAAUGGGUACCAAACGAAAAAGAAACGAAAAAGAAACUCAGACGCUUUCAACUCAGCUUCCAAGGACAAAUUUCGCAGCCGAAACUCAGUCGAAACUCAGUUGCUGUUGGUCUUGUUCUUCAAUGGGUGCGAAACGAAAAACAAACUCAGAUGAAGAGGAUGGAGCUUUAAUUAGUAGAUCCCGUUCUGCUGUCGAUGAGUGCUCCGGCUGUGGAUCUCGGUCGAGGAUGGAAGAAACGAAAAAGAAACGAACAAACGAAAAAGAAAAUAAAAGAAAACGACGCAAAUCAUUCAAUAAACAAACGAAAAAGAAAAAAAAAAAAGAAACGACGCAAACGACGCCGUUUAAGUUAUUUUCGGGGUUUGACCCGGGGCAAACAUCAGCACUCUUUCCUUUAUGAAUUGGGAAAAUGCUACUUUCCCCGGGUCAAACCCCGAAUUAUUUCAAAACGGUGUCGUUUUGUUUUUUUUUUUUCUUUUUACUUGCAUGAAACGUGGUCGUUUGAGCUAGUAAAAACAAAACAAACUAAAGCAGAAAAAACUCAAGUGCUUAUCUUCUCUGCCCCUUUCUUAAUUUCCUUUUGACAAACCACGGAAUCACACCCACAAACAACAAUCACCCACAGUCACGCGAACAGCCGGCACAGACGAAGGAUGAGCCCACAGACGACGGACCACCGCAUUGAAAUCUCUGUCCACAUCACCGGCACCAUCAUCGUAGGUCUGUAACAAACUGUCGUAAGUUAAACCCUUCUCACCGUCGAUGAACUCGACGUAAGUACGGAAUACUUCGUCGAGAAUUGCGUUGAUUUGUUCGUCGCUGAAUUUGACUCGAGGGUUUACGGCCACCACUAAAGCCGCCAUUUCUUCUCUAUUACGGCCACCGUCGCGGUUCGUGUCAAAUUGUUGAAAAAUUCUCUUCACUUUCUCUGAUCUGCUUCCUCUCGUAGCCAUUUUUUUUUUCUGUUUUUCUGGGGGUCAGUUUGGUUUCUCAGUGUUUGUUUGAGAAAGCGGAAUUAGUAGAUAAGGGAAUAUAAGGAAAAGUUGAUAAAAAGGCAAAGGGUGGUUACUUUAAUUGUUGGUGAGAAUAAUGAUGAUGAUGGCUUAAUUCUGGGUUUUGUUGGAUCUGAAUGAAUUCUUAACGGCAAAAGUUAAAGAGUAGAAGAAGAGCAAGAGGACGGACUCUCAUUCUUUCCCUUUUUUCUUUUAAUUUUAAAUAUAUCAAAAACGGCAGCGUUUUGGAGAAACAAAAAAGAAAAAAAAAUUAAAACAAAACGACGCCGUUUUUGUUUUCGGGGUUUGACCCGGGGCAAACAUCAGCACUCAUUCAUAAAAACUCCAUCCCAUCGCAUUUAAAACAAAACAAAGAAAAUAUUGAUUAGAAAAAAAAUUACACGCAUGGAAUAAAAGAAUAUAAAAAUGGAAUUACCAGAGGGAGCUAGUGCCGGAGUAGGAACCAGAAGGCAGCGCCAUAUGAUGCUCUUGUUAUGGUUUUCCUUCUUGUGGGUCUGCGCUGAAGUCGAAGAUGAAGAAACAAGAAAGAGCCAGCAAAUUGAGAAAUCGACUACCAUCUUCGAUUCCGACUCGCAUGGCCAUUUUUCUUUGAUGAAUGAAAUAUUGUUUUACUCCCUAAUUCUUAACCAAAUUACAAGUUUUGACUUCUGUUUGUAUGUUCUUUCAUACGGGUUCUUGUUCACAGGAAUAACAAAUGGGCCGGACGUGUGGCUAAGCCCGGGCCUGGUGUCGAUAGCCAGGCCUGGGCUUUUACGAGCCCAGGCAUUUUAUUCUGAGUAUGAUCCUUAUAUCACUUCACUUUUGUAAUCGUAAUUUUAUUGUACUGAAAAUUAUAUGAACGAUUAAUAUGAAUUUAAUUAAACAAACAUGUCUUUACAACUCAUGCAACCUUACUAUUUUCUAAUCCUAAUAUGUGAUAUAAUUAAUUUUACUGAUAAAAUCAAAAUAAUUUUUAAACAAUGAAGAAAUAAAUUAUAAUAACAGUAAAUUUAUUACGAAAAAGUAUGUUUACAAAAUUUAUUUUAAAUGAUAUGAAAUCUAAUUAAAAUUCUAUUCUAAUUUUAUGCCCUUUUUUACAAUUUUAUUAAAAAGUGGGAUCUCUUAAGAUUUUAGGAGUGUUGGAAUUCUAUUUUUCCAGAUUUGAAUUUUAGUGACCUUUACUUCAUUUAAAUUUUUUGUUAUAAACUUGCAAGCAAGUGCAUUUAGGAUAUCUUUGGUGAACUGGAUUGUAACAAUAAUUUUAUUUAUUAAAAUUAUUAAAAGUAUUUAAUUAAUAAAACUUCACGUAUCCUCGGGUCUAACCAAUCAAAUUCUUUCUCUCAAAAGUACACAAAAGUGAGAUUGGCUCUUGCCUAUUAGUUAACAUAUGCAUAUUAAUUAACACUGACAGAUAUAUAGAUAUACAGCACAGCUAGCAGCACAUUCGACUUACAGAUAUACAGAACUUGAACAUAAUUCACAUAUCUGAAGGGAGAGGGAUAUCGAUGUUGCGGCCUGCAAUUCAUAACAUAUCAUCGGUCAUUUAAUCUAGAAUUGAGGAGAGAAAAUGAGUCUAAAUUCGAAAACUUUGGCACUAUUUACAUAUCAUUAUUUGGGUGAAAAUUCAUUUCUCUGCUUUGAUAUGAUUUGGUCUUUCAUUGUUACGGUGCCAAUUUUUUAUUUAAAGAUGUAAGGUAGUGGUACUAUAGCUUAUAUUUUCCGUAAUUACUAUCCGGUAAGUACAAAAAUAAAAUACUAGUUUAAAAUAUAAAAAUGAAAAAUUAUUUUUAUAACCAAUAUUCAAUUAAAUACAUUUAAAACUCUAUUUUUUCUUAAUAAAAAAAAUUCUAAUUUAUUUUCUCAAUUUAUCUAAACAACUUUACCUAAUCAAGCUAAAUCUACAUAUUACCCUAAACCUUAAUUCAUAAACACCCAAUCAAUCUAAUUGUUAAAUCUUAUUUCAUAAUAAAAAAAAAUUAAUUUCUUUUUUAUUAUUUAUGGUGCAAAGGAAAAAAUGAAUUUAAAGGUAAAAUUGAUAUUUUAUUUAAAUUUUGUUAAUAUUCUAAUAAUAUUAAUGUCUUGGUGGUUAAUAAAAGCAUAAAGUUAAACUUUUGUAGUAUUUUUAAUAAUAUGGUAAAGAUAUAUGUUUGAUAAUUUUCUUAUGUCUUUUUACGUUAAAUUGAGUCUCAAGUAUAAUGAAUAAAUAAUACAUAUUAUAAAAUUAGUGUAGAUAAAUAAUACAACUUGAAAAUAUUAUAGUAUUCUUAAUAAUAGAGAAAUUUAAAGGUGGAUAGUUGAUUGUUUAAUGAAACAACUACAGAAUUUUCCUUUCAAAUAUCUUUUUAAAAAACAACAGAAUGACCUUUCAAAUGCCCAUUCGACAAGCCAAGAAGAAAGGGUAGCUAACAAAUUUACAAGUACCAGAGAUCCAGAAACACAUUUAUAGCCAAUCCAUUUAUGAGUUACAUUCAACACUCUCACAAACUUAAAAAAUAAAAAUUAUUACUGCCAAGACGCACACUUUUUGACAUCUAAAAAGCUAAACAUUUGAAGUUCUUUGAUACAAAAUGCAUACUAAAUUGGCACAGUUAAUGCCCAUCGAAAGGGUCAUCAAUUUAGCCAACAAAUUUGCCAAAGUUUUAACAGUGACCACAAACGGAACAGGUAUAGAAUAAAAGCUUGUUCGGUUCUUGCGCGAAGUGAACCCCUCUGAAACGCUAAAAGAGGAAAUACAAAAUAAAGAAGACCAUAUUACGUGGCUAACUAACAGCCAUUCCCAAAGAAAUAGAGUGACGAUAAUGUGCUUCUUUUUUUUUUUUUAGAAAAGAACACAGACCCCUAAUAUUUAAAUAAAAAACAUAAAAUUUCUUAAUAUUUAAAAAAAAACAUUCAGACCUUAUUGUUUAACAGAAACUGUUUUUUUAACAGAAAUUAUAAUUUUAAAAUAUAAUUACCAUUAUAUCCUUAUAACAUAUUAAAACUAAUUAUUCAUUGUCCAAUUUAUCUUUAUAUUAUUAAUAAAAUUACGAAAAUAAAUUUGAUAAAGAAAAUUUCAUGCACAUCUAAAAAUUGAUAAAGAAAAAAAAAUAACAAAAGUAAUUAGUAAGAAAUCUCCAAUAAACCGACAAAUUAAGAACCCUGUUCAUCAAACUACCAUAAACCAAAAAAAAAAAUUCUCGUAAUCAUUUAUUUAUAUUCUUGCACAUACAUCACAUAUGCAUCAAGCAUGCUAGAGAAGUUAAUUUAGUAAAAAAAAAUGAAAAUUAAAGAGAAUUCAACAGGCAAGAUCAGCAACCAAACGCAAGCACAAGCAGCAGCCAAACGCGAGAUUCAACAAGCAAGAUCAGCAACCAAACGCGAGCACAAGCAGCAGCCACAAGCGAGCACAAGAAGCAGCUAAAAGCGAGCACAAGCAGCAGCCAAACGCGAGCAAUUCCAACAGCCAAACGCGAGCGAUUCCAACAGUUCCAACAGCACAAGCAGCAGCCAAACGUCGAUUGCGAGCAGAUCCAGCAACCAGACGCGGUCUCGAUCGACGCACGAGCAGUUCCAGCAGCUUCUGGUAGCGUGAGCAGUUCCAGCAACUUCCGGCAGCCCUAGCAGCUUUCGGCAAAGGCAAACCGUGAGUGUGUGUUAAAAGAUUUGUCUGGAAUCAGCGUGUGAUGUGUGUGUGGGGUUUGUUUGUGCGUGUGAUGUGCGUGUGGGGUUUUAGUCAAUUCACUUGUUUUUAAUUUAUAAUUACGAUAUUAACCUUGUAAUGAUUUAAGGAAACGAUUUCCGUUAAGUAAUGGGUCCGAAUGUUUUUUUUAAAAUAUUAAAACGUUUUGUCUCUUACUCAAACGUGGGUCUCUGUACCCUUUUCCCUUUUAUUUAUUCUUCGCUGGCAUAUUUCUCUUCAUCUUCUUCUUCACUGGCAUCUACAUUGGCGUCUCCCUCUUGGUUGGCAUCUUCCUCGUUUGUUGUUUGCGGUGGCUGUCCAACCAAUAAAUUGGGCAUUAAAGAACAAACAGAUAAAGUUAUAACAAUAAGAAUUAUAAACAUAAAAAGAAAAAAAAAAGAUAUUUGAAGGGAAAUUUUGGUAGAACUCCAUGGCUCAUCUAUGAAAUUAAUUUAAAGUUCUCGAGAGCUUACCUCUGCUCCAGAAUUCUCGGAAUCAUCCAUCUCCUUCUGAAUUUGCAGGAAGCAUGGGACAAUUACGAAUAAUUGCAUUCACUGCAGAUGGAAAUGGGAUCUGAUAUCCCGUAGGCCAAAAGUUGGUGAGGUUUGGUAAAUCUUUCAGCCUCAAGUUCCGAACUUUAUCCAGAACAAUUUCAUCGUAAUCCAUGACGUCUGCUCCAUCUUUAUGCCAGAAUACUUCUUCGAAUUCAUUAUUUUCUUCUAUGCAUAUACGAAUUAGUUUUUGAAGACUUGGAGCUACGCUGAUAUGAAAUAGAUGCUUUAGUUUGGGACAAUAACAGACAGAGAUCUCUAUGAGUUUUGGGAAACAAACAGGUUGGAGAUGAUCCUCAUCCUCAUCAAUGACUUGCUCUAAUUCCAGGCAAUAUAGAAUAUCCAACCUCUCCAAUUGCAACAGAUUUCGAGCAAGUGUUGAUGAGAGGAGACGUCUCAGCUUAGUGCACCCCCUUACGGUUAAAUCAGUAAGAUUUUGCAGGCUAAAAUUAUGCGUGGGACCUUCAUAAUAUAAUACUUGCAGUUCGUCAAGAACUUCCAAUUUCAACUCUUUCAAACAUGGGAAAUGUUUGUUUUCUUGUCCAUCAGCGAUAAUAGCUUCCGACUGAAAUAACACUUGCACUUCAAUUUCUCUUAUAUUCAAUUCUUCCAAAUUUUUUAACCCACGCUUCAACAGUGCGGGAAUUGUGUCACGCAAAUGGGAGCAAUCGUCCACGCUUAGAAUUCGUAAUUUCUGAGAAAAAUAAAUAACUUGAUGCAAUCAAAAUCUAUUAGCAGCUAGGACUAUCUCAUGAUAAUCAAUAAACUAACACCAAAAAAAAAAAAAAUUCCAAAUCCGUACAAAAUAGUUAUAUUUUAUGAAAGUAAUAUAUUUAUUAAAAAAAUAAAAUUAAUUAAAAGAGAUCAUGUGAAGUGAUAUAACGGUGAAAUCUGUUUGUUUAUGAAAAAAUUGUAUUCUAUUUCUAUGGCUUGAUAACUACUUAAUUGAAUUUGUUUAAUAUUAUAUAUGCUUCACAAGUGUUUUCAUCCGACCUUUUUUUUACCCCCUUCAAAACAAAAACGAGAAUUUGACUUUCAUUUGAAGAAUGAAUUUUAGGCCCUAAAAUAAGGAAGUUUUCCUAAGAUAUUGGAUCUUAUUGUGAUCAUCACCGUUAGCACUACCAUCAUCAUCAUCUCUCUACAAAGCCAAAUGCAAGGUGAUAUGAAUGGCGCAUCAUAAAAAUUAUUAAUAAACUAUCACUUUGAGUAAAAUUGAAGAAAAAAAAAAGAAAAAAACAUAAACACAAACGGACAUACCUCUCCAAGAUACUGCAAAUUAGCUUCAAGUUCUGUAUUGUUGGCGGUCAAGUUUGGACAGCAUCUUAGGUCUAACUUUUCCAACGCUGGCCAAGUUGAAUAAUAAUUUUCUGAACAGAAGCUGGUGAGUUCGGGGAGAUCUUCAAGGCUUAAUUUUCUCAACAAAGAUAGCUCGAGUAUUCUAUUUUCAUCUGCUACACUUAUUUCCCCUUCAUUAUGAUCAAACUCCGCUUUAACGAUAAAUUUUAUUCUCUCGCAUCUGAACACUGCAAGACUUUCAAGCUGCUUUAAACUUCGAGCUUGUGACAACGAGAAGACAUACGUCAAAUUGUUGCACGCGUACACAUGCAAUGCUGUAAGAGCUUGGAGGCUCACAUGUUGGGCGGGCGCCUUCCAUAUCUGCUUCAUUUCUGGUAACUCCAGCAUAUAUAACCUUGCUAAUUUUGAGAGCAUCAUAGGAUUCCCACUCUCUCCUUGCGGCGACUGAGAGGCAUCCAUUAUGCAUUCUAAAUCUUCACAAUUGUUGACAGAAAGAUAAGUCAACUCAUUGAAGCCCCUUGGAUCUAUGCUUGGCACAAUAUUAUGACAACCUAUUAUCCUGCUCAAAUCAAGAAAUUCCAGAUUUUGAUACAAUGCUGAAAAAAUACGGAGCGAGGUCGCUUCAAAAGGGUGAUCAAUGAUUAAACUCCUUGUCUUAUCACCAUCUUCCAUUUUAUAGCCAACUCUUUCACCUUUAAUCAUGUACCUUUGCAAUUUUGGGAAUGUAAAAUCUUUUGAAAGAUAUACAACAGGUCUGCCAACUUGGAAGUUAAACUCAGCAAGCCUAGCAUUACUUUCUUCUGAACUCAUCACUUCAACCUCCCAAUCUUUUAUCCGACCAUAAAAUUCUUCUAAUUGAGGAAAUUUUUUUAUCGUAACGGGAGAAACAGAACCAAUAUCAAUAUAUAGAAGUUUCAAUCUACGAAGUUCAUCCGACAAAUCUUCAGGAAUUUCAAUGGGAGAAUCCUCAAGAUAAAGAAGUUCAAGUCUCUUCAACUUUCCAAGAAAAGACGCGUCACUCACAUGACAUCCAAUCAACUGCAGAACUCGGAGGCUAUUGGCAAGGAAUCGAAGCGAUUUUAGUGAAAGGACUCCAUUUAUUAUAGUAACAACUUUCAAUGCUGGCAUCCCUUCAAAAAAAAUUUCUGGAACUUGCAAUUUGUAGACAAAUAGAGUAUUGUGCAGUCGCAAAAUAUGAAGGUUAGGGCAUACCAAACUACUAGGAAGCUCUUCUUUUUUAUUUCCCAAUACAGAGAUUCCUCUGUAUUGCUCCAAGCCUUCUUCCAUUGCCCGUUCUGCCAAUCCAAUGCCAACUUUACUAAAAAAUUUCUUCUCCACUAGUACUUCUGAGCCUAUCCAUAUGGCUACAUCACGAACUAUGUCAUGCAUUUUCACAGAUCUGUCAUUACCAGUGUCUAACAAUAGUGAAACAGCUUUGAGUCCGUCAAUUGUUCCAUGCAGUAGGCUUCUGGUGUUCUCUAUUGACUCAGCUUGAUACCAAGUCAACCCUACUGCAUAUCCAACCAAAUCCUCCAAAUGAAUCUCAUAAUCUUCUGGAAACAACGAACACAACAAGAAGCAUAACUUGGAAUUGUCAUCAUUCAAUUUAUCGUAACUAAAUUUGAGGCAACCGUAAACAUCUAAGUUCUCCUCAUCAAUACCUUCUAUUGCAUAGAGUUUUGCAGCCUUUAGGUUAUGUAGAGCCAAGUUCCAUUCAUUAAAUCCUUUUCCUCUUAGUGCACUUCCAACAGCUUCAAUAGCUAAAGGCAGCCCCUUACAUUCUCCAGCAACUUCUUUGGAAACAUCAUUCAAGGUGGAGUCAUUUACAUUAAUUCUGGCAUUUUUUCGCAGUAAAGCCAAUCCUUCUUCUGGCGUUAGUGUACUAAGUGGAAUCUGUGUGUCACAACCCAAAGAAUCACAAACUGACUUUUUGCGAGUCGUUAGAAGGAUUUUGCAACAAUUAUCUCUACCACCGACGGUAAUACCUAAUUUUUUCUCCGAGUCGAGUGUUUUCCAAACAUCAUCAAGGAUUACGAGGAUUUUGCUGCUUUUACUCUCAGAAAACAUCAAGCGCAAUCGGUCUGCUCUCUCUUUUUCAUCUUUCUCAUUUAGUGCCCAGCCUAACGACUUUGCCAGCUCACCUUGAACCUUGAUUAUAUCUGGAUCCUGAGACACAGUGGCUAUCCCCACCUUAUCGAAAAUCUUUUGUUGCCGAAGUUGAUUGCCCACAGAUUUUGCCAAGGUCGUCUUUCCUACACCGCCGAGACCAUGCAAUCCCACCAUCUUUGUGCUGUCUUUUUUCAGUGCUUCAGUGAUCUGAUUACAA